CAUAAAGAUUAAAGGUUUUCAGACAUUUCAUAUGAAUGCAGCUUGGAAGACUCUUAAGUUCCUUGCAAUCUCUUAGGUUUAAAUGAAUCAACCCCGUGAGAUUAUUAAUUGACUCGGACAGUUCUUUAAUUUUGGACUUGGAUAAAUUAAGCUCUUGUAACUCCUCCAUACCUUCUGAAAUCUCUGGAAACAUCUCAAGGCUCACGCAGCCAAAAAGAUCAAGAGUUUUGAGAGAUUGCAUACGAAUUUUGCAGGGUAGAAUCUUAAGUUUUUCGCACCCUUUCAGAUCCAAUAAAACAAGUUUUGUAAGAUUCGAAAUAGAUGGGUGAACCUUAACUAACCCUCCACAACCAUGAAGAAUUAGCCUCUCAAGAUUUGGCACAUUUGUGAAGUCAGGGGUUUCCUUAAGGUAUGAACAAUAACUUAAAUUGAUGAAUUUCAACUUUUCCUGCGUCUGUUAAAACAUUCAGGAAAACAUGCAUUACUUAAUAAGACAUCUCACUCAAAGCCCAAACAUUUAAAAGAAACAAAUACAUGUAAAUGAUUGCACAUACCUGGGUUCCUUCCCAAAGUCGGUCAAUGUGGCUAUAUUGCAUGUCAAGUCCAACAAGAUUUUCGAAUUGAAAGUUGGAUGGCAAAGACUUGAGCGGGAAACAAGACCAGGAAAGAAACCUCAACUCACUAGAAACAAACUUUAAGGACCCAGUCAGGUGUUGUAUGCUGAAAGUACCGAUCUUGAGAAGUCUUAGUUUAGUCAUCCUAUCAAAAGCUUUAACAAUUAAGCAUCCCUCAUAUGAGUGCCCCAAAUCUAGGAUUAUGCUUUUAACUGUUUCUGUACCCUGUGCAAAUCAAAGGGAAGGAAAAAGCAGAGAACCUUAGUUUAGAUUAUGAAGUUAAUGGUUGUUUCUUAAGGAGUUGUUUGAUAAUAAUUUUGUUUUCACUUUUCACUUUUGUUUUGAUUAUUUAUUUAGAAAUCUGAAAAUUGAAAACAUAUAACUUGUUUGUAAUUGUUUUCAAUUUUCAAUUAUUAAAAAAAUGAAAAUUAAAAAUUAAAAAUGGAAACAAAAGUGGUUAUCAAACGAGCUUAAGAAAUUGAUUUUGGUCAAAAGUUGAAGCUUUCUACUAAACAUUGCAUAAGAAGAGAAAUUAUCACCGUAUUUUUAGUUAUCACAUGAAGAACAUCUUCAUAACUCCACAACCUACUUCGUUUCCCAGGCUCUUCGAUAGAUUCUUGCUGGACGAUUUUCCGACCCAUUUCCUCUAGUAAAUCAUGCAUCUCCAGUUCCCCCUUCCAUGAGACAGUUACUAGAGCUCGAUCGAUUAAAACUUUUAUUCCAAUAUCAGGAUAGGAACCACAGCUGUGCAGAACUUCGGUUGCAUAGUCUUUUCUCAUUCCUUUAAAGAAACAUGCAAUAUCUAGAAAGAUAUCCUUCUCCGUGUCAUCUAGUCCAUCGAAGCUUGUUUUAAGCACAUCAUGAAUUCCCUUUUGCGGGAUUUUCUUUAUUUUUUCUAACUCAUUUUCCCACUGGCGUACAUUUUUGUUAUCAAGAAAAGCUCCCAAGACUUUGAGUGCUAAAGGCAGACCUUGAGCAUAUUUUACAGCACGCCUCGAGAGAUCAUCAUAAUCUCUGUUGGGUUGGUUUUUUCUAAAGGCGUACCGCCUAAAGAGUUCCAGAGCUCCAUUAUCACUUAAAAUCUUGGGAUUAUAUAUCUCAUCAGCUAUGCUUAGUAAUUGCGAAUCUCUGGUUGUUAUAAUAAUUCUGCUUCCACCACCAAAGGAAUGUGGUUCUUUAAGUAAAGCUUCAAUUUGUUCUAAUUCUUCCACAUCAUCAACAACAAUAAGAACUUUUCUCCGACCUAGGCUAUUUAACACCACCUGGAAACCUUUAUUCGAAACGUCGGAACUCCCCACCUUGUUGUUCGAGAUACUCGAUAGAAGUUCUGCCUGCAUAUAUAGUUUGCCAUGCUUUAUGAAACCUUCCUUGAAAUUUUCAAGAAAGCAACAAGCUUUAAAUCCACCAGAGAUUUCAUCAUAAACAGCUCUAGCGAUGGUUGUUUUGCCUAAACCACCCAUACCCCAUAUUCCAACAAUGCGAACAUCAUUAGUUUCAACUCCAGGAGGAUACAAUAAUGAAUGCAUGUUAUGCAUAUGAGAGUCCAUUUCAACCAAGCCAUUAUCUUUGCUUGAUGAUGAUGAGAUGUGGAUCAAUUUCUUAAAAACAUCUUCUACAAUUUUCUCAAUAAGCUCUGCAUCAUCCCUGUCAAAUUUAAAAAACAAUAUAAUAACACCACCAAAUAAUACUUAAUGGGUCUUUUUCAUCUGUUAGUUUAAAAAAAAUAGAAAUUAAAACUAAAACUAAAAUCUAAACGUUAUAAAAAUCCCAAAAAUUAAUAGGAAACUAAAACAAAUUAGAAUUUACUCAUAUUUCGCGAAUCCCAGCCGGAUAAACUGGUGGCAAUUGUAAGAGCGGAUCUCCAGCUCUGAACCUCUUCCAUUUCAGCGUUAGAAUCACGAUCGUGCUGAGCAAAAGCUUCCUCGAAUUUUCUCUUGAGUUUACGAACGUCAGACGGAUCAACUUCAUAGAAAAUGGGGAGUACAAUCUGGUUAUUGGUAUCCUUGCAUUUCAAGAUUUGCACGAGUUCUUUCAAGCACCAAGUGGAAGAAGCAUAGUCUUGAGAGAAAACUACAAUCGAAAGCCUUGACUCUCGAAUCGCUGUCAGGAGCUCAGAAAGGUGGUCGCCUUUUCUGAGCUUCUCGGCAUCAAUGAAGGCGUUGAUUGGUUUCUUAACCAGAGCGUUGUAGAGAUGGCUGACGAAGCCCCUGCGAGUGUCUUCCCCUCUGAAAUUGAUGAACACAUCGUAUUUGCAACCAAGGCCAGAAGAAGAUGAAGAAGAAGAAGCAGCCAUUAUUAAUCGAUCGCACCUGGUCAGCGACGAUCGAGCAGCUAAGACUAAGAGAAUUGUAAGUACAGAGAUACUCAAUAGAUCUACAAAUUGGAUCACCGGAAAUUAGUCUGAUCGAUACCAAGUCAAUGAGUCAAUGCAAAAGUAAAAAGGGGAAAGGGAAAUUAUGCUUUAUGUUUUUUCACAUCUUCUUCGGGGAAAUUUCGGUGUGAAAGGAAUCUUAUCCUUUUGAUUUUUUAACCGAAGCAAAUGCGAAGAAAAGGGUCAAAGUGGUAAAUUGAAUAUACACUUGCCUAUCCAACAACCUCUUAAUUUAAUAUAUUUAAUUGAGAAAAGUAGUUUAGAGGAAGAGGUAUUCAUCAAUUCCCCAUAAACUUGUGACCAUUGGCCAAUUUUCCCCCUCAACUUUAAUUUUGGCCAAUUUCUUCCCUAAACUCUCAUAAUUAGUUAAUUUCCCCCAUCAACUUUAAUUUGGUCAAUUUCCCCCCUCAACUCUCAUAAUUAGUCAAUUUGCACCCUACUGUUAAUUUUUUAUUUAUUUUUCAUCUAUUCUUUUUUUUUUCUUUCAAUCUUUCUAAUAACUUCCAACAAAAUACUAAAAUUAAUAUAAACUCACCUGCAUAAUAUAGGGUAAAAUGUACAAAAACAUAAUACCAUUAGUAUGUGAUAUGGGUUGAUUAUAAGAAAAAGUUAUGAAUCGGGUUUAAAUCAUGUAGAAGAAGAAACAAUAAUCCUAAACUCAUGGAUCAGACCUAUUUCAAUAAAAUGGGUUAUUCUUAAUAAGGAGUCGAAAAUUAUGAAUUGACUAGCCAUUUUUGCACUAAACCUCGAUUCUCCGCAAUUUACUUGAACUUAGCUUUCACUUUUAUAAAGAAAAUUGUAUUCACAUACAAAAAUGUACACAUCAAUCCUUUUCGUUAUCAAUUUUGUAUAGUAAAAAAUCAAAUAAAAUUACUCCAUACUAAUUUAUUAUGACUAAUAAUACUAUUUAUGAUAAAUUGUAAAAUUCUAAAUUUUAAUCUAUUUGUAAUAGGAUAAAGACAUAGGAAAAUGAUUAACAUACAUCUUAUUUAGUUUCUUACACACACUUGUUUAAUUAUGAUCAAAUUAAAAAAUUAACAGUAGGGUGCAAAUUGACUAAUUAUAAGAGUUGAGGGGGGAAAUUGGCCAAAUUAAAGUUGAGGGGGGAAAUUGACUAAUUAUGAGAGUUGAGGGGGGAAAUUGGCCAAAAUUAAAGUUGAGGGGGGAAUUGGCCAAUAGUCACAAGUUCAUGGGGGAAAUUGAUGAAUACCUCUUAGAGGAAUGAUGGUAUCUCUUUUUCUUCUCACUCAAUCUUCCAGCAUGCGAUUUAAUCAUGAUUAAAGCCAAGCUUAAUAAUAGGUCGUAUUAUUUAGGUCGUUUUGGAUUAUAAGUUUUUGUUGUGAACUUGUGAUACGAUAGUUAGAAAAUUAAAAAAAUUAUAAUUUAAAUAUAUGUGGUGAAAUCUGUUAAGAUUUAGAUUCAAAAUUGAAAAUUUCAUUAACUUCAUUAAUUAUUAGCACACGAAGCUUACAAAUGAAAUAAAAAUAAUAAAAUUAGUCUCACAUGUAAUCUCUAUGCGCUAACAAUUAAUAGAGAGAUUCAUUUUAACCUAAAAUGUGUGACUUACGUACUAAUAAUUAACAAAAUAUUGACAAAAUUUUCAAUUUUAAGCAUAAAUCUUAAUAAACUUCAUCUCAUAAACUUAAAUCCUAAUUCAACAAUCUUCUCAUUACCUUACCACUGCAAACUACCUUGCCACUACAAAAAUUAUUAAUCAAAUUAAACUUAUUAUUUACUUACAAAUACGUAACUCAAUCACCGAAAGCUAUCUCCGUUGCUAUCUCCGUUUCUUUGCUGAGUGGACAGCUGUCUCUUUGUCUUCUUUUGGCAGAUAGCUACUAGACUCCUAGUGGCCGGCCUAUUUUCCACAGCUGGUUAUAGGACUCAGUUGCUAUUCAAGAAGUGUUAUGUUGUAAUUCAAUAUUGAUGGAAAUCCAACAGAAUCUUCUUCGAAUUGUUGUGAGCAUUUUGGGAUAUUUUUUAAUCAUAUUCAUUUAUCGUUGUGGGAUCAAUUUUAUUAAAUAUUAUUUAUGUUUAAUUUUAAAUAAAUAAAUUUAAAAUAAAUUUUUAUCGCACGAUAUACUAUGAACGAAUACGAUUCAUAGAUCUCCAAUAUCUUCACAAGAAGAAUCCAAAAGGAUCCGGAUUCAAUGGAAAUAAGCUAAUUUUGAAUCAAAUAACAUUACUUUAUUUUGUAAGUAAAUUAAUUUUAAAUCAAACAACAUUCAUUUAUUAUGUAGCUAAUUAAUUUUGUAUGUGUCAUCAUAUAUAUUAGGCACAUUUUAUUAUAGGUGAUUUUGUGGUAUUCAUUUUCAUUUGUAAGUAAGAGGUCUUAAGUUCGAUUUUCAUCAAAAACGAAUUUAAACUAUAUUAUUGCUAGUCCAUUAUGAGGCCUAACCCACCCUCCUCCCCCUUAGUGUAGAUAGAUCGUUUGUUCAAAAAAAUAUAUAAUCAAAAUAGAAUGUGAAGCGAAACAAUAGAUCAACAUUAUUUAUGUUAAUUAUAAAUAGGUCAACCAUGUAUGUGAUACUUAAAUCAUUUAAAAUAAAAUAAAAAUUACAAAAUCUGCCAUUACAGCUGGCACACACUUUAAUUAACACUUUCUUUCUCAUAAUUUUUAUAUUUGGAAUAAGUCAUACGAAUCAAAUACUACAAUGUAUUAUCUGUUUUUUAAUUCUAUUUUUUACAUUUGGAUUCAGACACUGCGUUGUAGUGUCCAUUUACUGAUUUUGUUUUUUCCAUCACUCACAUGCCUCCUAUAUGUUCCUUUGUACAUUUGGAUUUAGACAAUGCAAUGCAGUGUCUGUUUCUUGGUUCUGGUUUUCUCUUUUGGAUUCAAACGCUGCAUUGCAAUGUAUGUUUCCUAGUCCUAUUUCUUUCAUCAUCCACACGUCUCCUACACUUCACACUUUCAUGCGACUCCUGAUUUUUACAUUUAGAUUCAGACAUUGUAAUGCAAUGUUCAUUUCCUACCUUUGAUUUUUACAUUUAAAUCUAGGGUUAAACUCUGUUUACUACCCUAAUGUUUCGUGGUUUUCUACAUUUAGUACAUCAAAUUUUUUUCAUCCCAGAGUCAUACCUAAAGUGUUAAUUUUGGGACAGUCUCAUACAUCCAUUAGUCAAACUGUUAGUUCUCACGUUAAGUGAUGAUGUGGCGCCCAUGUGGACAAUGACUGGGCCCCACGUGUCAUUAAAAAAUAUUAAAAUAAUUAAUUAUGUAACACCCGCCCCCACUUAUAAAAUUAUAUGUGUGUAAUAUUCCCUAAAUAUUCUGAAUCUAUCAAUUUUACCCUUUUUGGACUACCCUAUCAGGAUCUAAACAUUGGAUCCUUCUUUCUUUUCAAACUGCCACGUGGCAGCUCCCUAGCAAUUUCCCUGUCUUCUCUCUCUGUCCCCCCCCCGUGACUCCUUCUUUCUCUUCUUCUUUUUCUGUUUUCUUUUCUUUCUUCUGUCUGUCUCUCUGUCCCUCCCGACUCUAUCUCUUUCUCUCGUCUCUCUCUCAUAGCUCCCUCAUCUCUCUUCUCUGCAGCAACCCGCACGCACGCACCCAUCUCCCCCGCGCGAAGAAGACCCAUCUCCUUCUUCUCUCUCCCUCUGUCCCGUGCUGCGAGCCCAGAAACCGGAGAGGAACUCCGGCGAAACCUUUAUUUUCCCGGUUGGGACGAAUCGAAGCCGGGUGUAAGCACACCCAACUCCGGCGAUCCCGAGGGUGUCGGGGCUUUUUCCGGCCAUCUCCGAUCGUUCCACGACGAAAGGAAGGUGCAAUUAUUAACGGUGAUUCUGUUAUACCUUCUUGGUAUAGCUUUGCACCGUUGGUGUACGGUGAGUGGACCCCUUCAAAAUCAUGUUUUAACAAUAGAAAUGCAUACAUGAAAAGCAUGAUUUAAUACUUAUGUUUUACGAAGUACUUUAUGAGAUAUAUGCUUACUGAGGCUAGAUUGAAUUAUUACUAUUUUUCCUAUAACCCAUGUUCUUAUAGAAUAUCCGAUGGAUGACGAUAUGAUAUUAGAACAUGUUUAGAACACCUCUUUGUAGUAUAGAUGAUGGAUGACUUUAUACUACGAAGUUGUUUUUCAAUAUGUUAUGCUCAAUGGUUUUGUACUUACCUAGUGGUCCUUUCCGCUACGGGACGUAGGGAUAGAUUCCGGUCCGUCCCGAGCGACGGUUUGGUGUUGGCAUAGGGCCUGGAGUGUGUUUCCUCUGGCUAUUUAGCACAGGGACGGGGAGCCGGCAUGGGGUCUGUAGUGUAUUUUCCUCUGACUGUCUGCUCAGAGACGGGGAGCUGGCAUGGGGCCUGUAGAGUAUCGGACAAUUCACUAGUGUUUAUUACUUAUACAAGUUAUGAAUUUGAGAUAUUGCACGGCAUGCUAGGUUUCGGAAAAUCUAUUUUGAUCAUGAUAUAUGUGUUUUCAUUAAACCUGGGGGUUAGUAUGUUGAUAACUGUUUUAUUAUAUUUAUAUCAAACUGGUCCACUCAUGUUUGUUUUGCGCCCCCUUCAGGACCUACGAACGAGGAUUACGAUAUAAGCUACGAGGCUUUUCCCUAUCAGUGAUCCAGUGCUAUACUUCUUCUGCUUCGAUAUCUUUUGUAAUAUAGCACAUCUCUAUUUUAAAUUCUGUUUGUACUCUGUAAUAGAUGUAUGCUUUGACAUUAUGCGUGGAUCCUAAUGUUGUAAUUAGAAGUUGAAUUUGUAGUAUUAUUGUGGCUAGUCUUGCUGCCUGUUUUAGCUUAUUUGUGAGUUUUUACUUAAAUUAAUGGCUUUCGUCACCCUUUGGGUGUCGGCCAGCACGUGAUAAUCCCGAUGUCACGAGGACAUCGGGAUCGGGGCGUGUCAGAUUGGUAUCAGAGCAUGAUUCAUUCAGAGCAUACUUAGGAUUCUUUUCCACCAUUUGGUAAUUAUAAUUCCCCUUAUAUCCUUAAUUUUCUGUUGUUCUAAAUCUUUCUUGUUUCUUAUCAGAAUUAUGGAUCCCGCUGGUGGGCAUGUACCUCGUCGAGCUCGUUUUGGUAUAGGGGGAGGACUUGAGCAAUUGGCUAAUGUUUUGCGAACUGCCCUUACUGGUAGAUCAUCGAAUCGCACCUAUAUUGAGAUUGCUACCAGUCAUGGUAUUCCAGAGCUUAAGGUAGUGGGAGCCUGUCCGGAGGCUGAGGAAUGGUUAGAGCAGGUGGAAGAUACUCUGGAGGGUAUGAGAUGUCCACCAGGUGAGUGGGCGGAGACUGCUGGGUUUUUUCUUAAGGGUCCUGCAAAGAUUUGGUGGAAAGGAGUGAAGCAUUCUCGUCCACGAGGCACUUCGAUGACUUGGGUGGCAUUCCGGAAAGCUUUCAGUGCACAUUUUCUGAGUCCCAGUUAUCAGUUGAGGAUGAGACAACAAUUUCUGGAGUUUCGUCAAGGCGAUCUGAGUAUCACAGAGAUGGAUAAUACUUUUCGACGCCUGUCGAGACACCAUCCGGUGACUUAUGAUAACCCGAGUGAGAAGAUGGUUCAGUUGCUGGUUUGUUUGAACCCUGAUUAUCGUGAACGAGUGGCAGCUAUAAGGCACAGAAGUUAUGAGGAAAUGAUUGAGACUUGUUUGAGGAUUGAACAAUCUAGGUGGGAGACUCAGCACCAGGAGGAGCAGGCGCAGUAUCAGGAACCACCCAGAUAUCAGGAACAACCUCGGAACCAGAACCAGAGAGGUCAUGGUUUUAGAUCUCGGAGUGUGAGGAAAUCUGGUAGCUCUUCUAACUUUGUUGGCCCUAGACACUCUCAUUCCUUCAAACGUCAGGGUCAAGGUUCAGGUUCUUCCAGCGAGGGUUCGGGUAAUGAAUCAGGGAGGCGAUAUUUCAGUCAUUUUCGAUCGCAGGUUACGUGCCACAGGUGUGGAGGCAUGGGACAUAUUGCCAGAUUUUGCCCUUCAGGACAGCCUGCUGAGAGUUAUGCAUCGGUGCCGAGUUAUGGUGGAGGGAGUAAUCCGAGUUCUAGCUAUGGAGGUAAUUACACUCAGAGUUAUGGUGGAAGUGGAAGUGGAAGUCAGAAUACCCAAUUUUCCACUCAGAGACAGCCGCAACAGUUUGGUGCAGCUUCGAGUAGCCGCUCUCAGGGGAAUCGAGCAGGCCGUAAUAAUCAAGGUUUCAGAGCUCGUGGUAACCGUAACAGUGGUGGAGGACGUCAGUUUCAUGGACGUAUCAACGCCAUGACACAGCAGGAGGCUGAUCAGGAUCCUCAAGUCAUUACCGGUAUGUUACUUAUUUGUGGUAACUGGGCGAGGGUUCUAAUCGAUCCGAGUGCUACUUUUUCUUUUGUGUCUUCAUCUUUUGCACCGAAUUUAAAUGCACCACCUACACCUCUUGGUUAUGAUAUGCUUGUGCAAAUGCCGCAAGGGGAUCUGUUUUGUGCUCAGUGGGAGUAUAAAAGUUGCCCAGUGGUAGUGGAAGGGGAAAUGAUGGAGGCUAAUCUGGUCCCUUUUCAUUUGGCGGAGUUCGAUGUGAUUUUGGGGAUGGAUUGGCUAUCCAGGCACCGGGCCUAUGUCGCAUGUUGGGAGAAAUCUGUGACGUUCAAUCGACCUGGACGACCGUCAAUCACAUUUCAGGGUGAGCGACGAAUCCUUCCUAGUAGUAUUAUUUCCGCUAUUCAGGCUACUAGAUUGUUGAGUAGGGGAUGUGUGGGAUUCUUAGCUCAUGUAGUAACGAGGGAUAAAUCUUCGUUACGUCCUAAGGAUGUGCCAGUGGUGAAGCAUUACACCGAUGUUUUCCCGGAGGAUUUACCAGGGUUACCGCCUGCGAGGGAAAUUGAAUUUACCAUCGAUUUACUUCCAGGAACAGACCCUAUCUCUUUAGCACCUUAUCGCAUGGCACCGGCGGAGUUGAGGGAAUUGAAGGUUCAACUUCAGGAAUUGGUGGAUAAAGGUUACAUCCAACCCAGUAUGUCUCCCUGGGGUGCUCCUGUUUUAUUUGUUAAAAAGAAGGAUGGAUCGAUGAGACUUUGCAUCGACUAUCGGCAGUUAAACCGGGUGACGGUGAAGAAUCGAUAUCCUUUGCCUCGGAUCGACGAUCUGUUCGACCAGCUGAAGGGUGCUCAGAUAUUCUCUAAGAUAGAUCUUCGCUCAGGUUAUCACCAGUUGUUAAUUCGGGAGGGAGAUGUACCGAAGACUGCUUUCCGCACUAGGUAUGGACACUUUGAAUUUCGUGUCAUGCCUUUCGGACUGACGAAUGCACCUGCAGCAUUCAUGGAUUUGAUGAACAGAGUUUUCAGACCGUAUUUGGAUCGGUUUGUGAUUGUGUUCAUUGAUGAUAUUCUGAUCUUUUCCAAGAGUGUCAGCGAGCACAAGAAGCAUUUGAGGUUGGUGUUGGAAAGGUUGAGCAGUGAGCAGUUGUAUGCUAAGUUUAGCAAGUGUCAGUUCUGGCUAACCCAAAUUAGCUUUCUCGGUCAUGUAGUAUCUGCUGAGGGGAUUAGUGUGGAUCCUCAGAAGGUGUCAGCAAUAACUACGUGGGAGCAACCGAGGAAUGUUACUGAAGUGAGGAGUUUUCUAGGUCUGGCUGGCUAUUACCGAAGAUUUGUUAAAGGUUUCUCAGCCAUUGCCUUACCUCUGAAUAAGUUGACUCGAAAGGAAGUGGAGUUUAAGUGGGAUGAAGAUUGUGAGCGGAGUUUUCAGGAACUGAAGCGAUGUCUUACUCAAGCUCCCGUUCUUACUCUUCCAGACGAUAGCGGUGAGUUUGAUAUCUACACGGAUGCAUCAUUAUCAGGUUUGGGUUGUGUACUGAUGCAGCAUGAUAAAGUCAUUGAUUAUGCUUCCAGACAGCUCAAAAUUCACGAGAGAAACUAUCCCACUCAUGAUUUGGAACUUGGUGCAGUAGUGUUUGCUUUGAAGAUCUGGAGACAUUACUUGUACGGUGAGAAGUGUCGUAUCUUUACUGAUCAUAAGAGCCUCAAGUAUAUCUUUACUCAGAGGGAUUUGAAUUUGAGGCAGAGAAGAUGGAUGGAACUUAUCACUGAUUAUAACUGCACGAUCGAGUAUCAUCCCGGACAUGCCAAUGUAGUGGCAGAUGCACUUAGUCGGAAAUAUCAUGGAUAGCUUGCAUCUCUCCAAGCUAUUCAUGUUCCACUACUAUUUUCUCUUCGAGAAACAGGCUUGUCGGUGAGACCGGGUGAGCAAUGAGCGUGGUUGGCAAAUUUCCAAGUUAGACCUGUUUUGGUGGAUAUAGUCAUAGAAGCUCAGGAGCUUGAUCAGGAGAGUGCCAACAUUAAGGUCUCGGUGGAAAAAGGAGAAGAGAAGCAUUUUAUCAUCCGAAGUGAUGGAGCCUUGAUGUGGGAAAACAGAUUGUAUGUUCCUCAUGAUAACGAAGCAGUGAAAAGAGCAAUUCUGGAUGAAGCACAUUUGUCAGCUUAUGCCAUGCAUCCGGGAAGUACUAAACUGUAUCGCACUAUCCGUCUGUUCUAUUAUUGGUUGGGAAUGAAGCGGGAUGUGGCGGAUUAUGUGAGUAGAUGCAUCAUUUGUCAACAAGUAAAGGCAGAGAGGCAAAGACCUGGAGGAUUGAUGCAGAAUCUUCCGAUACCAGCAUGGAAAUGGGAAGACAUCACCAUGGAUUUUGUGUAUGGUCUGCCGAGGACGCGGUCGAGAUUGGACGGCAUAUGGGUAAUUGUUGAUCGACUGACUAAGACCGCUCAUUUCUUACCUGUUCGACAGACCUAUUCAAUGGAGAAAUUAUCGAAGUUGUUCAUCGAUAAUAUUGUUAGACUUCAUGGUGUACCUGUCUCUAUUGUUUCAGACAGAGAUCCCAGAUUUACUUCCAAAUUUUGGAAAGCUUUUAAUACUGCCAUGGGUACUCAGUUGCUGUUUAGUACUGCUUAUCAUCCACAGACUGACGGUCAGUCCGAGAGGACAAUACAAACAUUGGAGGACAUGUUGAGAGUGUCUGUUCUUCAGUGGAAGGGUAGUUGGGAUAACUAUCUGCCGUUGGUUGAAUUUGCAUACAACAACAGCUACCAUUCGAGUAUUGGUGUGGCACCUUAUGAAGCCUUGUAUGGGAGAGUGUGUCGAACGCCGUUGUGUUGGGCAGAGGUCGGCGAGCGAGUAUUGUUGGGACCGGAGAUUGUAGACACUACCAAUGAGAACAUCCAGCUGAUAAAGAGAAAUCUCAAGGCAGCUCAAGACCGACAGAAAAGCAUAGCGGACAAACAUUCCAAAGAUCGUGAGUACAAGAUUGGUGACUUUGUAUUCUUGAAGUUGUCUCCCUGGAAGGGUGUGGUUCGUUUUGGUAAACGAGGAAAGUUGAGUCCUCGAUAUGUUGGUCCUUAUCAGAUUACGGAGAGAAUUGGUGCAGUUGCCUAUAGAUUGGAGUUGCCACCGGAGUUGUCUCAGAUUCACAAUGUUUUCCAUAUUUCUAUGCUUCGGAAAUAUGUAUCAGAUCCCUCUCAUGUUAUUCAGCUAGAGCCGCUGGAAGUAAGUCCGGAUGUUAGUUAUGUUGAAGAACCAGUGGCUAUUCUUGACCAGCAGAAUAAAGUGUUGAGGAACAAGGUCAUUCCGUUGGUGAAAGUGUUGUGGAGGAACCACGCUACUGAAGAAGCGACGUGGGAAACGGAAGACCUGAUGAGGAGUCAGUAUCCGUAUUUAUUUGCUUGAAGUUGUAAUUUCGGGGACGAAAUUUUUAUAAGGGGGGUAGAUUGUAACACCCGCCCCCACUUAUAAAAUUAUAUGUGUGUAAUAUUCCCUAAAUAUUCUGAAUCUAUCAAUUUUACCCUUUUUGGACUACCCUAUCAGGAUCUAAACAUUGGAUCAUUCUUUCUUUUCAAACUGCCACGUGGCAGCUCCCUAGCAAUUUCCCUGUCUUCUCUCUUUGUCCCCCCCCCCGUGACUCCUUCUUUCUCUUCUUCUUUUUCUGUUUUCUUUUCUUUCUUCUGUCUGUCUCUCUGUCCCUCCCGACUCUAUCUCUUUCUCUCGUCUCUCUCUCAUAGCUCCCUCAUCUCUCUUCUCUGCAGCAACCCGCACGCACGCACCCGUCUCCCCCGCGCGAAGAAAACCCAUCUCCUUCUUCUCUCUCCCUCUGUCCCGUGCUGCGAGCCCGGAAACCGGAGAGGAACUCCGGCGAAACCUUUAUUUUCCCGGUUGGGACGAAUCGAAGCCGGGUGUAAGCACACCCAACUCCGGCGAUCCCGAGGGUGUCGGGGCUUUUUCCGGCCAUCUCCGAUCGUUCCACGACGAAAGGAAGGUGCAAUUAUUAACGGUGAUUCUGUUAUACCUUCUUGGUAUAGCUUUGCACCGUUGGUGUACGGUGAGUGGACCCCUUCAAAAUCAUGUUUAACAAUAGAAAUGCAUACAUGAAAAGCAUGAUUUAAUACUUAUGUUUUACGAAGUACUUUAUGAGAUAUAUGCUUACUGAGGCUAGAUUGAAUUAUUACUAUUUUUCCUAUAACCCAUGUUCUUAUAGAAUAUCCGAUGGAUGACGAUAUGAUAUUAGAACAUGUUUAGAACACCUCUUUGUAGUAUAGAUGAUGGAUGACUUUAUACUACGAAGUUGUUUUUCAAUAUGUUAUGCUCAAUGGUUUUGUACUUACCUAGUGGUCCUUUCCGCUACGGGACGUAGGGAUAGAUUCCGGUCCGUCCCGAGCGACGGUUUGGUGUUGGCAUAGGGCCUGGAGUGUGUUUCCUCUGGCUAUUUAGCACAGGGACGGGGAGCCGGCAUGGGGCCUGUAGUGUAUUUUCCUCUGACUGUCUGCUCAGAGACGGGGAGCUGGCAUGGGGCAUGUAGAGUAUCGGACAAUUCACUAAUGUUUAUUACUUAUACAAGUUAUGAAUUUGAGAUAUUGCACGGCAUGCUAGGUUUCGGAAAAUCUAUUUUGAUCAUGAUAUAUGUGUUUUCAUUAAACCUGGGGGUUAGUAUGUUGAUAACUGUUUUAUUAUAUUUAUAUCAAACUGGUCCACUCAUGUUUGUUUUGCGCCCCCUUCAGGACCUACGAACGAGGAUUACGAUAUAAGCUACGAGGCUUUUCCCUAUCAGUGAUCCAGUGCUAUACUUCUUCUGCUUCGAUAUCUUUUGUAAUAUAGCACAUCUCUAUUUUAAAUUCUGUUUGUACUCUGUAAUAGAUGUAUGCUCUGACAUUAUGCGUGGAUCCUAAUGUUGUAAUUAGAAGUUGAAUUUGUAGUAUUAUUGUGGCUAGUCUUGCUGCCUGUUUUAGCUUAUUUGUGAGUUUUUACUUAAAUUAAUGGCUUUCGUCACCCUUUGGGUGUCGGCCAGCACGUGAUCAUCCCGAUGUCACGAGGACAUCGGGAUCGGGGCGUGUCAAAUUAAAUAAAAGUUAUAAAAAAAAAACCGAAUCUGCAACCCAGAAGAAGAACCUUCUGGGUACGUGUUUGCAGUUGCGGGGCGAAUUCUAGAUCUUAAUUGGAUUAUUAGUUUCUGUUGUAAUAUGGUAGUUAGAAGAUUAAAAAAAACUAUGAUUUAUGCUUCAUAUGCUAACAAUUAACAGAUAAUUAAUGAAAUUUUUAAUUUUAAAUCUAAAUCCUAACAUAUUUUACAAUAGAAGCUUAAAUCUUAAUUUACUCAAUCACAUGGAUUAUUUUAUAACUACCUUACUAUUAAUUCAAUUAAACCUAUUAUUUCUACGAAAACUAACAAAAAUUUCAAAAAAAACUUUAGUUUUAAUGAAAAAAGAAAAAUGAAGAUUUGGUAAAUAAUACCAAAAAAAAAAUAAAAAUAUAAAUUUUCAUUAAAAAUGAACAGCAUCAAAAGUGUUUUAUUAAUACUCCAAUUAUUUAUUUACAAAUACGUGACUAAAUGAAAGGGAGCACUCAAAAUGAUGAAAAGCAGGAGCACCGAAGGCUAUCUCCGUUUCUUUGUUGAGUGGACAGCUGUCUCUUCGUCUUCUUUUGGCAGAUAGCUCCUAGUGGCCAGCCUAUAUUCCACAGCUGGUUAUAGGAUUCGGUUGCUAUAUAAGAAGUGUUUUGUUGUAAUUCAAUAUCGAUAGAAAUCCAAUAGGAUCUUUUUCAAAAUUUUGUGCGGAUUUUGGUAUGUUCGUAAAUCGUAUUUGUUCAUAUUAUACGCUCAUUUUUCAUGGAAUAUUAUUUUUGUUUAAUUUUAAAUAAAAUAAUUUAAAAUAAUUUUUUAUUGUAACAUGUACAAUGAACGGAUAUGAAUUGAUUCACAGAUCUUCAAAAUCCUUACAAAGAAAAUCCAAAAAUAAUCCGAAUUCAAUGGAGAUAAGUUAAUUUUGAAUCAAAUAACAUUAGGAAAAAAAAUUAACAUUAGACGGUUUUAAAUAAUUUAUUGUAUAUUUUUAGGGAAUUGUUAUUAGCACUUUAAAAAUCUCAUUUUACACUCCAAACUUUUUAUAUUAGAAAAGAAAAAUACACUUAUGAGGAAUGUAGAAUAAGAUUUUUGAAUUAACCAUGCAAAAAUGUAAUGUUAAAGCAUCAUGUCAUACAGACCUCUUCAAGGUACCAGAAAUUUUUGCACUAAAGAUGUCACAAGCAGCUGAUAUGAAGCUGCAUUUUCUGUGAGUUGAAAUUUUGUCAAUAUAAUCGAUCACCUGAAGAGAGAGAGAGAGAGAAAGACAGUGAUGUCCAGAGAUGUGAGCCUAAAUGCUGAGUGUGUAAAAAAAGAAGAUUAAAUGGAUAGCAAGAAUAUACAACUUUAAUGCUGAAAAGAACAUUGAAUAUGAUGCUCAUUCAUCAUUGCCAUUGAACGUGUACCUUCUUCUUUUCCUCUUUCUCAAAAGCAAGUAGAGCCUUGAAGACUUGCCUAUAUGAUCCAUCAUCACAACCAGGCAAAGUUGUUUUAAUCAUAGCAACAAUGGCUCUAACUAACUACCUGCCAUAAGAAACAUGCUACAUCAACAAGAUCACAGAGUGUACCAGAAACCGUAAUGUAGCAAAAUCUUAGAUAAAAUAGCUGGCCAAAAGGGAAUGGAAAAGCAAGCACAAAAAACAAUGAAAAGGACCAGUGAUGCCAAAAUUCUGGUGGAAAAGGUGAAAAGCUUAUGUCUAUUACAGUUCUUGUAUGCAUUCUUUAUAACUUAAGUUCUACGUAGCAAAAACCACCUUAUGCACAACAAUAUUGGAAAAAUUAGAUACAUACAACUGAGAAGAUAGGUUUUCAUAAUCUGGACAAGUGCUAACUACCUUCUUCCUAUAAACUGCCACUCCAUGAACAUUAAAUGGUAUUUUCCUUUCACGCAAGGCUGUCUGGAAGACUUUUCCUGAUACCUGUAGAAUAAAUUACAAAAGAAAAUGUGACCAAAAUGUCUUAUAUGAUUCACCUCAUUCACAUUAGCACUAAGGCAAGUAAGCUUGACCUGCCUCCGGUAAAGGAUUGCUAUAUUUCCAUAGGAGCACCCUGCUUCUGACCGUUUAGAUGCAGUCUCCAGGAUCUUGUCGACAACAAAGGCGCAUUGUGCAUCCUCAUUGUGACUUUCCUUGAUAAUUACCUACAUUUUGCCAGUAAAACCAGUGUCACUAACUAAAAGGACUGAAAAAUGACAUCAAAUUGUACUUGUUGGAGCAAGGAAAGAUUAAGUACCUUAGACCCAGAAGAAUUGUCCGUGUCAACAUUCUUUAGUUGGCAUCACUUCUUAUUGUUUUUUAUAACAGAAGAUGCAGCUUCCACACAAUAUAGCGUGUGGACCGAAAGUUCUUAUUAAGCCUAAUCUGAACCAUAAAGUUAUGUCAAAUCCCACAGAACCCCAUAAAAUAAAACUUACUUUCCUGUAAUUGUACAAUAUAUUUGUUCUAUACUAUAUAUAACGAAAAAAGACACCGUGAAUGACAUAAGAUAACAUAGCAGUCAAGUGCGAAGCGAACCUCUUUGUAAUUUGAAAAAUCUUUACGAAAAGAAUCAAAUCCAGAAAUGUCCGCCCCAUUGAAACUGAAAAUGGACUGCAGCAGGAUAUAUGUUAUUUGAUUUAGAACAGAUAAGGGCUGGAUUAGAAUGAGCUGAGAGAGGGAGAGAGGGAGAGACGGAGCAAUAACAUUGGAUUUCCAUAAUAAAUCAACAACAUGCCUGAUCAUCAUCACCAACAAUGGUUAUGUGGUUAUGAGAGGCGAGAAUCCGCAAAAGUCUAUAUUGCAUAGCACUUGUGUCUUGAAACUCGUCUAUUACAAUAGCUUUCCAUGACUCCUGGCACUCCUUCAACACUAAUUAAGAGAACACCAUGUAUCAACAUUUAGCAUUACUUGUAAAACUAGAUAAAUCAAUGAAAUAUACUUAGAUGAUAGAGACCUUCAGGAAAAUCACUUAGCAGCUUCACAGAGCAGCUAAUUAAGUCGUGGUAGUCCAAAGCGUUGCACGAUUUCAAGAUAUCAUUGUAAUUCCUAAGAAUUUCACCCUGAUUCAGAUUGAGAGCUAAAACUCAUAAGCAAUAGUUUCAAAGAACUGAAAUGAUAUCUGAAAUUCUAGUUCUGAGCGUACUCCUGUCACAUCACCCAUUCUUUGGCAUUCAGCGGGAGUUCUUUCCAGAAGCUUUUGCCUGAAACAUAAAUAAAUUUAUUGCCUAAUGCCACAUAUUGUAAGACACACCAUUGUAUUGGUCACUCUAGCUAAGCACAAUGAGCUUCAGUGGCAUACGGCGGUCACACAACACGCCGGAUGCACUCUUCCACUUCAUCCAUCCAGCUUGUAUUCUAUGGUUGAGAUCUCCAUCUAAUUCUCCGUUCUUUUGCAAAAUAGAUCCUAGGUAACGAAAACGGUCGCUCUUUGAUAUUUCUUGAUCUCCGAUCCUCACCCCUAAAUCGUUUUGGCCUCCAUUUGCACUGAACUUGCACUCCAUAUAUUCUGUCUUUGAUCGGCUUAGGCGAAAACCUUUAGAUUCCAACACUUCUCUCCAAAGGUUAAGCUUUGCAUUUACCCCUUCCUGAGUUUCAUCUAUCAACACUAUAUCGUCUGCGAAAAGCAUACACCAAGGAAUAUCACCUUGAAUAUGUCCUGUUAACUCAUCCAUUACCAACGCAAAAAAGGUAAGGACUUAAGGAUGAGCCUUGAUGUAAUCCUACAGUUAUGGGAAAGCUUUCGGUUUGUCCUUCAUGAGUUCUUACGGCAGUCUUUGCUCCUUCAUACAUAUCUUGUAUAGCUUGGAUAUAUGCUACUCGUACUCCUUUCUUCUCUAAAAUCCUCCAAAGAAUGUCUCUUGGGACCCUAUCAUACGCUUUUUCCAAAUCUAUAAAGACCAUGUGUAAAUCCUUUUUCCCAUCUCUAUAUCUUUCCAUCAAUCUUCGUAAGAGAUAGAUUGCCUCCAUGGUUGAGCGCCCUGGCAUGAACCCGAAUUGGUUGUCCGAAACCCGUCUCUUGCCUCAAUCUAUGCUCAAUGACUCUCUCCCAGAGCUUCAUUGUAUGACUCAUUAGCUUAAUACCACUAUAGUUCAUGCAAUUUUGUACAUCGCCCUUAUUCUUGUAGAUAGGCACCAAAGUGCUAAUUCGCCACUCAUUCGGCAUCUUCUUCGUUUUCAAAAUCCUAUUGAAAAGGUCAGUGAGCCAUGUUAUACCUGUCUCUCCCAAAACUUUCCACACUUCGAUUGGUAUAUUGUCUGGGCCUACUGCUUUUCUAUGUUUCAUCUUCUUCAAAGCUACAACCACUUAUUCCUUCCGGAUUCCACGAUAAAAAAAGUAGUUUCUACACUCUUCUGAGUUACUCAACUCCCCUAAAGAAGCACUCAUUUCAUGUCCUUCAUUGAAAAGAUUAUGAAAAUAACCUUUCCAUCUGUCUUUAACCGCGUUCUCUGUAGCAAGAACCUUUCCAUCCUCAUCCUUAAUGCACCUCACUUGGUUUAGGUCCCUUGUCUUCUUUUCCCUUACUCUAGCUAGUUUAUAGAUAUCCAACUCUCCUUCUUUGGUAUCUAGUCGCUUAUACAUAUCGUCAUAAGCCGCUAACUUAGCUUCUCUCACAGCUUUCUUCGCCUCUUGCUUCGCAUUUCUAUACCUUUCACCAUUUUCAUCGGUCCUAUCCUUGUAUAAGGUUUUACAACAUUCCUUCUUAGCCUUCACCUUUGCUUGUACCUCCUCAUUCCACCACCAAGAUUCCUUUUGGUGUGGGGCAAAGCCCUUGGACUCUCCUAAUACCUCUUUUGCUACUUUUCGGAUACAACUAGCCAUGGAAUCCCACAUUUGAUUAACUUCCCCCUCUCUAUCCCACACACACUGGGUGAUUACUUUCUCUUUGAAAAUGGCUUAUUUUUCUUCUUUUAGAUUCCACCAUCUAGUCCUUGGGCACUUCCAAGUCUUGUUCUUUUUUCUCACUCUUUUGAUAUGUACAUCCAUCACCAACAAGCGAUGUUGAUUAGCCACGCUCUCUCCUGGUAUAACUUUGCAAUCUUUACAAGUUAUACGAUCCCCUUUCCUCAUUAGAAGAAAAUAUAUUUGUGUUUUUGACGACCCACUCUUGUAGGUGAUCACAUGUUCUUCUCUCUUCUUAAAGAAGGUGUUGGCUAAGAAGAGAUCAUAUGCCAUUGCAAAAUCCAAGAUAGCUUCCCCAUCCUCGUUUCUCUCCCCAAAACCAUGGCCACCAUGAAAACCUCCAUAGUUGCCUGUCUCCCUGCCCACGUGUCCAUUUAAAUCUCCUCCUAUAAAUAACUUCUCCGUCUGAGCAAUUCCUUGCACCAAGUCUCCAAGGUCUUCCCAAAAUUUCUCCUUCGAACUCGUAUCCAACCCUACUUGAGGUGCGUACGCACUAAUCACAUUGAUAAGUUAUUGUCCUAUUACAAUCUUGAUUGCCAUGAUUCUAUCUCCUACCCUCUUGACAUCUACAACAUCUUGUGUCAAGGUCUUGUCCACGAUGAUGCCAACACCGUUUCUCGUUCUAUUUGUGCCCGAAUACCAUAGUUUAAACCCUGAGUUUCUAGAUAUAUAUAUAUAUAUAUAUAUAUAUCAAAUGGCCCCUAAAUGCUAUUAAAAAUCUCAAAAAUUAACAGGAAACUAAAACAAAUUAGAAUUUAUUCAUGGUUUCGCAAUUCCCAGCCGGGUAAACUGGUGGCCGUUGUAAGAGAGGGCCUCCAGCCGGAUAAACAUUUUCGAGUUAUAUGAUAUUUGUAUAGCAAAAAUACUUUAAUAGCAAGUGCGCGUGAGUGAAGAAAUUGAACUUACUUAUAUUCUUUCGAAUCCCAACCGGAAAAAUUGCAGGCUCUGGGAAGAGCGGACCUCCAGCUCUGCACCUCCUUCACGUCAACGUUAGAACGACCUUCAUGUUUAGCAAAAGCUUCUGCAAAACUUCCCUCGAGUUUACGAAUAUUGGACGGAUCGACUUGGUAGAAAAUGGGGAAUACAAUCUGGUUCUUGGAAUGGUUGCAUUCCAAGAUUUCCACGAGUUCUUUCAAGCACCAUGUGGAUGAAGCAUAGUUUUCAGAGAAAACUACAAUCGAAAUCCUUGACUCUCGAAUCGCUGUCAGGAGCUCGGAAAGGCGGUCGCCUUUUCUGAGGUCUUCGGCAUCAAUGAACGUGUUGAUUGGUUUCUGACGCAGAGCUUUGUAGAGAUGGCUGACGAAGCCCGUGCGAGUGUCUUCCCCUCUAAAAUUGAUGAACACAUCGUAUUCCCAACCAAGGCAAGAAGAAGAAGAAGAAGCAGCAAUUAAUCGAUCGCACCUGGGCAGCGAUGAUCGAGCAGCUUAAGACUAAGAGAAUUGUAAGUACAGAAACACUCAAUAGAUCUACAAAUUGGAUCACCAGAAAUUAGUCAAUGAGUCAAUGCAAAAGGGAAAAGGGCAAUUAUGCUUUUUGCGUUUUCACAUCUUCUUCAGGAAAUUUCGGUGUGAAAGGAAUCCGCAUACUUUUGAUUUUUCAACCCAAGAAAAUGCGAAGAAAGGGGACAAAGUAGUAAAUUUAAUCUACAGUUGCCUACCCAACAACCUCUUGAUUUAAUAUAUAUUUAAUUAGGAAAAGUAGUUUAGAGGAAGGAUGGUAUCUCCUUUUCUUCUCUCUCGAUCAGUCAAUCUUCCCGCGUGCGAUUUAAUCAUGAUUAAAGCUAAGCUUAAUCUUAGAUCGUAUUAUUUAGGUCUAAUUGGAUUCUUAAUUCUUGUUGUGAUAUAGUAGUUGGAAGAUUAAAAAAAAUUAUGAUUUAAAUGUUUGUGGUGAAGUCUGUUACGAUUUAGUUUCAAACUUGAAAAUUUCGUUAACUCCGUUAAUUAUUAGCACAUGAGACUCACAAAUGAAACUAAAAAUAUAAAGUUAGCCUCACAUGUAAUCUUCACGUGCUAACAAUUAAAAGAGAGUUCCGUUUUAGCUUAAUAUAUGUGACUCACGUGUUAAUAAUUAACGGAAUAUUAACAAAAAUUUUAAUUUUAAGCAUAAAUUCAAAUAAACUUCACCACAUAAGCUUAAAUUCUAAUUUAGAUAUCUUCUAACUAUCUUAUCACCAUAAAAAUUAUAAUCAAAUUAAACUUAUUAUUUAUUUAUAAAUGCGUAAUUAAAUCACAAAGUGUUGAAUGAAAGGGAGCACUCCAAAUGAUGAAAGAUGUGUGAUAUCCACACAUCUUUUUUUUUACUUUUUACACAUCGUUUUAAUUUUCGACUGUCGGAUCGAAUUAAUUGAAGAAAAUCAAAGGAUAAAAAUCAACAAAGGGUGUGCAAGAAGUAAAAAUGAGUGUGUGGAUAGUCAUCCCAUGAAAAGCGGGAGCAUCGAAAGCUAUCUCCGUUUCUUGUUGUCUAUUUGUCUUCUUUUGGCAGAUAGCUCCUAGGGACCGGCCUAUUUUCCACAGCUGGUUAUAGGACUCAGUUACUAUAGAAGGAGUGUUUUGUUGUAAUUCAAUAUCGAUGGAAAUCCAACAUAAUCUUUUUCAAAUUUUUGUGAGGAUUUUGGGGUGUACGUAAAUUGAUUAUGUUCAUCGUAUAUUAUGUGACCAUUUUUUAUCAAAUACUAUUUGUGUUUCAUUUUAAAUAAAAUAAUUUAAAAUAAUUUUUAACUGCAAGAUGUACAAUGAACGGAUAUAAUUCACAAAUCUCCAAAAUCCUUACAAAAAAAUCCGAAAAAGAUCCAAAUUCAAUGGAAAUAAGCUAAUUUUGAAUCAAAUUACAUUACUUUAUUUUGUAAAUAAAUUAAUUUUGAAUCGAACAACAUUCAUUUAUUAUGUAAGUAAUUCAUUUUGUAUGUAUCAUCAUAUAUAUUAGGCACAUUUUAUCAUAGGUGAUUUUGUGAAAAAUUAAUAAAAAGUUACAAUAUUAACAAUAGAUCAAUAAUAUUUAUGUUAAUUAUAAAUAGGUUAACCAUAUGUUGUGAUACUUAAAUACAUUUAAAAUAAAUAAAAAUUACAAAAUCUGACAUCCACUGCGACGUAGGAGCCACGGUGCAGCCCAAACUUUGCAGAUAAGAAAUCUGGUAAUUCACAGCAUGACAAACAAAUUACUGGGUCUCCUGACCAUCGUUGAUGCCAAUGUGUGCACAAGGAAAGGAGUAAGGUAAUCAAAUGCGUUAGUCUUGUGUACCUGUUUCGGUGUUGGUUUGGAUGAACCCAUUGAGUUCUCGAUCCUUAACUUCUGGAAAUGCUCCUGAAAGCAUAAAUAUAUGUACGGAUUUAAACCAAUGACAAAUGGACAUAAUUUACGGACAAUGAUUGAAGAAAAUACAGAUAUAAACGCCUCAGUAUUCCAUUGACGAAAGUUCUAGAUUUGAUGAAUCAAAAGUCCCACGUUGAGACUGCGUUAAGGCAAAUGGUUCUCAAAACCUGUUUUUCCCUCAUCAAAUGAGCGCGUUGAUCUGCAGGUAUUUUCUGCCAUCUCAAAACCUGUUACAAAGAAAUAUAACGUUGAUGUCGAGCUGGAUAGCAUAUUAUACCAAUUAUGUGUACAAACCUAUUGAAAUAAAGUAGCUGUAGUUGCAUAUUACGACAGAUAUUAACGAAAACAAAAGAAGGCUCGCCUAUUCAAGAUCCUAAAUCCCGUGAUUCUUUUGUUUUUAGUUUCAGAAAUUUUCAGAGCAAACUGGAAAGUACCAAGAUACUUACAUAUUGGGCAUAAUGAAAUGCAUCUUCAUCUUUCAAGCAAGAUUUGAGUGAGCGCAAACCGUCCUGAGAGUUACAUAAGUCAAUCAGUAAUAUAAAAACGUAGACGCAUCACAUCCAAACACAAGUAUUCAAACACCAACAACUUCUUCAUGCGGUGAGGCAUGUUAAAAAAUAGGGAAGAACAGUUAUUGAAUAGGAAGUUAAAGGACUAAAUUUAUGACCUUGUGUUUGUAGUUCUUGGCUCGUAUGCGUUCAUCUAUUACAAAACCAAUCUGUAACAGGUACAACAGAAAAUAUAAGCAGUAGUCAGAACAUUAAUCUUCGGCAUUCACAUUGCCACCAAUCCAAAGUUAAAAGUCUGAAGGCAAAACAGUAUGAUUCUUAUCUCUCAAACAAAAAUGAAACUAUACCCCGGUCUCAGACAUAAAUGAAAUAAGUUCUACUGCCUCAACUGAGUACUGUGAUUAUAUAUAAAUCCAAUUCACCUUGUCAAGUAAUCUCUUAGGAUCUUGAAAUGCUUCCUUCUUAGCCCAGUCAUUAAAUACAUGCGAGAAAAUUGAUCUCUCAUCCACACUGAAUCUAUUGCACAGUGACAGAAGAAUAAAGUUAAACAUGAACAUAACCAACCAAAAUGCUAGUUAUAAUAGUACACCCAUAAUUGCAAGCAAAACCUUUUUAAGAAGCCAUUUCCAUGGUUUUCCUCCCAAAUUCCAUCAAUUCUGCAGAGGCAACGUCAAAUUUACUAUGAUGGAGAUCAUUUUGCACUGUAAUAACUUCAGAAGGUAGGAGAUUUGGUUUCAGAUCAUCUGUUGACGGAGUAGUUUCUUUUGAAGUGUCAUGAUGCUUUUGAUUGCAAGCCUUCUGUACUUACGUCAGCCUACAAAACAAAAAUUGCAUUCAUCCACACUAGACUUAAUAAGAUUAGAAACACUUCAGAUUCUUCAUUAUUUGUAUUUUUGACUAAACAGCAGAACAACUGAGGAUAAUGAACAGUAAUACACACCUGGACUUCUCGUAGAUGAUUUGGAAUUUCUUUCAGAAAUCGCGAAGGUUGAAGCAUCUGAAGGAGUCACCUUCUCAGUCAGAGCAACAACAACAAAUAAGGAGGACAGGAAUUCAAGCUAAAACGAACCUGCCAACUGGAAUCCAUCGUAACAUAAAGAAUGAAAAGCUUUUUUCGAGCACGAGUCAUUGCAACAUAUAAUAGGCGUCUCUCCUCCUAUGAUUAGAGUGGGAUUAUUGAGUUAUUGACCAAAAGAAAAAAGAGUGGGAUUAUUGUGAAAAACAUGUCAAAGCUCUGCAUAUAACUGAAAAAUGUUGAACAAUUUACCACACACCUCAAUGGAGGUCCCAUUUUCUUUUGCAACCCCAUUGAAUUCAUGCAACAACGGGAUCUCAGAUUCAUUUACCUGUGUUAUUGGCAUGAGCAUUAAAGCAAGCUAAGAUGAUUUGAAGAGGUUGAUAUCGUCAUGAAUAUAGUAGAACAGAAUACCAAUUUCAAGCCAUCAAUUAGGUAUAGCAUUGGCAUGUUUAAUCCGUAAAUCUAAUGACAGAACACCUCAACUCUACACAUAAAUAAAUAAACAACCUGAAAAAUAUUACAGCCACAUGUUAAGGCAAAUACCUUAAUUAUGAAAACUAUAUCCCACUCUAAACCUUUUGACUGCAAGAGAAUGAAAAAGAAAGACAGUAAGCCAAGAAUGUUUUGUAGAACUCCAAAGGAAGUCCAAUAGGGAAAUCAUCGCAAGUAUAAGAGUUAGCGAGGUUCGCAUAAGAGGAUAUCAAAAAGAUCUAGAACCUGAUGAAUAGUAGUCAAAGUGACAGAACUUUGGUUGUCAUGUCUUCGGGAGUGAAAAUUUUCACUCUCCUGCUCAGAUAUGUAGUCGAUGAAAGCUUUGAGUAAAUUAACGCAGCCUUUUUCUUCUGCUACGACUUCUCUCUCCCCUUUUCCCGCAACAAAAUGAGUUGAUAAGAAAUCAGAUACGUCGUCUAGUAGGUACUGAAGAACCUGCAAUGAGAAUAAUCGCAUCACAGCAACAGGGUUGGACCAAGAUUUAAGUGACAACAAUGAUUAACUAACUAAAAUAGAGAAAUUAUUCAUUUAAGACCUUGUUGACGGAAAAAAGGGUUUUCCAAGCAGCGGGUCAUUUAAGCUUAUUGUAUAAAUGACAAUCAUCACAAACGGCAAACUUACAGAUCUCACGUCAUUGUCUUCAUUCAGCAGUUUUCCUCCAUCUACAUCAACGACUGCACGUUGCUCAAGACGGUACUUCUAAAAAUUGAAAGUCAACAACAACAACAACAACAACAACAAAGCCUUUUCCCACUAAGUGGGGUCGGCUAUAUGAAUCCUAGAACGCCAUUGCGCUCGGUUUUGUGUCAUGUCCUCCGUUAGAUCCAAGUACUCUAAGUCUUUUCUUAGAGUCUCUUCCAAAGUUGUCCUAGGUCUUCCUCUACCCCUUCGGCCCUGAACCUCUGUCCCGUAGUCACAUCUUCGAACCGGAGCGUUAGUCGGCCUUCUUUGCACAUGUUCAAAAUCACCGGAGCCGAUUUUCUCUCAUAUUUCCUACAAUUUCGGCUACUCCUACUUUACCUCGGAUAUCCUCAUUCCCAAUCUUAUCCUUUCUCGUGUGCCCACACAUCCCACGAAGCAUCCUCAUCUCCGCUACACCCAUUUUGUGUACGUGUUGAUGCUUCACCACCCAACAUUCUGUGCCAUACAACAUCGCUAGCCUUAUUGCCGUCCUAUAAAAUUUUCCCUUGAGCUUCAGUGGCCUACGACGGUCACACAACACGCCGGAUGCACUCUUUCCAUCCAGCUCGUAUUCUAUGGUUGAGAUCUCCAUCUAAUUCUCCGUUCUCUUGCAAGAUAGAUCCUAGGUAGCGAAAACGAUCGCUUUUUGUGAUCUUCGCUAGAUUUCUCCGGUCAUUAGUGUGGAUAAGUAUAUAAAUGGAUAGAGAUAGGAAAGCAAACACAAGAUGUACGUGGUUCACCCAGAUUGGCUACGUCCACGGAAUAGAAGAGUUCUCAUUAAUUGUGAAGGGUUUACACAAGUACAUAGGUUCAAGCUUUCAUUUAGUGAGUACAAGUGAAUGAUUUUAGUACAAAUGACAUUAGGAAAUAUUGUGGGAGAAUGAUCUCGUAAUCACGAAACUUCUAAGUAUCGGAGUGUGGUGUCGUCUUGACUUGCCUUAUCUGUCUCAUAGGUAGAUGUGGCAUCUUCUCUGGAAGUACUCUUCCUCAAACGAUAAAUUAUUAAGAAGCAUUGAAUAUAAGCAUGAAACGAAGAAAAUGUUAUGGAAUGGUGAUCCUCAUCCUCAAAGAUGAUUAAAAGCAAUUUGAUUCAAAAAUGACAUAUCAACUCUGGAGAAAUGGAAGACAAACCUGUGGUACCAUAUUCGCAACUGAGGUUAUGACAGCUGAAAUCGAUUGUUCCUGUGUGCAUUGAUAAGUGAGACUACCAUAGAGAUUCACAACUAAAUAAAGACAGGUAUUCCACAGAACAACCUUUACCUCUUUGGAAACACAGAUCUAACAAAAACUAUAACAUUUUGGAUUAAUAUUGACAAAUCAAGAAUAAUGCAAGGGAGCAAGAGAUACUCUUCCUUCUAAUAACAAGGAGGCGUGAAAAGUAUACAGAGUUCCAACAAUUAGAGAACUAAAAUCAAACUAAAAAAAUCACCAAAGUAGACAGAAUCUCACUUCGCCAAAAAUUUGAAAAUAUACCUUUUUAUCCAUUGAGAUUCAUGAACUACUACUACUACAUCAUGCCAAUAAGCAAUGCGUAAGAGGAGCUACAAUUUACCGAAUAUAUUUACCCUGAGAACAAGUUUUGAAAUCAUCUCUAGUGUUAACAGCACCUUGCGUCCUUGGGUAAGCUGAGUCCUAUUAUCAAGUAAAGAGACCAAUCAGUACAUAUCCAAAAGAUCUUAAAUGCUUGUAAUACCAAAUAAGAAAGAAACAUGAGUAUAUCUUGAAUUAACCAUGCAAAAAUGUAAUGUUAAAGCAUCUUGUCAUACAGACCUCUUCAAGGUACCAGAAAUUUUUGCACUAAAGAUGUCACAAGCAGCUGAUAUGAAGCUGCAUUUUCUGUGAGUUGAAAUUUUGUCAAUAUAAUCGAUCACCUGAAGAGAGAGAGAGAGAAAAAGACAGUGAUAUCCAGAGAUGUGAGCCUAAAUGCUGAGUGUGUAAAAAAAGAAGAUUAAAUGGAUAGCAAGAAUAUACAACUUUAAUGCUGAAAAGAACAUUGAAUAUGAUGCUCAUUCAUCAUUCCCAUUGAACGUGUACCUUCUUCUUUUCCUCUUUCUCAAAAGCAAGUAGAGCCUUGAAGACUUGCCUAUAUGAUCCAUCAUCACAACCAGGCAAAGUUGUUUUAAUCAUAGCAACAAUGGCUCUAACUACCUGCCAUAAGAAACAUGCUACAUCAACAAGAUCACAGAGUGUACCAGAAACCGUAAUGUAGCAAAAUCUUGGAUAAAAUAGCUGGCCAAAAGGGAAUGGAAAAGCAAGCAUGAAAAACAAUGAAAAGGACCAGUGAUGCCAAAAUUCUGGUGGAAAAGGUGAAAAGCUUCUGUCUAUUACAGUUCUUGUAUGCAUUCUUUAUAACUUAAGUUCUACGUAGCAAAAACCACCUUAUGCACAACAAUAUUGGAAAAAUUAGAUACAUACAACUGAGAAGAUAGGUUUUCAUAAUCUGGACAAGUGCUAACUACUUUCUUCCUAUAAACUGCCACUCCAUGAACAUUAAAUGGUAUUUUCCUUUCACGCAAGGCUGUCUGGAAGACUUUUCCUGAUACCUGUAGCAUAAAAUACAAAAGAAAAUGUGACCAAAAUGUCUUAUAUGAUUCACCUCAUUCACAUUAGCACUAAGGCAAGUAAGCUUGACCUGCCUCCGGUAAAGGAUUGCUAUAUUUCCAUAGGAGCACCCUGCUUCUGACCGUUUAGAUGCAGUCUCCAGGAUCUUGUCGACAACAAAGGCGCAUUGUGCAUCCUCAUUGUGACUUUCCUUGAUAAUUACCUACAUUUUGCCAGUAAAACCAGUGUCACUAACUAUAAGGACUGAAAAAUGACAUCAAAUUGUACUUGUUGGAGCAAGGAAAGAUUAAGUACCUUAGACCCAGAAGAAUUGUCCAUGUCAACAUUCUUUAGUUGGCAUUGCUUCUUAUUGUUUUUUAUAACAGAAGUUGCAGCUUCCACAAUAUAGCGUGUGGACCGAAAGUUUUUAUUAAGCCUAAUCUGAACCAUAAAGUUAUGUCAAAUCCCACAGAACCUCGUAAAAUAAAACUUACUUUCCUGUAAUUGUACAAUAUAUUUUUUCUGUACUAUAUAUAAUGAAAAAAGACACUGAAUGACAUAAGAUAACAUAGCAGUCAAGUGCGAAGCGAACCUCUUUGUAAUUUGAAAAAUCUUUACGAAAAGAAUCAAAUCCAGAAAUGUCCGCCCCAUUGAAACUGAAAAUGGACUGCAGCAGGAUAUAUGUUAUUUGAUUUAAAACAGAUAAGGGCUGGAUUAGAAUGAGCUGAGAGAGAGAGAGAGAGAGGGAGAGAGGGAGAGAGGGAGAGAGGGAGAGAGGGAGCAAUAACAUUGGAUUUCCAUAACAAAUCAACAACAUGCCUGAUCAUCAUCACCAACAAUGGUUAUGUGGUUAUGAGAGGCGAGAAUCCGCAAAAGACUAUAUUGCAUAGCACUUGUGUCUUGAAACUCGUCUAUUACAGUAGCUUUCCAUGACUCCUGGCACUCCUUCAACACUAAUUAAGAGAACACCAUGUAUCAACAUUUAGCAUUACUUGUAAAACUAGAUAAAUCAAUGAAAUAUACUUAGAUGAUAGAGACCUUCAGGAAAAUCACUUAGCAGCUUCACAGAGCAGCUAAUUAAGUCGUGGUAGUCCAAAGCAUUGCACGAUUUCAAGAUAUCAUUGUAAUUCCUAAGAAUUUCACCCUGAUUCAGAUUGAGAGCUAAAACUCAUAAGCAAUAGUUUCAAAGAACUGAAAUGAUAUCUGAAAUUCUAGUUCUGAGCGUACUCCUGUCACAUCACCCAUUCUUCGGCAUUCAGCCGGAGUCUUUCCAGAAGCCUUUGCCUGAAACAUAAAUAAAUUUAUUGCCUAAUGCCACAUAUUGUAAGACACACCAUUGUAUUGGUCAUUCUAGCUUGAUUGUAGCUAAUAUUUUUUAAAUCGAAUGAUUAGAGUUCUUAAUCCACAAUAAUCUGAACAUUAAAUUUGGUAUUCAAGACUAACCUGUGUCACCAACUACAGCCAUUUCCUUGAUGCAUCCUUAAAAUGAUGUGGAGAUGUUACGCCGUUAGACUCUUCCCCAUCUAUAGCAACAUUAAGAUUCGUUUACUCUUUUCAUCUUCUGAUAACCGCACAGCUUCAAUGAUUGCUCUUCUCUGUUGCCCAUGUCCAUAUAUCAAAAAUUCUGGUCUGCGCUCGAGUCUAAAACACAAGCCAACAUAACAGACUCAGCUAUACCACCAAAUGUAUGGUGUUCAAAAUCAAGGGAGGUGAAUCAAUAGCUUACUUCUCAGCAUGUGAUCGGCAAAGUUGCAAUGAAAAUGAAUGAAAUGUACUGAUUGUUAGUAGUUUUGCCGUUGCUUUCCCAGUCACAGAUCCAAUUCGAUCUCUCAUCUCGGAAGCUGCUGCUGUAGUGAAAGUCAUUGCUAGAAUGUUCGACGUGCUAAUGCCCUAAGAACACAAAAAAAAAAAAAAAAACGUAUAAGAUUUCGAUCAUAAACAAGAAAUGUAGAGAAACACACAAUUACGAAAGAAAAAGUUAGAGGGAAAGUAGCAACACCUCAUUGAGCAGCAUUAGAACGCGCCCAACUAUCGUUGAAGUCUUUCCACUUCCAGGGCCGGCAACAAUCAUCAAAGGUACUGAAAUAUCGCUGCAAGCUGCCUCGCGCUGCCUUUCGUUGAGAGAAAGCAAAUACUUCAAUACUCAUCCGGCAUGUUAGGCAAUCCAUGGUUAACAGAAUCUUUUUGGUUUUCACUACUCAAAGGUGGCGCUGAUGCGGCACUAACGUCACUACCACAACUCCCAAUAUCAUCACGCUGAAUGUCCACACUCGGUUUCUGCUCGAUUAAAGCGUCAAUUUCCUGCAAAAUACUCUCGUCGAAAUCAUCAUCGUUAAGAAUUCCAGAUGCAGAGAAAGAAUCAAAUGAAGUCAGAAACUGCGGUUGUCUGAUUGGAGUUGUGAAAGAAUCCGAUUUUGACACGCUUGAUUCGGUCCGGCUAACGCUUAAGCUCCCGGAACACGAAGCACUGCCAUAUUCACCACGCGUUGAAUUGUACCGGCUUGCGGAAAUCGGAGGCGGUGUUCUUUGAACUCUAUUGAGCUGAGUUGGCGUUUGGAUUCCAUUUCCGCCACAGAUUCUGGAAUUUGAAAAACACAAUUGAAUUGAUUUAAAUUGAAGCAAGAAAACAGCCGAGUAGCAAAAAAAUAGUAAGAAGAUGAAACCUUUGAUUCCUGAACGACUUACUUGGUAUGAGGGAGGUGAUGAUCAGGUGAAACGGCGUCGUUGCGGGGGCGUUUGCGAUCAAUGAGGGCCUUGGCGGCUCUGAAAUUCCGAGAGAUGCGGUUUCUUUGUUCCGCCGUGAGCCCUCCGCCGUACGCCUGAACGUUUUCCUUGGACAUUGCUUCGAAGAUUCCAACGGAGGAUUUGGCCUGACGGCCUGACCAGGCUGAUAACAGUGUAAAACCUUAGGAGCUAAGGAAAACUAAGAGAUAGAUCGUAGAGAGGGAAAGUUUUUUCUUUUUGGAAACUAGUAGGGAGGGAAAGUUUGUUAAACCUGAAUAAUAUUCUUUUCAUUCAACUUGUCUACAAUAAUUACCACUCUUGGUAUUUAUACAUUUCUAACACACCUCACUAACUAACUAAGACCACUACCAAUCAUACAAAAAUAAUUGUCCUUUGAUGAACUCUUUCACGAACAAAGUGGCAAUCAAUCUCUACAUGUUUGGCUUUAGAGUGCAAUACAGGUUUAGUGGCAAGAGCCAUUGCUUAAAUGUUAUCACAAUGCAAAACUGGAACAGAAGGAGAACCAACAUGCAAAUCUCGAAGAAGAUGUUGUAUCCAGAUAACCUUAGCAGUGGUUGUAGCCAUUGCUCUAUAUUCAGCUUCAGUGGAAGACCCACUCACUGUAUGCUGCUUUUUAGAACUCAAAGAGAUAGGAGUGACAAAACCCAUGGUUGAACGACGAUCAUUGUGAUCCCCUGCCCAAUCAGCAUAUGUAUGAGCUUUCAACUAAGAUGAACCUGAUUUAAAACACAAUCCCAGAGACAUAGUGCCUCUGAGAUAUCGCAGAAUACGUUUCACAGCAGCAAAUGAGUGGCUAAUGGUGAAUGCAUAAACUGACAUACUUGAUUGACGGAAAAAGAAAUAUCUGGUCUUGUAAAUGUUACGUAUUGUAGUGCCCCAACAAUACUUUUGUAAGUGGUAGGAUCAGAAACAGGUUCACUACCAUGAUUCAGAAGCUUUUGAUUAGGAUGACAAGGUGUGGAAAAAGGUUUACAGUCCAGCAUAUGCAUCUUUUGAAUGAGUUCUUUGACACACUUGGUCUGAUGAACAAAGAGUCCCUGUUCUUGAUAUUCAAUCUGUAAACCAAGAAAAUAAUGCAACACACCCAGAUCUUUCAUGUCAAACUCACUAGUUAACUGACUAAUAACAUUCUGAACCUUCACAGCAUCAUUACUAGUGGGAAUGAUAUUAUCAACAUGUAAUAAGAGAACAAUAAUUGAUGAACCAUCACACUUGACAAAUAAAGAAGGAUCUGCAUAUGAUGACUUGAACCCAAGCUUAGGCAAAUAACCUGAAAACCUGUCAUGUUAGGCUCUGGGAGCUUGCUUGAGUCCAUAUAAAGACCUCUCUAGUUUGCACACAUAAUCCGGAUAGGUAGAAUCCACAAACCCUUGGGGCUGAGACAUAAAAACUUCUUCCUCAAGAAAGCCAUGCAAAAAAGCGUUCUUGACAUCUAACUGUUUGAGUUUCCAAUUAUGAGAUGCAGCCAAGGAUAGAACCAAUCGAACUAUGUUUGGUUUGACCACAGGGCUAAAGGUUUCAUAAUAGUUAAUACCAACUUCUUAAGAAUACCCCUUAGCUACAAGUCUAGCCUUGUACCUAGCCACUAAACCAUCUGGAUUUCUCUUAAUCUUGUAGAUCCAUUUACAACUAACAAGAUUUUUGUCAGGUGGUAAGGGCACAAGCCUCCAAGUAUGAUGUUGAAUCAAAGCAUCCAUCUAUUCUUUCAUGGCAUUUUGCCAUUAAACACACUUGACAAUACUAGAAAAAGACUGAGGUUCCUUGAUUUCAGAAGCCUGAUCCACCUUAGCAGAAAACACCUUCUUUUUCAUAAUCCUAGACUUAGACCGGGUUUGCAUGGGAUGACAAUUUUGAGCAUUGAUACACACUGGUUGGAGAUCAUCCACUUGAGACAUUGUAGUAUUUGGAUGAUCUUUUGAAUACACAGUAGGCAAAACCUCUGAAGAAGGCACAAAACUUGUGGAAGAAGAGACAAGAUCACCAGAACUAGUGGGUUGAGAGGAUGAUGACUGAGUAACAUGUUGUGAUUUAGAGGUAAGAGAAGUGGGACCAAUAAAUGGAAAUGUGGAAGAAACACUAGGUGGAUGAAUGAAUGUGUUUGAAUGCACAACAGACAUUGGUGAGGAAGAAUGACCAGAAGUAACUUGAGGAUUGAAACCCAAAGCAUUAGAGUCUGUAGGAAACUUGGAUUCAUCAAAAAUAACAUGUCUAGAUACUAACAGUUUCUGAUCUUUGAGAGAUAAGCAAAUAUACCCUUUGUAUUGUGUAGCAUACCCCAGAAAAAUACACUUAGUAGUUUUAGGUUCAAGUUUAUUGCUUCUAUAGGGUUUCAAUGAAUGAUAGCAUAAACAACAAAAAAUUCUCAAAUGAUCAAGCUUAGGUGGAGAUUUAUAUAGCAUUUCAAAAGGAGACUACAUAUGUAGGGUAGGUGUGGGCAUUCUGUUUAUAAGAAAAGUAGCAGUGGCACACGAAUGGAACUAGAAUUUUGAAGGUUGAAACUUGUUGUAAAAAGGUAAUAGCUGUUUCGACAAUAUGUUGAUUUUUUCUCUCAGCCAACCCAUUAUGUUAUGGGGUAUAAGGACAAGAUUUUUGAUGAACAAUGCCUUUGGUAAGAAGAAAUUGCUUAAACUGAGUAUUAACAUAUUCCCCACCCCCAUCACUUUGCAAAAUUUUUACAUAAGCAUCAAAAUAAUUCGAGACAAAAGCAAGAAAGUUGACAAAACAGUGAGGGACCCCAAACAUCUAUGUGAAUUACUUCAAAUGGAGUAAGUGACUUCGAAGCAAUUACAGGAAAAAUGGAGCUUGGUAAAAUUUGCCUUGCAAACAAGCUUUACAAGUAUGAGAUUGAGAGUUACAAGGAAAAGAUAUACAAGACUUAUUAAGUGCUGCAGUGACAAUGGAAUGUGCAGGAUGGCCUAAUCGACAAUGCCACAAUGUAGAAUACAUCUUUUGACCCACAAAUGCAAUUGGAUUAAAAACAGGAGAAAUAGACCUAUGUGGUUUGAUUAUGGGAAGUGGAUAGACAACAUUAUUACUCAGCCCUUGGAAUAGCACUUUCCCGGUGACCUUGUCUUGUAGAUAGAGAGAAACAUCAUCAAUGAUACAAUGACACUGAUUAUCUUUGCACAACUGAUUCAUAGAUAAUAAGUGUUGUGACAGUUUUGGAACAUGUAACACAAAGUUUAACUUGAAAUUAUGUGACUUAGUGAGAAGAGAAGAGGAACCAAUAUGUUUGAUAGCUAAACCUUCACCACUAGCACUGGUCACAGUAUCAUUUGAUGGAUAAAUUUGUUGCCAUGUGCAAGUUUGACAAAUCUGAGGUCAUAUGGUUAGUUGCUCCCAAGUCAAGAAACCAUAAAUCUUGUUGAAGAGUUGAGGAUGAUGCACCAGCUCGUGCUUGUAUAGCAAGAGGAGGAUUUUGUGAGGAUAUAGUUGAGAGAUACAUAUGUGGUAUGACAUGAUACUGAAACUGGGAGCUAUUAGACCGUGGAAUCAUGCCUUGUGAAGGACCACAUGGAUUCUAGCUAGGUGCUUCGCCAUAUGACCCAGCAGGCAUUGGAGUUGGCAUAGAUGAGGAUAAACCCUGAGAGAAAUGCUUUGAUGUGCCUGUGAAAUUCUUAUUUCGAUCAAAGCAAGUAGCAGCAACAUGGCAAUUUCUGUGACAAAUUUGACAUCCAUGUUGAAAACAAUUCAAUGCAAAAUAAACUUUGCGAUCACAUAUUUGCAGAAAGGCCUUUGCAACCCUAGAAAGAAGAAGGAGCAAAGAAGACCAAAUGUGUACGUUUCUCUUUGGUUUUUUUUCCCUCUUAAUCACGCUGUUCGAAAUCACGGACCUCGGGCCUGGGCCUAGUGGGCCCAAUUAUGAGGCCCAUUAUCUCCGGUCUUCUCGUUCUACUUCUAGUUACCCAAAUUAAGAACGUACUGGUUCGCUUUUAGCGCGAGAGAGAAAUGGAGGCCCUGAUUGCCUCGUACGGAGACUCGUCGUCGGGCUCAGACUCCGAGUCGCCGGCUCCACCUCCAUCACCACCUCCGGAGCUCAACAACCCUCAAGAACCGACCCCUGCGCUGCCUCCACCUCCUCUGUCACUUCUCGACAACCCCAAUUCCUUCGGUAACCUCUGAUUCCCAUCAAUUUUCAUCUUUUAGCUUUCUGUUGUGAUGGCUUUUUCCGAGUUGCCCACCAAGUAUUUGAUGUUUUGCCUCUGAAGGAUUUCUGGACUUCUCGGCAAGCGCCCAGCCGAGCAGAGUUCGGAACUUUCCUCACGUCGAAGGGAACUACGCAGUACAUGUAUACAUCCCAGGUUAUCAAAAUUCUCGAAAUUUUCAGCUCCAUUAGCAAAUGCGAUCGCUUUGCACUUAGUUUUUGCUUGUUUAAUUCUGUGGUCAGUUUAUAUACCACCAGCACCAAGGAAAGAGAUGGCCUUGUUUUUGAACAAGCUAGCUUCUCUGGUGCCUGGUCUCCAUGCGGUUGACGUUGACUUCCUGCUUGACAUUCUGCGUAAGGACGAGCACAAGCUUGAACAAGUUGCUUUAGGCAGAGAGUUCCAUAUAAGUCUCGGAAGAACUGUUCCGAUUCGGGUGCACCAGAUUGAUUCCUUGGUGACAAUGCUGCGGCAGAAGCUUCAGAUUCAGAGGCGGUAUGGUUACAUUUACAUUCUCUUGUCUGCAUUGCGUGAAUUUAGUUCUGUUAUUUAACAUAAUUCUGUAAGCCUGCAAAUUUUUCGUCCAUUUUCAGUUUAACACAUUUUGUUAUUGUGAAACAAGUAUUGGAUUGAUUUUAGCAAGUGGUAGGUUUUUGUUAAUGAUGAUCAGACCCGGACCUUUGUGUCUAUCGAAAUCAUUGCUGCUGGGUUAGCUGAGGUAUGAUUGCUAGCUUUCUCUCUUGGUGCAAUUCUAAAUGUUUUCAGUUGUUAUAUGGGCUUAAGAUUUAGCAAGGACUUGCCGAAAGUCAUGGGAUUUUGAAAUAUCGAGAUCUUGCUUGCUUAUUAGCUUAGAUUUGGUCUUCGAUGCACUUGUAACAUGAAAAACACAAACGAAAACUAAUGCAUGAUAUGCUCAUGGUUUUAACAUGUGUUGUCCUGGCGUAAAUCAUGUUCCUAAUCAUGUCAUGUGAGUAUAAGCCUAUGAAACUUAGGGCAUGUUUGGCGGGCUGGACAAGAUUGGAAUUGGUAUUUCAGACUAGUUAGGUUAGGAUUGAACUGGAUAGGAUAGGUUUUUUGUCUAAAGAUUGGUGUAGACUGUCUUAACCAGACUAGGAACGAUGGGAUUUAAAACGUGAAACAGAUCGGCGACAUCCCAACGAUGACCCGCCCACCCAACAACUCUGCUCGUGACUUGCAACACCUCUCGUACCCUCCACGCCCCUUGCGGCCCGUCAGACCACUCUGAUAUCCUGGAGGAGUGAAACGUGGUUACUAGAAGCAUACCUGUUUUCGUAUUAAUGCACGGUUGAAUCAGCUUUCAUUGUCUACAAGUCUGAAAUAUUUUAACUUCCAUUGAUUUCAGAUAACAAAGCAGAUUCAAGCUGUGAAUGAGGUGUAUAAGCUUCACAAUCAUCCUAAAUUUUACAAGGUUAGCUUUUUCGUCCUUUUCAAACUCGAAUCGCUUCCUGAAUAUAUGACAAUAUAUUGGAUCAAAUGAUUUCUCAAAAAACUAAUUCACUUGAUGGGGUCUUGGUGAUCACAGGAUCCACGCCCUCACAUCUCGGUAGCUUGGGCAUUGGGUGACAUCAGCAAUUCCCUGAACAAAGUGGUUGAAGAAGAAAGACGAAGAUCUACCAUCGGAGGAUCGUUACAGAAAUGUAUUUUUACCAGUAAAUUCAAUGGUAUCGAAUGUAGGAUUGGUAAUAAGACACACAAAAUAUGUAAAUUUUCUGAAGAAUAAUGUAGCCAUUUAACUGUAUUGUGAAAUUCCGAGAAUAUAUCACUGAGCAUUGGAUGAGAAGACAUUUCUUCGUUGGUGUCGAACUUCUUGUCGAAGGUAUUGGCACCAGUGUAAACGUCAUCAUCCAUGUUGAUGGUAAUUACUUCCCAGCUACUAAGGGUGUCGGAACAGCCUUGCACGCAGCCUCCUGUGCAUUACUUGGUAUUGUCUCAGAUUCUCCAAACUUGAAUGCUAAUGUAAACCCACUCUUGACCUUUCCGUCAUCUGCGAUUACCGGAAUGCCGGCUUGGAUGUUGCCGUUGACCUACCGAACUUAAAAUACCGACGAAAUGUUGGAGUACUUAAGUGUACUACUCGUUUUUGUAUGCGAGAGCUCCACCUCUAUCGUUGUAACAGCAUCUGAUGCGGACUAGUCCUUCAUUCCCGUUACUCUUUGCCAUCUCCACUUCGAACUUGGCGUGAUGGCUCCCGGCCUCCUCUCCGGUGAAAUUGAGUAACCCCGGAGCUGGCGUGCCAUCAAGAUUUCCGUCGUGUCUCUAUUUGCUGUUGUGGUUUGGUUUCACCACUAUAAACUUGGCAGAGUUGGCAUUUUCAUUCUGUUGUCUGUAUAUCUUGAUAUUACAAGUAUUUGUUGUGCAAAAUGCAUGCUAAGUUCAACUUAUGUUUAUAUGUGUGUGUGUGUGUGUUGCCACUUUUCCAACGUUUUCUCCAAAAUUGUGACGAGCAACAAAGCAGUUUUGAUUCCGUGCACAACAACGAUACCUCGAAAGAAAUUGAUUCUUCCCCAGAAAGAUGUUUUAAAACAAAGUUGAACAAGGGAAGAAAACUUUUGAAUCGCAAUCAGAUGUCUGGUCAAAUUCUUUAACAGUUGAUGUAUACAGAAGUUCCUUGCUUAUGACACGACUUAUGAGAGGAUGUAUGUAUUGCAUUUGCAUCAAAAGAAAGAAAGAAGGUUGUAAGUGGUAAGGGAACGACUACCGAUGCCGCUCCACUUCUAAUCAAAGGGAUCGAUCCGAGGGUCGUGUUCACUUGCCAUCGCCAUUCCAGUGCAAAGGCAUGUCGGGCACAUUACCUGCCACAUUUACAGACGCAAUGUUAGAUAUAGCUGCCAUUUGGAAGUCAUCUCUCAAAAUUUUGCUACUAAAUCAAUCUUAAACUUCAUUUCCAGUGCAAUUUUUUUCUUCUGAAUUGUCUUUCACAUGCCCGACAAAUAGAAGUAUCACCAAACAUGUGAAUAUAGAGCAUCUAAGCGGCAGGCACUAAAAGGAAUUUAGUAUGCAAUAAACAUUCAACGGACAUAAUUAUAUGUCUAACCUUUCCCGCUCCUGAGCAAUUUGAACAUCGUUCAGUUUUUGGCAGAGAUAGGGGUUGGUUUCCGCCAUCAGCUGUCGAUACUGGUUCAGUAAGAACAAGGGUUCCAGUGCUGGAGCAACGAGCACAAGCAAGAGAUCCUGCGUAAGUAUCAAAUACACAGGUAAGUUGACAUACGAAACCAAUCCGAACAUCUCCAUCGUAUAUAUUUAAAGCUACAGUACAUAAACUAAAAGUCAGAAAUAUAGGACAUUAUCACACCAGUUCCAAGACAAUAUUUGCAUCGUUUAUGCUCCUGCUGUUUCACAUUGUUUAUUUCAACUACCAUCAAUGCUGAGAUCACUCCGACUGCUCCUCCAGAGAAUGACGCCACUAUGGGAUCAACUUGACUGCAGUUUGAAAGUAAAGGAGAUCAAUAAACGAAACUGGUAACAACAUAGUAUCAACAUUAUUUAGCUUCGUUUCAAGAAAGAUGACAUCCUAGGUUUUUCUAAUGUGUAAAAAUUGAGGAUCCUCGUAAAAUUUGACCAUAUCGGUUCCCAAAGCAUUUGAUUCCUACGUUACAGACGGAAAACAGCAACAAUCGAAUUUAAAGAUUCAUAACACGAUAGAUGGUACAAAAUUUCAAAACGAUAAUUACUAGAGAACAGGAGGGUUAAUAGCCUGAGAUAUGAGCAAUACCUCAACUGCAACGGCAGAUGCAUAUUUACUAUAAAGUCUUUAUAUGAUGUGCCUCCUAUUCCCAGCUUCAACUCCAACUGAAAGAUGUAAAGGUAAUUGUAGGCAAAGAGUUACAAACAUAACCGAAUCCAUGUUUUAUAAGCAACAACUACACUUAUUUUGAUAUGUUUCCUCAUUUUUUACUUGCAAAUUCCGAACCAUAUUGUCGGACCAGUAAAAGAAAAUAAUGUUUAUGAUAACUGUUAAAACUAAUUACAACAAGUUAAUGCAUAAAGAACUUACGGAGGGUGCUAUGAGGCCACCGAAAAGGAUAAACCCCACAAUAAUUGAAUAACAAACAGCAUAAUACUGCUUAAGGUUGUCUGAACUCUGCAAGCAAUGAAUUCACCUUGUGAUUAAUACUUUGCACAAACACUAGUUUUCGCAAUUUUUUAUGAAUCGACAAAAGGCUACAACAAAAUAUGGCUAAAACAUGUCGGGGAUAUGAAAAUACAUGUCUUCACAGGGGCACCAGCUUACCAGGGGAGGCAAAAAUGGAAUGAACGAUGGAAAACUAGGAAGUUCGUUUUCUUGAUCUUCAUUUACCGCUCCAAGCUCUGCACGUUUAAUCCGCUGUUGUAUCCUCAGCCUGCGAACCUACGCAUAUCGAAGCUCAUUCUUAAAGAACACAUUUCUAAUGGCAAUUGGAGAGUAAUUUAAAACAUGCUAAACUGAGAAAGUGGUAGCAACUAGUAAUUGCUCUCACCUCCUCCAUAUGCAAGAAAAUUUUGUUGCGACGACUCCGAAUAUUAUCUUGAAUUUCCUGCAGCUCCAUUGUGGCAAAAUCCUGCACUGUUUCAGGCCCCUCUAUGAUACAAAAUCUGCACCAUUAAGCAUGUAAAAAUUAAAAAUUACAGGCUACAAAGCAAUUUCCGUAUAGUUGUUGGGUUAAAUAACAUCAACAGCAAAUAAAUCACAUAGGUUUUUCACAUAAAGUUACAAACUUUCAAGGACUAAUAAGCUGUCUGCAAUCUCAUAAAUUUCACAGUGCAAAGUAACAAUCCAAAGCUUGGAACUUUAAAUUUCCACCUUCUGUUAAUUUUUUAGUGCACCUGGUGUCGUUAGAUUCGAGUAGUAUGUCACAUUAAAUUUUUUUUUUCUGUGCAUGCAUUUUUUUUUAAAAGAAAAUUUUAUAUUGUUAAAGAGCGAGUUCGAAACUAUUACAUUAUGGAAGGACAUAGUACCGAAACUCCGACGAUCAAAAACAAAAUCAUGUACAACCACUCCAAGCAGUCAACAUGGCCAUCACAUAUUGAAUCCAAAAUGUUGACGCCCCAUUCGCUGCAUAUAAUGUACAGACGAGCGGCAGCUUCAACCAGUUCUGCCAUAUCCGGCUGGAUGAGAGCAGCUAAAGACAUGAUUGUUCCCUAAUAACAUGAAUAAAUUGAGUAAACACCAAAAGUAGCAGCAAGGGAAGGAGAUGUGAAGUAUAUGAAGAGGUGUAAGACCUGUGAAUGUCCAGCAACAAAGAUUUUGGAGCUUGUUGUCGAAUAAUGCAACGCAUCAUUUCUGGUAGAUCAAAUAGAGCCAAUUCCCGCCAACUCCAAUUCCAAAAUUUCUACAGUAAAGCAUAAAUCUUAUUCUCUCUUCUGAUAAAGAUGAGUGUCCCAGACUCCAACGUGUUCCACACACAUUCCCUACCCAUACAUCGAAACCUUCAUCUGCAAGGACGAAUCCCAGCGAUUCUUCUGGAGAAUUUAAGAAUCAUGCAUCACCUGGUUAAGAUCAAGAAAAGCCAGUAACCAAGUUCAAUUGAGUUAAAAUGUAUCCCAUGGAUGUUCAUCACUUUGCCCAAUUGUUCUUUUCAAGAAAGGAAAUUUCAACAGAACCUGAAAACUUCAGAUCAGGGGGCACCAAAUAGUGAGCUAUACAUUCAAAAUUUGAAAUAAUCAACUUAGUAGGACCAGUAUGUUGAAAAAAUGGGAAGGAGCUAUGAAAGUAAGACUUUUCACUAAUCAGGCGUCCAGAGAAUCCAUAUUUUACCCGCGUAUCAGUUACGGGGAACACUCCCCACCAGAGCAAUCUCAUUAGUCCUUCACAUCUCAACCGUACAGAAGUUGCACUAACAAACAUGACUCCUAUUAGUCCUUCACAUCUCAAAUCCAGGAAGUACCCAUCUUUCGUCUGAAUCUGGAAAAUAAGCAGCAGUCAAUUUAACAAUCUCGGUAUCUCAAAGUUACUCACUUUAAUCACAAAUUUAGCAAUUAAACAUAUAAAUGGGCAUUUUUUUAGGGAAAUAUUAGUAUAGUACUCACUGUGUGCUCGGAGCAAGAGUACCCAGAAAGCUCAAUGAGCUGCGCACAGAGGACUGCAGUGGUGAACGACAGCGACCAAUUCUGUAAAAUUUAGUCGAGUUUUGGGAAAUUUCUGCAGCGAUUUCGGAGGUCAAGAGGCUGAUAAGGAAAGCCGCGACCAAAGGGCACUGGUCUGGAAGAAAGGCUUUGGUCGCCGCUAUCGCAAUUCGCGAAGGAAGAAGUGCCCCAAAACAAUUUCGGCCCUGGACAGGUGCACUGUUUGCACUGAGCCAGGGCCGGCCCUGAAUCGCGAUAACGUCCUUCUCCAAACAGUAUAUAUACAGAUGCUAGAAAAAUCUACCGGAACUAUUCAAUUCUAGCGUCUACAGCUUUAGCAUUAGUUGGUACAAGGGGCAUUCUUCCAAAGAGGGAGAUGAAAUCGUUGAGGCACCAAAUAGUGAGCUAUACAUUCAAAAUUUGAAAUAAUCAACAUGGUAGGACCAAUAUGUUGAAAAAAUUGGAAGGAGCUAUGAAAGUAUGGCUUUUCACUAAUCAGGCGUCCACAUAAUCAAUAUUUUACUCACAGAUCAUUUACGGGGAACACUCCCCACCAAAACAAUCUUUUUAGUCCCUCACAUCUCAAACCAAGUAGAAAUUGCAGUAACAAACACAUCUCAAACCCAGUAAGUACCCAUCUUUCGUCUGAAUCUGGAAAACAAGCAGCAGUGGAUUCAACAAUCUGGGUAUCUCAAAGUCACUCACUUUAAUCACAAAAUUAACAAUUAAACAUAUAAAUGGGCAUUUAUUUAGUGAAAUAUUAGUAUAGUACUCACUGUGUGCUCGGAGCAAGAGUACCCAGAAAGCUCAAUGAGCUGCGCACAGAGGGACUGCAGCGGUGACGACGGCAACCGAUUCUGUAAAAUUCAGUCGAGUUUUGGGCGAUUUCUGCAGCGAUUUCGGAGGUCAAGAGGCUGAUAAGGAAAGCUGGGACGGAAGGGCACUGGUCUGGAAGAAAGGCUCAGGACACCGCUGUCCCGAUUCAUGAAGGAAGAAGUGCCCCCAAAACAAUUUCGGCUCUGGACAGGUGUACUGUUUGCACUGGACCAGGGUCGGCCCUGGCGAUAACGUCCCCCAAACAGCACAUAUACAGAUGCUAGAAAUAUAUAAAUGUAACCUGAAACUACUAGAACCAUUCAAUUCUAGCGUCUACAGCUUUAGCAUUAGUUGGUACAAGGGACAUUCUUCCAAAGAGGGAGAUGAACUCAUUGAGGCUCUUAUUUAUUCCUCCUCUUGAUGUGCCCUUUUAGGCUGCUAAUUCCACACGAUCCAAUUUCAUACAUCUUCCCUGCAAAAGCAUGUGUGCCUGACUUCAAGAUCAAAUUUUUCCAACAAAAGAAACUUAAAGAUCAAACUCGCUAGCGGAAUAAGUGGUGCACAAGGGUGUUAAAAUCUUGACAUAUGUAUAUUUUUGGCAGAUUUUAUGUGAGCAUGCAACUAAAACUGGCAUCACUAUCAAUGGUGCACAAAGAUUGGUGGAAAACUUUAACAGUUUGAGUUGUAACUUCUCCAUUGUAUUUGUUAAGGCAAGACGGAUGUCAUCUAUUCAUUUUUCUGUAAAACUUAAAAGGCUGCAUAGCAGCUCUUGUUCGUUGUAUUGAAUACCAUGGUUUUACUGAUGAAUGCAGAGUUUGCUGAUGAUUCAUACGACAAGCAAUUGAAAAUCCCAUCAUUAUGCCCCGCAUAUACCAGAAGAAAAAAAAGUCAUUUACACAAAUUCAGAGCGUUCAUCCACUGUAAUUUGCAGAUAUGGAAACGUUAAGAUAAAAGGAAAUGCAAAGUACCUUUCACCCAAAUUGGAGGAGCAACGGUGGCAUUAGCAAGCUAGCAACGGGAAUUGACAUACCAAUAUCUUCACAGUUUCUGCACAAGAACAAAUCAAAAGAAUCCGGCGGUGGAGUUAUGUACCUCUCCUUGGAAAAUGCCACCUCCUGGGAUUUCAAAAUAUACGGCCGUGGCUAGCCGUCUGACCACGCCAAUUCCACCAAAGCCGCCGCAACGUGGCGUAGUGUCCGGUUGAUUGCUUCAAAACAGAGCUUCGUAUCCAUGUGUUUAUCAGCAGAGAGUACCCAAAACCCCUGAAAAUUAUUUCUUUAUUCAGAUAAUAAAAUUUCCCAAAUUUCGAAUUUUAAUUCCGAACAAAAAAAAUAGGGUUUGAAUUUUGAUUACCUAGAAAUUGGGGGGUUGGGGUGGAGAGGGACUCGGGCCAAGACACAGAUAUGCAUCCGUGAUAAGGUGUGCAAGGCUUUUGCAGUUUCUCAGAUCUAAACACUGAAGCCCCGUAAGCCGUUCAAUCCAGGGGGAAAGCUCUUUAAUAGAUGUUCCAUCCAAGAAAAGAAAUCUUAAUCCUUCCAUAUUUUCUUCAAUGCUUGGAAACACCUCAAAUUUUGUACAACCGGAAAGAGAGAGAAAGGCAAGGGACUUCAGCUGACAAAUGCUACUUGGAAGACUCUUAAGUUCUUUACAAUUUUCUAGCUUCAAAUGAUUCAAUCCCAUGAGAUUAUUAAUUGAUAAGGGCAGUUCUUUAAUUUUCGACCCAGAUAAAUCAAGAACUUUUAACCCCUCAAUCACUUCUGAAAUCUCUGGAAACAUCUCAAGACUCCAGCAACCAUAAAGAUCAAAGGUUUUGAGAGAUUUCAUAUGAAUGCUGCUUGGAAGACUCUUAAGUUCCUUGCAAUCUUGUAGAUUCAAAUGACACAACCUCGUAAGAUUAUUAAUUGACGGGGACAGUUCUUUAAUUUUUGAGCAGGGUAAAUCAAGCUUUUCUAACCCCUCAAUACCUUCUGAAAUCGAUGGAAACAUCUCAAGACUGGAGCAGCCAUAAAGAUUAAAGGUUUUCAGACAUUUCAUAUGAAUGCAGCUUGGAAGACUCUUAAGUUUCUUGCAAUCUUUUAGGUUGAAAUGACUCAACCCCGUGAGAUUAUUAAUUGACAGGGGCAGUUCUUUAAUUUUGGACCCGGAUAAAUUAAGCUCUUCUAACUCCUCCAUACCUUCUGAAAUCUCUGGAAACAUCUCAAGACUGGAGCAGCCAGAAAGAUUAAAGGUUUUGAGAGAUCUCAUACGAAUUUUGCUGGGUAGAAUCUUAAGUUCCUUGCAAUUUGAUAGGUUCAAAUGACACAACCCCAUGAGAUUAUUAAUUGACUCGGGCAGUUCUUUAAUUUUGGACUCGGAUAAAUUAAGCUCUUCUAACUCCUCCAUACCUUCUGAAAUCUCUGGAAACAUCAGAAGACUGGAGCAGCCAAAAAGAUUAAAGGUUUUGAGAGAUCUCAUACGAAUUUUGCUAGGUAGAAUCUUAAGUUCCUUGCAAUUUGAUAGGUUGAAAUGACUCAACCCCAUGAGAUUGUUAAUUGACUCGGACAGUUCUUUAAUUUUGGACCCGGAUAAAUCAAGCUCUUCUAACCCCUCAAUCACUUCUAAAAUCUCUGGAAACAUCUCAAGGCUCACGCAGUUAAUAAGAUCAAGAGUUUUGAGAGAUUGCAUACGAAUUUUACUAGGUAGAAUCUUAAGUUUUUCGCACCCAUUCAGAUCCAAUAAAACAAGUUUUGUAAGAUUCGAAAUAGAUGGGUGAACCUUAACUAACCCUAUACAACCAUGAAGAAUUAGCCUCUCAAGAUUUGGCACAUUUGUGAAGUCAGGGGUUUCCUUAAGGUAUUCACAAUAACUUAAAUUGAUGAAUUUCAACUUUUCCUGCGUCUGUUAAAACAUUCAGGAAAACAUGCAUUACUUAAUAAGACAUCUCACUCAAAGCCCAAACAUUUAAAAGAAACAAAUACAUGUAAAUGAUUGUACAUACCUGGGUUCCUUCCCAAAGUCGGUCAAUGUGGCUAUAUUGCAUGUCAAGUCCAACAAGAUUUUCGAAUUGAAAGUUGGAUGGCAAAGACUUGAGCGGGAAACAAGACCAGGAAAGAAACCUCAACUCACUAGAAACAAACUUUAAGGACCCAGUCAGGUGUUGUAUGCUGAAAGUACCGAUCUUGAGAAGUCUUAGUUUAGUCAUCCUAUCAAAAGCUUUAACAAUUAAGCAUCCCUCAUAUGAGUGCCCCAAAUCUAGGAUUAUGCUUUCAACUGUUUCUGUACCCUGUGCAAAUCAAAGGGAAGGAAAAAGCAGAGAACCUUAGUUUAGAUUAUGAAGUUAAUGCUUGUUUCUUAAGGAGUUGUUUGAUAAUAAUUUUGUUUUCACUUUUCACUUUUGUUUUGAUUAUUUAUUUAGAAAUCUGAAAAUUGAAAACAUAUAACUUGUUUGUAAUUGUUUUCAAUUUUCAAUUAUUAAAAAAAUGAAAAUUUAAAAAUAUAAAUGGAAACAAAAGUGGUUAUCAAACGAGCUUAAGAAAUUGAUUUUGGUCAAAAGUUGAAGCUUUCUACUAAACAUUGCAUAAGAAAAGAAAUUAUCACCGUAUUUUUAGUUAUCACAUGAAAAACAUCUUCAUAACUCCACAACCUACUUCGUCUCCCAGGCUCUUUGAUAGAUUCUUGGUAGACGAUUUUCUGACCCAUUUCCUCUAGUAAAUCAUGCAUCUCCAGUUCCCCCCUCCAUGAGACAGUUACUAGAGCUCGAUCGAUUAGAACUUUUAUUCCAAUAUCAGGAUAGGAACCACAGCUGUGCAGAACUGUGGUUGCAUAGUCUUUUCUCAUUCCUUUAAAGAAACAUGCAAUAUCUAGAAAGAUAUCCUUCUCCGUGUCAUCUAGUCCAUCGAAGCUUGUUUUAAGCACAUCAUGAAUUCCCUUUUGCGGGAUUUUCUUUAUUUUUUCUAACUCAUUUUCCCACUGGCGUACAUUUUUGUUAUAAAGAAAAGCUCCCAAGACUUUGAGUGCUAAAGGCAGACCUUGAGCAUAAUUUACAGCACGACUCGAGAUCAUCAUAAUCUCUGUUGGGUUGGUUUUUUCUAAAGGCGUACCGCCUAAAGAGUUCCAGAGCUCCAUAAUCACUUAAAAUCUUGGGAUUAUAUAUCCCAUCAGCUAUGCUUAGUAAUUGCGAAUCUCUGGUUGUUAUAAUAAUUCUGCUUCCACCACCAAAGGAAUGUGGCUCUCCAAGUAAAGCUUCAAUUUGUUCUAAUUCUUCCACAUCAUCAACAACAAUAAGAACUUUUCUCCGACCUAGACUAUUUAACAUCACCUGGAAACCUUUAUUCGAAACGUCGGAACUCCCCACCCUGUUGUUCGAGAUACUCGAUAGAAGUUCUGCCUGCAUAUGUAGUUUGCCAUGCUUCAUGAAACCUUCCUUGAAAUUUUCAAGAAAGCAACAAGCUUUAAAUCCACCAGAGAUUUCAUUAUAAAUAGCUCUAGCGAUGGUUGUUUUGCCUAAACCACCCAUACCCCAUAUUCCAACAAUGCGAACAUCAUUAGUUUCAACUCCAGGAGGAUGCAGUAAUGAAUGCAUGUUAUGCAUAUGAGAGUCCAUUUCAACCAAGCCAUUAUAUUUGCUUGAGGAUGAUGAGAUGUAUCGCCGACCCCACUUAGUGGGAAAAGGCUUUGUUGUUGUUGUUGUUGAUGAUGAUGAUGAGAUGUGGAUCAAUUUCUUAAAAACAUCUUCUACAAUUUUCUCAAUAAGCUCUGCAUCAUCCCUGUCAAAUUUAAAACACAAUAUAAUUACAACACCAAAUGAUACUUAAUGGGUCGUUUUGAUAACAAUUUCGUUUGCAAUUUUUUUUAAAUCUAGAUUUUAAGUUUGCAGAUUUUGUUUUCAGUUUUUAGUUUCAAUGAAAGUAGUUAUUAAACAAGGUUUCCAAUUUUUCUUUCAUGGUAUACAGUACGUAGUCCCAAAUAUCAGUAGUUAGAUCUUGCAUUUAGAUCUAAUGGGUAUUUACAACCUUUUUUCCUGAGAAUUUUGUACCAUUGUAGCCAGAUCACAUGUUUUCAUCCGUUAGUUUUAUAAAAAUGGAAACUACAAACUUAAAAAAAAAAAAAAAUAUAUAAUAUAUAUAUAUAUAUAUAUAUAUCAAAUGGCCCCUAAAUGCUAUUAAAAAUCUCAAAAAUUAACAGGAAACUAAAACAAAUUAGAAUUUAUUCAUGGUUUCGCAAAUCCCAGCCGGAUAAACUGGUGGCCGUUGUAAGAGAGGACCUCCAGCCGGAUAAACAUUUUCGAGUUAUUUGAUAUUUGUAUAGUAAAAAUACUUUAAUAGCAAGUGCGCGUGAGUGAAGAAAUUGAACUUACUUAUAUUCUUUCGAAUCCCAACCGGAAAAAUUGCAGGCUCUGGGAAGAGCGGACCUCCAGCUCUGCACCUCCUUCACGUCAACGUUAGAACGACCUUCAUGUUUAGCAAAAGCUUCUGCAAAACUUCCCUCGAGUUUACGAAUAUUGGACGGAUCGACUUGGUAGAAAAUGGGGAAUACAAUCUGGUUCUUGGAAUGGUUGCAUUCCAAGAUUUCCACGAGUUCUUUCAAGCACCAUGUGGAUGAAGCAUAGUUUUGAGAGAAAACUACAAUCGAAAUCCUUGACUCUCGAAUCGCUGUCAGGAGCUCGGAAAGGCGGUCGCCUUUUCUGAGGUCUUCGGCAUCAAUGAAGGUGUUGAUUGGUUUCUGACGCAGAGCUUUGUAGAGAUGGCUGACGAAGCCCGUGCGAGUGUCUUCCCCUCUAAAACUGAUGAACACAUCGUAUUCCCAACCAAGGCAAGAAGAAGAAGAAGAAGCAGCCAUUAAUCGAUCUCACCUGGGCAGCGAUGAUCGAGCAGCUAAGACUAAGAGAAUUGUAAGUACAGAAACACUCAAUAGAUCUACAAAUUGGAUCACCAGAAAUUAGUCAAUGAGUCAAUGCAAAAGGGAAAAGGGCAAUUAUGCUUUUUGCGUUUUCACAUCUUCUUCAGGAAAUUUCGGUGUGAAAGGAAUCCGCAUACUUUUGAUUUUUCAACCCAAGAAAAUGCGAAGAAAGGGGACAAAGUAGUAAAUUUAAUCUACAGUUAGUUACCUACUCAAUAACCUCUUGAUUUAAUAUAUAUUUAAUUGGGAAAAGUAGUUUAGAGCAAGGAUGUUAUCUCCUUUUCUUCUCUCUCGAUCAGUCAAUCUUCCCGCGUGCGAUUUAAUCAUGAUUAAAGCUAAGCUUAAUCUUAGGUCGUAUUAUUUAGGUCUAAUUGGAUUCUUAAUUCUUGUGAUAUAGUAGUUGGAAGAUUAAAAAAAAAUUAUGAUUUAAACGUUUGUGAUGAAGUCUGUUACGAUUUAAAUUCAAAAUUGAAAAUUUCGUUAACUCCAUUAAUUGUUAGCACAUGAGACUCACAAAUGAAACUAAAAAUAUAAAGUUAGCCUCACAUGUAAUCUUCACGUGCUAACAAUUAAAAGAGAGUUCCGUUUUAGCUUAAUAUAUGUGACUCACGUGUUAAUAAUUAACAAAAUAUUAACAAAAAUUUUAAUUUUAAGCAUAAAUUCAAAUAAACUUCACCACAUAAGCUUAAAUUCUAAUUUAGAUAUCUUCUAAUUUAGAUAAUUUUUAACUGCAAGAUGUACGAUGAACGGAUAUAAUUCACAAAUCUCCAAAAUCCUUACAAAAAAUAUCCGAAAAAGAGCCAAAUUCAAUGGAAAUAAGCUAAUUUUGAAUCAAAUAACAUUACUUUAUUUUGUAAAUAAAUUAAUUUUGAAUUGAACAACAUUCAUUUAUUAUGUAAGUAAUUCAUUUUGUAUGUAUCAUCAUAUAUAUUAGGCACAUUUUAUCAUAGGUGAUUUUGUGAAAAAUUAAUAAAAAGUUACAAUAUUAACAAUAGAUCAAUAAUAUUUAUGUUAAUUAUAAAUAGGCUAACCAUGUAUUAUGAUACUUAAAUGCAUUUAAAAUAAAUAAAAAUUACAAAAUCUACUACUACAGCUAGCAUUCACUUCAACUAAAGCAAUACGUAGUUUUUAUAUUUGGAAUAAGUCAUACGAAUCAGAGACAUGAAGAGGUGUAAGAACUGUGAAUGUCCAACAACAAAGACUUCGGAGUUUGUUGUCGAAUAUCUGCAGCGCAUCAUUUCUGAUAGAUCAAAUCGAGCCAAUUCCCGCAAACUCCAAUCCCACCACCACCUUUCAAGCCGGACUCAGCCCUCCGGGCGGCAUUUGGCAGGACAGCACUGGAUCAAACAAGAUUGAGACUGGCAGUGGGAGCAAUGAACGAGCACACUCAGCAGGGAAGUCCAUCAUGGGUUCUAACCACACAUUGUUUCUCUACUUUGUGGCUUCCAACACGAUUGGAUUUUUUGUUUCACUUUACAUGAUCAAUGUCCUCACCAGCAAUUUCCCUCUGCAGUUGGAGCUUCAAAUUUGUAUUGUCGCGAUGUACAGCACGUACAACACUGCAGUUUUCAGCAUUGCACCGGAGAACGUGCGCUUCUUCGUCCUUCUGUUCUCUGUAGUUUUCCCAACUUUGGUUACACUUGCUGUCCAAAAUGAUCGUCUUUCGACAUACAUCACAAUGGCGAUCUUUAAUCAUAAUGACUUGUACUGCUCGAUCAAACGAGACGCAUGGAGGCGCGACGUAGGAGCCACGGUGCAGCCCAAACUUUGCAGAUAAGAAAUCUGGUAAUUCACAGCAUCACAAACAUGUUACUGGGUCUCCUGACCAUCGUAGAUGCCAAUGUGUGCACAAGGAAAGGAGUAAGGUAAUCAAAUGCUUGAGUCUUGUGUACCUGUUUCGGUGUUGGUUCGGAUGAACCCAUUGAGUUCUCGAUCCUUAACUUCUGGAAAUGCUCCUGAAAGCAUAAAUAUAUGUACGGAUUUAAACCAAUGGCAAAUGGACAUAAUUUACGGACAAUGAUUGAAGAAAAUACAGAUAUAAACGCCUCAGUAUUCCAUUGACGAAAGUUCUAGAUUUGAUGAAUCAAACGUCCCACGUUGAGACUGCGUUAAGGCAAAUGGUUCUCAAACACAAAGCAAUAGUUUGCUACCGAAAACAACCAAAGUCUGACAAAGGGAACCGUCUUACACCUAACCUGUUUUUCCCUCAUCAAAUGAGCGCGUUGAUCUGCAGGUAUUUUCUGCCAUCUCAAAACCUGUUACAAAGAAAUAUAACGUUGAUGUUGAGCUGGAUAGCAUAUUAUACCAAUUAUGUGUACAAACCUAUUGAAAUAAAGUAGCUGUAGUUGCAUAUUACGACAGAUAUUAACGAAAACAAAAGAAGGCUCGCCUAUUCAAGAUCCUAAAUCCCAUGAUUCUUUUGUUUUUAGUUUCAGAAAUUUUCAGAGCACAAACUGGAAAGUACCAAGAUACUUACAUAUUGGGCAUAAUGAAAUGCAUCUUCAUCUUUCAAGCAAGAUUUCAGUGAGCGCAAACCAUCCUGGGAGUUACAUAAGUCAAUCAGUAAUAUAAAAACGUAGAUGCAUCACAUCCAAACACAAGUAUUCAAACACCAACAACUUCUUCAUGCGGUGAGGCAUGUUAAAAAAUAGGGAAGAACAGUUAUUGAAUAGGAAGUUAAAGGACUAAAUUUAUGACCUUGUGUUUGUAGUUCUUGGCUCGUAUGCGUUCAUCUAUUACAAAACCAAUCUGUAACAGGUACAACAGAAAAUAUAAGCAGUAGUCAGAACAUUAAGCAUCGGCAUUCAAAUUGCCGCCAAUCCAAAGUUAAAAGUCUAAAGGCAAAACAGUAUGAUUCUUAUCUCUCAAACAAAAAUGAAACUAUACCCCGGUCUCAGACAUAAAUGAAAUAAGUUCUACUGCCUCAACUGAGUACUGUGAUUAUAUAUAAAUCCAAUUCACCUUGUCAAGUAAUCUCUUAGGAUCUUGAAAUGCUUGCUUCUUAGCCCAGUCAUUAAAUACAUGCGAGAUAAUCGAUCUCUCAUCCACACUGAAUCUAUUGCACAGUGACAGGAGAAUAAAGUCAAACAUGAACAUAACCAACCAAAAAUGCUAGUUAUAAUAGUACACCCAUAAUUGCAAGCAAAACCUUUUUAAGAAGCCAUUUCCAUGGUUUUCCUCCCCAAAUUCCAUCAAUUCUGCAGAGGCAACGUCAAAUUUACUAUGAUGGAGAUCAUUUUGCACCAUAACAACUUCAGAAGGUAGGAGAUUUGGUUUGAGAUCAUCUGUUGACGGAGUAGUUUCUUUUGAAGUGUCAUGAUGCUUUGAUUGCAAGCCUUCUGUACUUACGUCAGCCUACAAAACAAAAAUUGCAUUCAUCCACACUAGACUUAAUAAGAUUAGAAACACUUCAGAUUCUUCACUAUUUGUAAGUUUGACUAAACAGCAGAACAACUGAGGAUAAUGAACAGUAAUACACACCUGGACUUCUCGUAGAUGAUUUGGAAUUUCUUUCAGAAAUCGCGAAGGUUGAAGCAUCUGAAGGAGCCACCUUCUCAGUCAGAGCAACAACAACAAAUAAGGAGGACAGGAAUUCAAGCUAAAACGAACCUGCCAACUGGAAUCCAUCGUAACAUAAAGAAUGAAAAGCUUUUUUCGAGCACGAGUCAUUGCAACAUAUAAUAGGCGUCUUUCCUCCUAUGAUUAGAGUGGGAUUAUUGAGUUAUUGACCAAAAGAAAAAAGAGUGGAAUUAUUGUGACAAACACUUCAAAGCUCUGCAUAUAACUGAAAAAUGUUGAACAAUUUACCACACACCUCAAUGGAGGUCCCAUUUUCUUUUGCAACGCCAUUGAAUUCAUGCAACAACGGAAUCUCAGAUUCAUUUACCUGUGUUAUUGGCAUGAGCAUUAAAGCAAGCUAAGAUGAUUUGAAGAGGUUGAUAUUGUCAUGAAUAUAGUAGAAUAGAAUACCAAUUUCAAGCCAUCAAUUAGGUAUAGCAUUGGCAUGUUUAAUCCGUAAAUCUAAUGACAGAACACCUCAACUCUACACAUAAAUAAAUAAACAACCUGAAAAAUAUUACAGCCACUUGUUAAGGCAAAUACCUUAAUUAUGAAAACUAUAUCCCACUCUAAACCUUUUGACUGCAAGAGAAUGAAAAAGAAAGACAGUAAGCCAAGAAUGUUUUGUAGAACUCCAAAGGAAGUCCAAUAGGGAAAUCAUCGCAAGUAUAAGAGUUAGCGAGGUUCGCAUAAGAGGAUAUCAAAAAGAUCUAGAACCUGAUGAAUAGUAGUCAAAGUGACAGAACUUUGGUUGUCAUGUCUUCGGGAGUGAAAAUUUUCACUCUCCCGCUCAGAUAUGUAGUCGAUGAAAGCUUUGAGUAAAUUAACGCAGCCUUUUUCUUCUGCUACGACUUCUCUCUCCCCUUUUCCCGCAACAAAAUGAGUUGAUAAGAAAUCAGAUACGUCGUCUAGUAGGUACUGAAGAACCUGCAAUGAGAAUAAUCGCAUCAAAACAACAGGGUUGGACCAAGAUUUAAGUGACAACAAUGAUUAACUAACUAAAAUAGAGAAAUUAUUCAUUUAAGACCUUGUUGACUGAAAAAAGGGUUUUCCAAGCAGCGGGUCAUUUAAGCUUAUUGUAUAAAUGACAAUCAUCACAAACGGCAAACUUACAGAUCUCACGUCAUUGUCUUCAUUCAGCAGUUUUCCUCCAUCUACAUCAACGACUGCACGUUGCUCAAGAAGGUACUUCUAAAAACUGAAAGUCAAACGAUAAAUUAUUAAGAAGCAUUGAAUAUAAGCAUGAAACGAAGAAAAUGUUAUGGAAUGGUGAUCCUCAUCCUCAAAGAUGAUUAAAAGCAAUUUGAUUCAAAAAUGACAUAUCAACUCUGGAGAAAUGGAAGACAAACCUGUGGUACCAUAUUCGCAACUGAGGUUAUGACAGCUGAAAUCGAUUGUUCCUGUGUGCAUUGAUAAGUGAGACUACCAUAGAGAUUCACAACUAAAUAAAGACAGGUAUUCCACAGAACAACCUUUACCUCUUUGGAAACACAGAUCUAACAAAAACUAUAACAUUUUGGAUUAAUAUUGACGAAUCAAGAAUAAUGCAAGGGAGCAAGAGAUACUCUUCCUUCUAAUAACAAGGAGGCGUGAAAAGUUUACAGAGUUCCAACAAUUAGAGAACUAAAAUCAAACUAAAAAAAUCACCAAAGUAGACAGAAUCCCACUUCGCCAAAAAUUUGAAAAUAUAUCCUUUUUAUCCAUUGAGAUUCAUGAACUACUACUACUACAUCAUGCCAAUAAGCAAUGCGUAAGAGGUGCUACAAUUUACCGAAUAUAUUUACCCUGAGAACAAGUUUUGAAAUCAUCUCUAGUGUUAACAGCACCUUGCGUCCUUGGGUAAGCUGAGUCCUAUUAUCAAGUAAAGAGACCAAUCAGUACAUAUCCAAAAGAUCUUAAAUGCUUGUAAUACCAAAUAAGAAAGAAACAUGAGUAUAUCUUGAAUUAACAAUGCAAAAAUGUAAUGUUAAAGCAUCUUGUCAUACAGACCUCUUCAAGGUACCAGAAAUUUUGGCACUAAAGAUGUCACAAGCAGCUGAUAUGAAGCUGCAUUUUCUGUGAGUUGAAAUUUUGUCAAUAUAAUCAAUCACCUGAAGAGAGAGAGAGAGAAAGACAGUGAUAUCCAGAGAUGUGAGCCUAAAUGCUGAGUGUGUAAAAAAAGAAGAUUAAAUGGAUAGCAAGAAUAUACAACUUUAAUGCUGAAAAGAACAUUGAAUAUGAUGCUCAUUCAUCAUUGCCAUUGAACGUGUACCUUCUUCUUUUCCUCUUUCUCAAAAGCAAGUAGAGCCUUGAAGACUCGCCUAUAUGAUCCAUCAUCACAACCAGGCAAAGUUGUUUUAAUCAUAGCAACAAUGGCUCUAACUACCUGCCAUAAGAAACAUGCUACAUCAACAAGAUCACAGAGUGUACCAGAAACCGUAAUGUAGCAAAAUCUUAGAUAAAAUAGCUGGCCAAAAGGGAAUGGAAAAGCAAGCACAAAAAACAAUGAAAAGGACCAGUGAUGCCAAAAUUCUGGUGGAAAAGGUGAAAAGCUUACGUCUAUUACAGUUCUUGUAUGCAUUCUUUAUAACUUAAGUUCUACGCAGCAAAAACCACCUUAUGCACAACAAUAUUGGAAAAAUUAGAUACAUACAACUGAGAAGAUAGGUUUUCAUAGCUGGACAAGUGCUAACUACCUUCUUCCUAUAAACUGCCACUCCAUGAACAUUAAAUGGUAUUUUCCUUUCACGCAAGGCUGUCUGGAAGACUUUUCCUGAUACCUGUAGUAUAAAAUACAAAAGAAAAUGUGAGCAAAAUGUCUUAUAUGAUUCACCUCAUUCACAUUAGCACUAAGGCAAGUACGCUUGACCUGCCUCCGGUAAAGGAUUGCUAUAUUUCCAUAGGAGCACCCUGCUUCUGACCGUUUAGAUGCAGUCUCCAGGAUCUUGUCGACAACAAAGGCGCAUUGUGCAUCCUCAUUGUGACUUUCCUUGAUAAUUACCUACAUUUUGCCAGUAAAACCGGUGUCACUAACUAAAAGGACUGAAAAAUGACAUCAAAUUGUACUUGUUGGAGCAAGGAAAGAUUAAGUACCUUAGACCCAGAAGAAUUGUCCGUGUCAACAUUCUUUAGUUGGCAUCGCUUCUUAUUGUUUUUUAUAACAGAAGAUGCAGCUUCCACAAUAUAGCGUGUGGACCGAAAGUUUUUAUUAAGCCUAAUCUGAACCAUAAAGUUAUGUCAAAUCCCACAGAACCCCAUAAAAUAAAACUUACUUUCCUGUAAUUGUACAAUAUAUUUGUUCUAUACUAUAUAUAAUGAAAAAAGACACUGUGAAUGACAUAAGAUAACAUAGCAGUCAAGUGCGAAGCGAACCUCUUUGUUAUUUGAAAAAUCUUUACGAAAAGAAUCAAAUCCAGAAAUGUCCGCCCCAUUGAAACUGAAAAUGGACUGCAGCAGGAUAUAUGUUAUUUGAUUUAGAAAAGAUAAGGGCUGGAUUAAAAUGAGCUGAGAGAGAGAGAGAGGGAGAGAGGGAGCAAUAACAUUGGAUUUCCAUAAUAAAUCAACAACAUGCCUGAUCAUCAUCACCAACAAUGGUUAUGUGGUUAUGAGAGGCGAGAAUCCGCAAAAGACUAUAUUGCAUAGCACUUGUGUCUUGAAACUCGUCUAUUACAAUAGCUUUCCAUGACUCCUGGCACUCCUUCAACACUAAUUAAAAGAACACCAUGUAUCAACAUUUAGCAUUACUUGUAAAACUAGAUAAAUCAAUGAAAUAUACUUAGAUGAUAGAGACCUUCAGGAAAAUCACUUAGCAGCUUCACAGAGCAGCUAAUUAAGUCGUGGUAGUCCAAAGCGUUGCACGAUUUCAAGAUAUCAUUGUAAUUCCUAAGAAUUUCACCCUGAUUCAGAUUGAGAGCUAAAACUCAUAAGCAAUAGUUUCAAAGAACUGAAAUCAUAUCUGAAAUUCUAGUUCUGAGCGUACUCCUGUCACAUCACCCAUUCUUCGGCAUUCAGCGGGAGUCUUUCCAGAAGCUUUUGCCUGAAACAUAAAUAAAUUUAUUGCCUAAUGCCACAUAUUGUAAGACACACCAUUGUAUUGGUCAUUCUAGCUUGAUUGUAGCUAAUAUUUUUUAAAUCGAAUGAUUAGAGUUCUUAAUCCACAAUAAUCUGAACAUUAAAUUUGGUAUUCAAGACUGACCUGUGUCACAAACUUCAGCCAUUUCUUUGAUGCAUCCUUAAAAUGAUGUGGAGAUGUUACGCCGUUAGACUCUUCCCCAUCUAUAGCAACAUUAAGAUUCGUUUUACUCUUUUCAUCUUCUGAUAAACGCACAGCUUCAAUGAUUGCUCUUCUCUGUUGCCCAUGUCCAUAUAUCAAAAAUUCUGGUCUGCGCUCGAGUCUAAAACACAAGGCAACAUAACAGACUCAGCUAUACCACCAUAUGUAUGGUGUUCAAAAUCAAGGGAGGUGAAUCAAUAGCUUACUUCUCAGCAUGUGAUCGGCAAAGUUGCAAUGAAAAUGAAUGAAAUGUACUGAUUGUUAGUAGUUUGCCGUUGCUUUCCCAGUCACAGAUCCAAUUCGAUCUCUCAUCUCGGAAGCUGCUGCUGUAGUGAAAGUCAUUGCUAGAACGUUCGACGUGCUAAUGCCCUAAGAACACCCAAAAAAAAAAAACGAAUAAGAUUUCGAUCAUAAACAAGAAAUGUAGAGAAACAGACAAUUAUGAAAGAAAAAGUUAAGAGGGAAAGUAGCAACACCUCAUUGAGCAGCAUUAGAACGCGCCCAACUAUCGUUGAAGUCUUUCCACUUCCAGGGCCGGCAACAAUCAUCAAAGGUACUGAACUAUCGCUGCAAGCUGCCUCGAGCUGCCUUUCGUUGAGAGAAAGCAAAUACUUCAAAUACUCAUCCGGCAUGUUAGGCAAUCCAUGGUUAACAGAAUCUGUUUGGUUUUCACUACUCAAAGGCGGCGCUGAUGCGGCACUAACGACACUACCACAACUCCCAAUAUCAUCACGCUGAAUGUCCACACUCGUUUUCUGCUCGAUUAAAGCGUCAAUUUCCUGCAAAAUACUCUCAUCGAAAUCAUCAUCGUUAAGAAUUCCAGAUGCAGAGAAAGAAUCAAAUGAAGUCAGAAACUGCGGUUGUCUGAUUGGAGUUGUGAAAGAAUCCGAUUUUGACACGCUUGAUUCGGUCCGGCUAACGCUUAAGCUCCCGGAACACGAAGCACUGCCAUAUUCACCACGCGCUGAAUUGUACCGGCUUGCGGAAAUCGGAGGCGGUGUUCUUUGAACUCUAUUGAGCUGAGUUGGCGUUUGGAUUCCAUUUCCGCCACAGAUUCUGGAAUUUGAAAAACACAAUUGAAUUGAUUUAAAUUGAAGCAAGAAAACGGCCGAGUAGCAAAAAAAUAGUAAGAAGAUGAAACCUUUGAUUCCUGAACGACUUACUUGGUAUGAGGGAGGUGAUGAUCAGGUGAAACGGCGUCGUUGCGGGGGCGUUUGCGAUCAAUGAGGGCCUUGGCGGCUCUGCAAUUCCGAGAGAUGCGGUUUCUUUGUUCCGCCGUGAGCCCUCCGCCGUACGCCUGAACGUUUUCCUUGGACAUUGCUUCGAAGAUUCCAACGGAGGAUUUGGCCUGACGGCCUGACCAGGCUGAUAACAGUGUAAAACCUUAGGAGCUAAGGAAAAACUAAGAGAGAGAUCGUAGAGAGGGGAAAGUUUUUUGUUUUUUGGAAACUUAGAGAGGGAAAGUUUGUUAAACCUGCAUAAUAUUCUUUUCGUUCAACUUGUCUACAAUAAUUACCACUCUUGGUAUUUAUACAUUUGUAACACACCUCACUAACUAACUAAGACCACUACCAAUCAUACAUAAACACUUGUCAUAAUCCUAUGCACUCAUAGUAUCAUCACUCUAACAUCCCCCUCAAGCUCGUGUGGCAGAUUGCCAAGUAUGAAAUUGGAACAAUUACGAGUGAACUGGGGUGAACACAAGCCUUUGGUGAACAUGUCGGCAUAUUGAUCUGCAGAGGUAACAAACUGCAAAAUAAUUGUCCUUCGAUGAACUCUUUCACGAACAAAGUGGCAAUCAAUCUCUAUAUGUUUGGCUUUAGAGUGCAAUACAGGAUUAGUCGCAAGAGCCAUUGCUGAAAUGUUAUCACAAUUCAAAACUGGAACAGAAGGAUAACCAACAUGCAAAUCUCGAAUAAGUUGUUGUAUCCAGAUAACCUUAGCAGUGGUUGUAGCCAUUGCUCUAUAUUCAGCUUCAGUGGAAGACCUACUCACUGUAUGCUGCUUUUUAGAACUCCAAGAGAUAGGAGUAUCUCCCAAAAAAAUGACAAAACCCGUGGUUGAACGACGAUCAUUGGGAUCCCCUGCCCAAUCAGCAUCUGUAUAAGCUUUCAACUAAGAUGAACCUAAUUUAAAACACAAUCCCAAAGACAUAGUGCCUCUGAGAUAUCGCAGAAUACGUUUCACAGCAGCAAAUAAGUGGCUAAGGGUGAAUGCAUAAACUGACAUACUUGAUUGACAUAAAAAGAAAUAUCUAGUCUUGUAAAUGUUACGUAUUGCAGUGCCCCAACAAUACUUUUAUAAGUGGUAGGAUCAGAAACAGGUUCACUACCAUGAUUCAGAAGCUUCUAAUUAGGAUGACAAGGUGUGGGAAAAGGUUUAUAGUCCAGCAUAUGCAUAUUUUGAAGGAGUUCUUUGACAUACUUGGUCUGAUGAACAAAGAGUCCCUGAUCCUGAUACUCAAUCUGUAAACCAAGAAAAUAAUGCAACACACCUAGAUCUUUCAUGUCAAACUCACUAGUUAACUGACUAAUAACAUUAUGAACCUUCACAUCAUCAUUACUAGUGAGAAUGAUAUCAUCAACAUAUAAUAAGAGAACAAUAAUUGAUGAACAAUCACACUUGACAAAUAAUGAAGGAUCUGCAUAUGAGAUUGAGAGUUACAAGGAAAAGAUAUACAAGACUUAUUAAGUGUUGCAAUGACAAUGGAAUGUGCAGGAUCGCCUAAUCAACAAUGCCACAAUGUAGAAGAAAUCUUUUGACCCACAAAUGCAACUGGAUUAAAAACAGGAGAAAUAGACCUCUGUGGUUUGAUAUGGGAAGUGGAUAGACAACAUUAUUACUCAGCCCUUGGAAUAGCACUCUCCCGAUGACCUUGUCCUAUAGACAGAGAGAAACAUCAUCAAUGAUACAACGACACUAAUUAUCUUUGCACAACUAAUUCAUAGAUAAUAAGUGUUGUGAUAGUUUUGGAACAUGUAACAAAGAGUUUAACUUGAAAUUAUGUGACUUAGUGAGAAGAGAAGAGGAACCAAUAUGUUUGAUAGCUAAACCUUCACCACUAGCAGUGGUCACAGUAUCAUUUGAUGGAUAAAUUUGUUGCCAUGUGCAAGUUUGACAAAUCUGAGGUCAUAUGGUUAGUUGCUCCCAAGUCAAGAAACCAGAAAUCUUGUUGAAGAGUUGAGGAUGAUGCACCAGCUCGUGCUUGCACAGCAAGAGGAGGAUUUUGUGAGGAUAUAAUUGAGAGAUACAUAUGUGGUAUGACAGGAUACUGAAACUCGAAGCUAUUAGACUGUGGAAUCAUGCCUUGUGAAAGACCACAUGGAUUCUAGCUAGGUGCUUCACCAUAUGACCCAGUAGGCAUUGGAGUUGGCAUAGACGAGGAUAAACCCUGAGAGAAAUGCUAUGAUGUGUCUGUGAAAUUCUUAUUCCGAUCAAAGCAAGUAGCAGCAACACGGCAGCCUCUGUGACAAAUUUGACAUCCAUGUUGAAAACAAUUCAAUGCAGAAUGACCUUUGCGAUCACAUAUUUGCAUAAUGGCCUCUGUGAUCACAUAUUUGCAGAAUGGCCUUUGCAACCCUAGAAAGAACAAGGCGCGAAGAAGACCAAAUGUGUACGUUUCUCUUUGUUUUUUUUUCCCUCCUAAUCGUGCUGUUCGAAAUCACGGACCUCGGGCUUGGGCCUAAUGGGCCCAAUUAUGAGGCCUAUUAUCUCCGGUCUUCUCGUUCUACUUCUAGUUACCCAAAUUAAGAACGUGCUGGUUCGCUUUUAGCGCGAGAGAGAAAUGGAGGCCCUGAUUGCCUCGUACGGAAACUCGUCGUCGGGCUCAGACUCCGAGACGCCGGCUCCACCUCCACCACCACCUCCGGAGCUCAACAACCCUCAAGAACCGACCCCUGCGCUGCCUCCACCUCCUCUGUCACUUCUCGACAGCCCCAAUUCCUUCGGUAACCUCUGAUUCCCAUCAAUUUUCAUCUUUUAGCUUUCUGUUGUGAUGGCUUUUUCCGAGUUGCCCACCAAGUGUUUGAUAUUUUGCCUCUGAAGGAUUUCUGGACUUCUCGGCAAGCGUCCAGCCGAGCAGAGUUCGGAACUUUCCUCACGUCGAAGGGAACUACGCAGUACAUGUAUACAUCCCAGGUUAUCAAAAUUCUCGAAAUUUUCAGCUCCAUUAGCAAAUGCGAUCGCUUUGCACUUAGUUUUUGCUUGUUUAAUUGUGUGGUUCCAGUUUAUAUACCACCAGCACCAAGGAAAGAGAUGGCCUUGUUUUUGAACAAGCUAGCUUCUCUGGUGCCUUGUCUCCAUGCGGUUGACGUUGACUUCCCGCUUGACAUUCUGCGUAAGGACGAGCACAAGCUUGAACAAGUUGCUUUAGGCAGAGAGUUCCAUAUAAGUCUCGGAAGAACUGUUCCGAUUCGGGUGCACCAGAUUGAUUCCUUGGUGACAAUGCUGCGGCAGAAGCUUCAGAUUCAGAGGCGGUAUGGUUACAUUUACAUUCUCUUGUCUGCAUUGCGUGAAUUUAGUUCUGUUAUUUAACAUAAUUCUGUAAGCCUGCAAUUUUUUCGUCCAUUUUCGGUUUAACACAUUUUGUUAUUGUGCAACAGGUAUUGGAUUGAUUUUAGCAAGUGGGAGGUUUUUGUUAAUGAUGAUCAGACCCGGACCUUUGUGUCUAUCGAAAUCAUUGCUGCUGGGUUAGCUGAGGUAUGAUUGCUAGCUUUCUCUCUUGGUGCAAUUCUAAAUGUUUUCAGUUGUUAUAUGGGCUUAAGAUUUAGUAAGGACUUGCCGAAAGUCAUGGGAUUUUGAAAUAUCGAUAUCUUGCUUGCUUAUUAGCUUAGAUUUGGUCUUCGAUGCACUUGUAACAUGAAAAACACAAACGAAAACUAAUGCAUGAUAUGCUCAUGGUUUUAACAUGUGUUGUCCUGGCGUAAAUCAUGUUCCUAAUCCUGUCAUGUGAGUAUAAGCCUAUGAAACUCAGGGCAUGUUUGGCGGGCCGGACAAGAUUGGAAUUGGUAUUUCAGACUAGUUAGGUUAGGAUUGAACUGGAUAGGAUAGGUUUUUUUGUCUAAAGAUUGGUGUAGACUGUCUUAACCAGACUAGGAACGAUGGGAUUUAAAACGUGAAACAGAUCCGCGACAUCCCAACGAUGACCCGCCCACCCAACAACUCUGCUCGUGACUUGCAACACCUCUCGUACCCUCCACGCCCCUUGAGGCCCGUCAGACCACUCUGAUAUCCUGGAGGGGUGAAACGUGGUUACUAGAAGCAUACCUGUUUUCGUAUUAAUGCACAGUUGAAGCAGCUUUCAUUGUCUACAAGUCUGAAAUAUUUCAACUUCCAUUGAUUUCAGAUAACAAAGCAGAUUCAAGCUGUGAAUGAGGUGUAUAAGCUUCACAAUCUUCCUGAAUUUUACAAGGUUAGCUUUUUCGUGCUUUUCAAACUCGAAAUUACUUACUGAAUAUAUGACAAUAUAUUGGAGCAAAUGAUUGUGCCUGAAUGCUACUCAUUGCUCAAAAAACUAAAUCACUUCAUGGGGUGUUGGUGAUCACAGGAUCCGCGCCCUCACAUCUCGGUAGCUUGGGCAUUGGGUGACAUCGGCAAUUCCCUGAAGAAAGUGGUUGAAGAAGAAAGACGAAGAUCUACCAUCGGAGGAUCGUUACAGAAAUGUAUUUUUACCAGUAAAUUCAAUGGUAUUGAAUGUAGGAUUGGUAAUAAAACACACAAAAUAUGUAAAUUUUCUGAACAAUAAUGUAGCCAUUUAACUAUAUUGUGAAAUUCCGAGAAUAUAUCGCUGAGCAUUGGAUGAGAAGACAUUUCUUCGUUGGUGUCGAACUUCAUGCCGAAGGUAUAGACACCGUGUAAACGCCAUCAUCCAUGCAGUCUCCUGUGCAUUAUUUAGUAUUGUCUCAGUUUCUCCAAACUUGAAUGCUCCUAUAAACCCACUCUUGACCUUUCCGUCAUCUGCGAUUACCGGAAAGCUGGCAAGGAUGUUGCCGUUAACCUACCUAACCGGCUAGGAUGUUGCCGUCAUCUCCAAACUUUAAAUACCGGAAAGCCGGCUCCAAACUUCAAUGUGCUACUAGUUUUUGUAUGCGAGAGCUCCACCUCCAUUGUUGUAACAGCAUCUGAUGCGGACUAGUCCUUCAUUCCCGUUACUCUUUGCUAUCUCCACUUCGAACUUGGCGUAAUGGCUCCCGGCCUCCUCUCCGGUGAAAUUGAGAAACCCCGGAGCUGGCGUUUUCAUUCUGUUGUCCGUAUAUCUUGUAUUACAAGUAUUUGUUGUGCAAAAUGCAAGCUAAGUUCAAUUUAUGUUUAUGUGUGUGUGUGUGUUGCCACUUUGUCACUUUUCCAACGUUUUCUCCAAAAUUGUGAUUUUGGUGAAUCCUAAUAACAAUUCCCUCGUUAAUCAUUGGGACGAGCACCAAGGCAGUUUUGAUUCCGUGCACAACGGCGAUACCUCGAAAGAAAUUGAUUCUAACCCAGAAAGAUGUUUUAAAUCAAAGUUGAACAAGGGAAGAAAACUUUUGAAUCGCAAUCACAUGUCUGGUCAAAUUCUUGAACAGUUGAUGUAUACAGACGUUCCUUGCUUAUGACACGACUUAUGAGAGGAUGUAUGUAUUGCAUUUGCAUCAAAAAAGAGAGAGAAGGUUGUAAGUGGUAAGGGAACGACUACCGAUGCCGCUCCACUUCUAAUCAAAGGGAUCGAUCCGAGGGUCGUGUUCACUUGCCAUCGCCAUUCCAGUGCAAAGGCAUGUCGGGCACAUUACCUGCCACAUUUACAGACGCAAUGUUAGAUAUAGCUGCCAUUUGGAAGUCACUUCUCAAAAUUUUGCUACUAAAUUAAUCUUAGACUUCAUUUCCAGUGCAAUUUUUUGCUACUAAAUUAAGCUUGUGAAUAUAGUACAUCUAAGCGGCAGGCACUAAAAGGAAUUUAGUAUGCAAUAAACAUUCAACGGACUAACCUUUCCCGCUCCUGAGCAAUUUGAACAUCGUUCAGUUUUUGGCAGAGAUAGGGGUUGGUUUCCGCCAUCAGCUGUCGAUACUGGUUCAGUAAGAACAAGGGUUCCAGUGCUGGAGCAACGAGCACAAGCAAGAUAUCCUGCGUAAGUAUCAAAUACACAGGUAAGUUGACAUAUGAAACCAAUCUGUGUAAACUACACUGUAAUAGCAGAAGAAUAUGCAGUACGAGAGAAAGAGAGAGAGAGAGAUUUAGAGAGAGAAGUUAAUACUUCAUAUGUAAUAUUUUCUAUAUCAUCAAUCUUACAAUAUUAAGACUAUAUACUAUAUGAAACUGCUAACUAACUCUAACAACCUCUCUAACAACCUUUCUAAUCUUUUGACAAGUGUCUUCAUAUUCUACCAUUGGAUUACUAUCCUUAACAUCCCCCCUCAAGCUCAGGAGAGGUAGAAUCCAAACUGAGAUUGCGACAAUGAAUCUGAAAGAGAGGAGCAGAUAAUCCCUUGGUCAGUAUGUCUGCAUAUUGCUCACUGGAAGACACAAACUGAACAAGCAACUGCUUCUUUGCAACUCGUUCGCGAACAAAAUGAAUAUCAACCUCAAUGUGCUUUGUGCGUUGAUGUAGAACUGGAUUGGAUUAAGCAAUUACUGACCUUUGUGCAUCUUACUAUUCCUACUUCACCAGUUUUGUAUUGUGAUAAUAUGUCAGCAAUCGCAUUAACAACCUCUCUAACAACCUUUCUAAUCUUUUGACAAGUGUCUUCAUAUUCUACCAUUGGAUUACUAUCCUUAACAAUCUGAACAUCUCCAUCGUAUAUAUUUAAAGCUACAGUACAUAAAACGAAAAGUCAGAAAUAGAGGACAUUAUCACACCAGUUCCAAGACAAUAUUUGCAUCGUUUAUGCUCCUGCUGUUUCACAUUGUUUAUUUCAACUACCAUCAAUGCUGAGAUCACUCCGACUGCUCCUCCAGAGAAUGACGCCACUAUGGGAUCAACUUGACUGCAGUUUGAAAGUAAAGGAGAUCAAUAAACAAAACUGUUAACAACAUAGUAUCAACAUUAUUUAGCUUCGUUUCAAGAAAUAUGACAUCCUAGGUUUUUCUAAUGUGUAAAAAUUGAGGAUCCUUGACUAUAUCGGUUCCCAAAGCAUUUGAUUCCUACGUUACAGACGGAAAACAGUAACAAUCGAAUUUAAAGAUUCAUAACACGAUAGAUGGUAGGUCUCGGGUUCGAGACUUGGGAGCAGCCUCUCCAUAAAUGGGGGUAAGGCUAGCCGACAUUCACCUCUCCCAGACCCUGCGUAAAGCGGGAGCCUUGUGCACUGGGUACGACCUUUUAUAACACGAUAGAUGGUACAAAUUUUCAAAACGAUAAUUACUAGAGAACAGGAGGGUUAAUAGCCUGAGAUAUGAGCAAUACCUCAACUGCAACGGCAGAUGCAUAUUUACUAUAAAGUCUUUAUAUGAUGUGCCUCCUAUUCCCAGCUUCAACUCCAACUGAAAGAUGUAAAGGUAAUUGUAGGCAAAGAGUUACAAACAUAACCGAAUCCAUGUUUUAUAAGCAACAACUACACUUAUUUUGUUAUGUUUCCUCAUUUUUUACUUGCAAAUUCCGAACCAUAUUGUCGGACCAGUAAAAAGAAAAUAAUGUUUAUGAUAACUGUUAAAACUAAUCACAACAAGUUAAUGCAUAAAGAACUUACGGAGGGUGCUAUGAGGCCACCGAAAAGGAUAAACCCCGCAAUAAUUGAAUAACAAACAGCAUAAUAUUGCUUAAGGUUGUCUGAACUCUGCAAGCAAUGAAUUCACCUUGUGAUUAAUACUUUGCACAAACACUAGUUUUCGCAAUUUUUUAUGAAUCGACAAAAGGCUACAACAAAAUAUGGCUAAAACAUGUGAAAAUACAUGUCUUCACAGGGGCACCAGCUUACCAGGGGAGGCAAAAAUGGAAUGAACGAUGGAAAACUAGGAAGUUCGUUUUCUUGAUCUUCAUUUACCGCUCCAAGCUCUGCACGUUUAAUCCGCUGUUGUAUCCUCAGCCCGCGAACCUACGCAUAUCGAAGCUCAUUCUUAAAGAACACAUUUCUAAUGGCAAUUGGAGAGUAAUUUAAAACAUGCUAAACUGAGAAAGUGGUAGCAACAAGCAAUUGCUCUCACUUCCUCCAUAUGCAAGAAAAUUUUGUUGCGACGACUCCGAAUAUUAUCUUGAAUUUCCUGCAGCUCCAUUGUCGCAAAGUCCUGCACUGUUUCAGGCCCCUCUAUGAUACAAAAUCUGCACAAUUAAGCAUGUAAAAACUAAAAAUUACAGGCUAUAAAACAAUUUCCGUAUCAUUUUUGGGAGCUCUCUCUCUCUCUCAAACCAGAAGGCAGAGCUUUCUGUUUCUCUUGAGGUUUCUUUCACUGGUAAAUUCCAGAGAAGCAGAGAAGAAGGCUCUCUGAGAAAUGGCGAUGGUGCAAGUGGAGACAAAACAAAUGUAUAUCUUGAAGCACCGAAAUUGUGCAGAACACUUGUCAACUACCGAACUCUAGGAUUAGGAGAGAGAGAGAGAGAGAGAGUGAGUGACCGGCAAAAAAAAAAAUGAGGGAAGAAUCACCCACAUUUAAAAAUGAUUUUUAGGGGACCUGGUGUCGUUGGAUUCGAGUAGUUGUUCGGUAUGUCACAUUUAAAAUUUUAUUAUCUGAUGAUAAACGUCGAAACAUAAAGAUAGGUCAUCUCUAACCGAAUGAGGACUAAAAAGUCAUGUUUAGUACUAUAAUCCUGCAAUGAAUUAUAUUUUAAUAAAUAAUAUCAGGUUAUAUUUUAUACCAUAUCUAACCGAGUGGGUCAAAUGAUCAUAUGCCAAACAUAGCCUUUUGACAAAAAACUCAUCUCCAACCGAGGGGGCUAAAUGGUCAUAGACCAAACAUAAUUGCUCAAUAAUUUAUUAUUCUAAUUGAAUUAAUAUGAUUAAUUAAAUUAAAUUACCAUAUUAAAAUAAGAUUUCAUGAUAUAUUUUGAGUGCCACUUGCCACAAUACCGAAGAAAGCAUGGUAUUAUUGCACCUGCCACAAAGUCAAGCUUGACAUUCUGCUGCUGGAGGGCUGGCUGGCUAGCUGAAAAUGGCCAGCCUGCUGGCCUGAUUUGGGAGGUUUUGGCCCAAUGGGGCCCCAAGCCCUUUGGCCUAGCCUUCGGUUGGAAACGGUUUUCGUGUUAUUCUGAGUUAUUUUUAACCCUAUGAUCCUUUGGCCGGAUCGAUUGGAGAUGACCUUAGGUGUGUUGAUUGUCUUUGAGACAUCGGAGGUUCUGUGUGAUUGAAUACUUCACCCUCCUCCAAAGGCGCCACUCUUGAGAAGGUUACUUGCCUCAUGCAAACAUUGUGAAUUGCAAGUGAUGAAUUGUUCUGAUGAUGAGGUUUAUUUUUUAACUCAUUAUGUUUCAAGUUUAAACAUUUUUCCCUCUCUUAGUGUAAAAUAUUGUUUGUGAUAAAAAAACUUAAAAUGAGACACUCUCCUUCAUAUAUAAGAUGAUCAAGUGUGAGAUUAAUACUUUUAAUGAGUGACUCAAUUAACCAUUUUCAUUUCUUACGCGUUCAAAAUUAGACAAAUUCUUUGCAUACAUUUAAAAAAAAAAGAUAUUAAGGAGAGUAUAAAAUUAUUACAUUACGAAGAGAGAGUUUCGAACUCGGGACGUAUGAGUAGAACCCUAACGCCUCUCCACUAGGAUAUUAGACCAAUACUGGUCUUGAAUUUUUUUGGUGCCCGGAGCGAAUGCUCAAAACGUGUCUUUUUCCAGUACAACAUAAAUUAAAAAGAAAUAUUUAUAGAGGGCUAGAACCCAAUCGAAGCUGGGGGACUAGGCCCUUACGCCUAUAUUAUAUUACUUACCUAAUACAAACAUUUCUGAUAGAUUUCAGAGGCUCUAAAUGGUCAAACACUUCGUCCUUCCCAAAACCGUUACUGUUGAGAGGGUUCCUUACCUAAUACAAACAUUUUACGUUUACUUAGAACUAGAAAAAUAAGAAUUGCAGGUGAUGAAUUGCUCUAAUGAUGAUGUUUAUUUUUUAACUUAUUGUGUUUUAAGUUUAAAUAAUUCUGUUUCUUUGAUAUAUAUAUUAGUGUAAAAUCAUUCGUAAUAAUAAAAAAAAAGAAUAAAAAUGAUACUCUCAUUUAUAUACAAGUUGAUCAAGUGUGAGAUUAAUAAUUUUAAUGAGUGAAUUAACUAUUUUCAUUUCUUACGAGUUCAAAAUUACACAAAUUCUUUGCAUACAUUUUUUUUUUAAAUAGAAAAUUUCUAUUAUUAAGGAGAGAGUCCUAAACUAUUAGGUUAUGGAAUGUGAGUAGAAACCUAACGCCUAUCCACUAGGAUAUUAGACCACCAGAGCUGAUCCUGAGAUUUUUGGUGCCUGCGUCAAAAUAUGUCCUUUUCCAGUACAACAAUAUAAAUUAAAAAGAAAUAUUUAAAGAGGGCUGGAACCCAGUCGAAGCUGGGAGGCUAGGCCCUCACGCCCAUAUUCUAUUACUUGAAGAAACAAUAUACAACGGGGGGAAUCAUAGUACCGAAACCCCAACAAUAAAAAACAAAGUCACAUGCAACCACUCCAAGCAGUCAACUUGGCCAUUACAUAUUGAAUCCAAAAGGUUGACGGCCUAUUCUCUGCAUACAAUGCACAGAAGAUAACAAGAUUACUAAUAUAAAAAGAACAUCUGAAAAGAUGAACAUAUGCAUCAACAAAUAAGCAGGGGCGGAUCCACAGUGGGGUCGUCGGGGUCAAACGACCCCUUGGAAACCAUGGAAACAACCUUGAAGCUCCCAUAUGCGACCUCUUGGAGCUGGGGUUGUCGGGGUUGUCAGGAAGAGGAAGAAGAAGACUCGGCAGGAAGAGGAAGAAGAAGCAGCUCGCGCGACGUGUAGGUUCUGUGUAGAGUUUCUGACCUUUAAUUCCCACUUCACAAAGACGAGAGAAAGAGAGAGAGGGAAGGAAAGUCCUCGGGGUGGUGGUGAUGUAGACCUUCGUCGGGGUAGUGGUGUGGGUGUGCGUGGGUGUGGAUUCGAUCGGAGAGAGUGAGAGGGUUAAAGAGUGAAAAAGAGAGAGAGAGAGAGAGAGAGAGAGAGAGAGAGAGAGAGAGAGAGAGAGAGAGAGAGAGAGAGAGAGAGAGAGAGAGGAGAGUUCGGGGAGAUGAGAAGGAGGACAAUGGGGACUUGCCCCGUGGCAAGUUGUGAUAGGUAGGAAAUCCCAAAAAGGGAUCCGGAUAGGGUAAGUAAGUGGGGACCAAAUUGUAAACUUCAUUUAACUGUAGGGAAAUUGUGAAAUUACAAGGAAAUCUUUGGGGAGGGGUUUUACAGAAACCCUUCUCAACACUUAAAAGCAAACUGCGUGCUUUUAAUCAGGUUUGGCUCUAUAAUUGAACUUGUAACCAUGCCUUUCCCUAUGACGGAAUUGUGAUAUGCUUUGCCAGAUAUUCACAAGGAAUUCAUUUUUCUUUUUCCAAUUGCAAAAUAUUAGUGAACAAGUUGUUUCUUCUAUGAGAGAUCCAAGCAUAAUGGUUGGGUAGAUGCAGAUGAGAAAAUCAGCAGUUGCUGUAUUUGGCACAGUAAGAUAUUAACUCUUACAUCUAAAUUGAAAAACAUGAAAAUUUCCUAGUUCUCAAGGUCUCACGUGCAUGCUCAGAUACAUUUGUGCUUCAUAUUUGUGUGUUUGAUUCCGAGAAGGCUGACAAGUUGAAGCAAUCUCUUCCUCCAUGUUUGAACAUUCAGGACCUUUGAACAAGGAUUUUGGAGUAGCUGGUUGCGCUAUCCUACCAAGACCCGAUGAAAUGACGAUAUGCAUGCCGUUUCUGUUAAAAAAAAAUAUCCUUAUUGACCCCCCAAACAUUAUUUCCUGGAUCCGCCACUGCAAAUAAGUAAACCAUUCUAAGUGCAAUUUUAGAAGUGAUACGCUCCAAGUGUGAUAUUGGACAGAAGAGCGGCAGCUUCAACCAGUUCUGCUAUAUCCGGCUGGAUGAGAGCUGCUAAAGACAUGAUUGUUCCCUAAUAACAUGAAUAAAUUGAGUAAACACCAAAAGUAGCGCAGCAAGGGAAGGAGAUUUGAAGUAGAUGAAGAGGUGUAAUACCCGUAUAUGCAGCGCAUCAUUUCUGAUAGAUCAAAUCGAGCCAAUUCCUGCCAACUCCAAUGCCGAUAAUCCUACAGUAAAGCAUAAAUCUUAUUCUCUUCUGAUAAAGAUGUGUGUCCCUGACUCCAACGUGUUUGACGCACAUUCCCUACCCAUACAUUGAAACCUUCAUCUGCAAGGACGAAUCCCAGUUAUUCUUCUGGAGAAUUUAAGAACCAUGAAUCACCUGGUCAAGAAAAGCCAGUAACCAAUUACAAUUGAGUUUGAAGCACAUAAGAGCCUAAUUUAAAAUGUAUCCCAUGGAUGUUCAUCAAUUUACACAAUAGUUAGUUUCAAGAAAGGAAAUUUCAACAGAACCUGAAAACUUCAGAUCAGGGGGCACCAAAUAGUGAGCUAUACAUUCAAAAUUUGAAAUAAUCAACUUAGUGGGACCAAUAUGUUGAAAAAAUUGGAAGGAGCUAUGAAAGUAAGGCUUUUCACUAAUCAGACGUCCAGAGAAUCAAUAUUUUACUCACGGAUCAGUUACGGGGAACACUCCCCACCAAAGCAAACUCUUUCGUCUGAAUCUGGAAAACAAGCAGCAGUGGAUUUUAACAGUCUGGGUAUCUCAAAGUUACUUUAAUCACAAAUUUAACAAUUAAACAUAUAAAUGGGCAUUAUUUAGUGAAAUAUUAGUAUAGUACUCACUGUGUGCUCGGAACAAGAGUACCCAGAAAGCUCAAUGAGCUGCGCACAGAGGACUACAGCGGUGAACGACAGCGACCGAUUCUGUAAAAUUCAGUCGAGUUUUGGGUGAUUUCGGAGGUCAAGAGGCUGAUAAGGAAAGCUGCGACCGAAGGGCACUGGUCUGGAAGAAAAGGCUCAGGUCACUGCUGUCCCAAUUCGCGAAGGAAGUGCCCCCAAAACAAUUUCGGCCCUGGACAGGUGCACUGUUUGCACUGGACCAGGGCCGGCCGGCCCAGGCGAUAACGUCCCCCAAACAGUACAUAUACAGAUGCUAGAAAUAUAUUAAUGUAACCUGAAACUACUAGAACCAUUCAAUUCUAGCGUCUACAGCUUUAGCAUUAGUUGGUACAUGGGACAUUCUUCCAAAGAGGGAGAUGAGCUCGUUGAGGCUCUUAUUUAUUCCCCCUCUUGAUGUGCCCUUCUAGGCUGCUAAUUCCAGACGAUCCAAUCUCAUACAUCUUCCCUGCAAAAGCAUGUGUGCCAGACUUCAAGAUCAAAUUUUUCCAACAAAAGAAACUUAAAGAUCAAACUCGCCAGCGGAAUAAAUGAUGCACAAGGGUGUUAAAAUCUUGACAUAUGUAUAUUUUUGGCAGAUUUUAUGUGAGCAUGCUACUAAAACUGGCAUCACUAAAGAUUGGUGGAAAACUUUAACAGUUUGAGUUGUAACUUCUCCAUUGUAUUUGUUAAGGCAAGAUGGAUGACAUCUAUGCAAUUUUCAGUAGAACUUAAAAGGCUGCAUAGCAGCUCUUGUUCGUUGUAUUGAAUACCGUGGUUUUACUGAUGAAUGCAGAGUUUGUUGAUGAUUCAUACGACAAGCAAUUGAAAAUCCCAUCAUUAUGCCCCACAUAUACCAAAAAAAAAAAGUCAUUUACACAAAUUCAGAGCGUUCAUCCACUGUAAUUUGCAGAUAUAGAAACGUUAAGAUAAAAGGAAAUGCAAAGUACCUUUCACCCAAAUUGGAGGAGCACCGGUGGCAUUAGCAAGUUAGCAACGGGAAUUGACAUACCAAUAUCUUCACAGUUUCUGCACAAGCACAAAUCAAAAGAACCCGGCGGUGGAGUUAUGUACCUCUCCUUGGAAAAUGCCACCUCUUGGGAUUUCAAAAUAUGCAGCCAUGGCUAGCCGUCUGACCACGCCAAUUCCACCAAAGCCACCGCAACGCGGCGUAGUGUCCGAUUGAUUGCUUCAAAACAGAGCUUCGUAUCCAUGUGUUUAUCAGCAGAGAGUACCCAAAACCACUGAAAAUUAUUUCUUUAUUCAGAUAAUAAAAUUUCCCAAAUUUGGAAAUUUAAUUCCGAAUCAAAAGUAGGGUUUGAAUUUUGAUUACCUAGAAAUUGGGGGGUUGGGGUGGAGAGGGACCCGUGCCACGACGGAUCUCUGUGUCUGUUUUAACUCAUGCCAAAUUAUAGAGAGUGUCAGGAAGACUUAAAUACUGAAGCCCCGUAAGCCGUUCAAUCCAGGGGGGAAGCUCUUUGAUAGAUGUUUUAUCCAAGAUAAGAUAUCUUAAUCCUUCCAUAUUUUCUUCAAUGCUUGGAAACACCUCAAAUUUUGUACAACCGGAAACAGAGAGACGGACAAGGGACUUGAGCUGACAAAUGCUGCUUGGAAGGCUCUUUAGUUCCUCGCAGUCGUUUAGCUUCAAAUAAGUCAAUCCCGUGAGAUUAUUAAUCGACCAUGGUAGUUCUUUAAUUUUUGAUCCGGAUAAAUUAAGAAAUUCUAACCCUUCAAUCACUUCUGUAAUCUCUGGAAACAUCUCAAGGCUCGAGCAACCAUAAAGAUCAAAGCUUUUGAGUGAUUUCAUACGAAUGCUGCUGGGAAGACUCUUAAGUUUCUUGCAGUAUAGUAGAUUCAAAUGACUCAACCCCGUAAGAUUAUUAAUUGAUGGGGGCAGUUCUUUAAUUUUUGAGCAGCGUAAAUCAAGCUUUUCUAACCCCUCAAUACCUUUUGACAUCGAUGGAAACAUCUCAAGACUGGAGCAGCCAUGAAGGUUCAAGGUUUUGAGACAUUUCAUACGAAUGCAGCCUGGAAGACUCUUAAGUUCCUUGCAAUCUUUUAGGUUGAAAUGACACAACCCCGUGAGAUUAUUAAUUGACAUGGGCAGUUCUUUAAUUUUUGACUCGGAUAAAUUAAGCUCUUCUAACUCCUCCAUACAUUUUGAAAUCUCUGGAAACAUCACAAGAUUGGAGCAGCCAUAAAGAUUAAAGGUUUUGAGAGAUCUCAUACGAAUUUUGCUGGGUAGACUCUCAAGUUCCUUGGAAAAUUCUAAGUUUAAAUGACUCAAUCCCGUGAGAUUAUUAAUUGACUCGGGCAGUACUUUAAUUUUUGACGCGGUUAAAUUAAGCUCUUCUAACUCCUCCAUACCUUCUGAAAUCUCUGGAAACAUCUCAAGAUUGGUGCAACCUCUUAGAUUAAAGGUUUUGAGAGAUUGCAUGCCAAUGUUGUUGGGUAGAAUCUUAAGUUCAUUGCACCAAUUCAGAUCUAAUAAAACAAGCUUUGUAAGAGUCAAAAUCGACCCGUGAACCUCAACUAAGCGUGUACAACUUUGAACAAUUAGCCUCUCAAGAUUUGGCACAUUUGUGAAGUCAGGGGUUAUCUCAAGGUUUUGACAAUGACUUAAAUUGAUGAAUUUCAACUUUUCCUGCGUCUGUUAAAACAUUCAGGAAAACAUGCAUUACUUAAUAAGACAUCUUACUCAAAGCCCAAACAUUUAAAAGAAACAAAUACAAGUAAAUGAUUGUACAUACCUGGGUUCCUUCCCAAAGUCGGUUAAUGAGACUACAUCGCAUGUCAAGUUCAACAAGAUUUUUGAAUUGAAAGUUGGAUGGCAAAGACUUGAGAGGGAAUUGAAACCAGGAGAGAUACCUCAAGUUAGGUAACUUAAAACGGAGCCCACUCAGGUGGUGUUUCCAGUAAUCACGUUUAAAAACGGAGCCCUCACUACUGAUCUUGAGAAGUCUUAGUUGAGUCAUACUAGCAAAAGCUUUAGCAUUUAAGCAUACCCGGUCUGAGUACGAGAAAUCCACGAUUAUGCUUUCAACUGUUUUCGUAGCCUGUGCAAAUCAAAGUAUUAGAAAAUACAAAGAACCUUAGUUUAGAUUAUGAAAUUAAUGCUUGUUUCUUAGGGAGCUGUUUGAUAAUCAUUUCGUUUUUAGUUUAAUUUUUUUUUCAAUUUUCAAUUAUUCAAACAAUGAAAACUAAAAAUUAAAAAUUGAAAACAAAAAUGGUUAUCAAAUGGCCUAAGAAAUUGAUUUUGGUCAAAAGUUGAAGCUUUCUACUAACAAUUGCAUAAGAAAAAGACUUCUCACCGUAUUUUGAGUUAGCAUUUGAUUAACAUCUUCAUAACUCCACAACCUACUUCGUUUCCCAGGCUCUUUGAUAGAUUCUUGACGGACGAUUUCCCGACCCAUUUCCUCUAAUGAAUCAUGCUUCUCCAGUUCCCCCUCCCCUGAGACAGUUAUGAGAGCAUGAUCGAUUAGAACUCUUAUUCCUAUAUGAGGAUGGAAACCACAAUCGUCCAUAAUUCGGGUUGCACAGUCUUUCUUCAUCCCUUUAAAGAAACAUGCAAUAUCUAGAAAGAUGUCUUUCACUGUGUCAUCUAGUCCAUCGAAGCUUGAUUUAAGCACAUCAUGAAUUCCCCUUUGCGGGAUUUUCCUUAUUUUUUCUAACUCAUCUUCCCACUCACGGAUAGUUUUUUUAAGAAGAAAAGCUCCCAAAACUUUGAGUGCUAAGGGCAGACCUUGAGCAUAUUUUACGACACGCUUAGAGAGAUCAUCAUAAUCUCUGGUGGGUUGGUUUUUUCGGAAGGCGUGCUGCCUAAAGAGUUUCAGAGCUCCAGAAUCACUCAAAGUCUUGGGAUUAUAUAUCACAUCAACUAUGCUUAGUAACUGUGAAUCUCUACUUGUUAUAAUAAUCCUACUUCCACCACCAAAGGAAUGUGGCUCUCCAAGUAAAGCAUCAAUUUGUUCUGAUUUGUCCACAUCAUCAACAACAAUAAGAACUUCUCUGACCAAGGCUUUUUAACAUCACCUGAAAACCUUUGUUCGAUAUGUCAGAGCUCCCCACCUUGUUGUCCGAGAUACUAGAUAGAAGUUGUGUCUGCAUAUGUAGUUCGCCGUGCUUCAUGAAACCCUCCUUGACAUUUUUAAGAAAGCAACAAGUUUCAAAUCGACUAGCGAUUUCAUCAUAAACAGCUCUAGCGAUGGUUGUUUUGCCUAAACCACCCAUACCCCAUAUUCCAACAACGCGAACAUUAUUCGUUUCAACUCCAGGAGGAUGUAAUAAUAAAUGCAUUUCAUGCAUAUGAGAAUCCAUGUCAACCAAGCCAUUCUCUUUCCUUGAUGAUGAUGAGAUGUCAAUCAAUUUCCGAUAAACAUAUUCUACAAUUUCCUCUACGAGCACCGCAUCACUCCUGUCAAAUUAAAAAAAAAAAAUAUAAUAACAACAAAAAAUAAUAAUUAAUAGGUCUUUUUCAUCUGUUAGUUUUAAAAAAACUAGAAAUUAAAACCAAAAUCUUGUUGUGGUCUAUUUUAUCUGACAGAGGGACUAGGGCCGGCGGCAGAGAGAGAGAGGAGAGAGAGGUGUGUUUGUAGAAUUGUAGGGGAAUGUGUGUGUUGUUAUCCCUCCUACAUUGUGCCUUUAUUUAUAGUAGUAAAGGGAGAGAAGAUAUUCCUUCUUCUCCAAGUAAUACAAGUUGUAAUAGGAAAGGAUAACUAGAAUCAAAUCUUAUCUAGGAUUUACACAAUCAUACUUAAACUAGGAAUGUUUACAACACUCCCCCUUGAGUGGGUAAAUACUCAAGGUAGAUUCAGCAUCAUGCAGAAGUUGAGGAAGUCGACUCGUCGGCAUUGAUUCCAAGGAACAACGCUUAUUCUCAAUAAGGUAGGAACUUGCAUAAGUAGUAAGUCUCACUAAAAAACCCUAAGGCUAUGGCAAAAACCCAAGUAGGGACAAAAUCCAUAGUCUAAGGAAAAAUGCGUGAGGAAUGCAAAGUCAAAAGAAACGUCUACAGGACAUCAUCAGGGAUAUGACCAGCCCAAGGUGGGUGCCUCGUUAAAACCUAGUUAGGUAGCAAAAACCCAGUGGGAAAAAUGCUCCUAAUCGUAGGGAAAAAGAGUACAUUAAGAUCAAGCAAGUAUCCAGAAGAAACUCCCCCUGAGUUUGACAUAAUUCCAAAGAGAAAUAGCAAAGUUACAACUCAGAAAGUUUUUACGCAUACCAAUUCCAUGAACAAGCUUCUAAAAACGUCGCCUUCGGUAGUGAUUUGGUGAAGAGGUCGGCCAGAUUGUCUUGUGAUCGGAUUUGCGUGACUUCAAUCUUCUGAUGCUCUUGUUGUUGAUGUGUAAAGAAGAACUUCGGCGCAAUAUGCUUGGUGUUGUCUCCUUUGAUGUAACCCUUCUUGAGCUGUUCGAUGCAAGCUGCGUUGUCUUCAAAAAUCGUCGUCGGGGCAUUAACGGCGGGAUGAAGAUCACAGGAGCUUCGAAUAUGGCCCACUACUGCUCUCAACCAAAAGCAUUCCCGAGUUGCUUCAUGUAAGGCGAGAAUUUCAGCAUGGUUAGACGAAGUGGCAACUAAGGUCUGUUUAGUUGACCUCCAAGAUAUUGCGGUGCCUCCAACGGUAAAGACAUAACCCGUUUGAAGAACGCGCCUUGUGCGGAUCAGAUAAGUAUCCAGUGUCGGCAUAACCAACAAGGCGAGAAUCAACCCGAUGAGCAUAGGGUGCGGCAUCACUCGAGGAUUCGUAGGGAUAAGAUAAAGCCCAAAUCCGUAGUACCCUUAAGGUAACGGAAGAUGUCUUUCACGCCAGUCCAAUGUCUGCGUGUUGGUGCAUUGCUGUAUCUUGCCAAAAGAUUAACAGCGAAGGAGAUGUCGGGUCUAGUGCAUUGAGCUAAGUACAAUAAAGCGCCUAUCGCACUUAGAUAAGGAACUUCAGGCUCCAAAAUCUCUUCAUCAUCCUCCUUCGGACGGAAGGGAUCUCGCUUUGCAUCUAGCGUACGAACGACCAUAGGAGUACUCGAAGGCUUCGCUUUAUCCUCAUUAAAACGGCGCAACACCUUCUGGGUGUAGUUCGAUUGAAGUACUAGGAUUCCAUCCGAACAAUGCUCUAUCUCGAGGCCGAGACAGUAUCGAGUCUUACCUAGAUCUUUCAUCUCAAAUUCCGACUUCAGGUGCGAAGCAGUUCUCGCGAGCUCUUCAGGAGUUCCGAUGAGAUUCAUGUCAUCGACAUAUACUGCAACAAUCGCAAAUCCGGAAUGUGACUUCUUAAUGAACACACAAGGGCAUAGUUCGUUAUUCACAUAUCCCUGACUAGUCAAAUACUCACUUAAACGGUUAUACCACAUUCUUCCGGAUUGUUUCAAACCGUAUAGUGAACGCCUCAGCCGAAUUGAGAGCGUGUUCCGAGGUUUGGAAAUAUUUGAACCAGUCAAUGUAAGUCCUUCGGGAACUUUCAUAUAAAUUUCCGUAUCAAGAUCCCCAUAGAGAUACGCGGUUACUACGUCCAUCAGCUGCAUAUCCAGUUUUUCGGAAACUACCAAACUGAUAAGGUAUCGAAAAGUAAUCACAUCCAUAACGGGUGAGUAAGUUUCGUCAUAGUCAAUCCCGGGGCGUUGUGAGAAACCUUGUGCUACAAGACGAGCUUUGUAACGCACAAUUUCGUUCUUCUCAUUACGCUUCCGAACGAAAACCCACUUGUAGCCAACGGGCUUCACAUGUGGAGGAGUAGGAACUACAGGUCCAAACACCUUACGUUUCGCAAGUGAAUCAAGUUCGACUUGGAUUGCUUGUUUCCAGUUUGACCAAUCAGCUCUACGUCGACAUUCAUCAACGGAACGCGGUUCAAUGUCAUCGCUCAACAUGAUCUCAGUAGCUACUGCAAAUGCUAAUGCAUCGUCGACAAUCAUCUCAUUUCUACGCCACACAUCAUCUAAGCUAGCAUAAUAGACCGAAAUCUCACGAUUCUCGGGAGGAGGAUUCGUCUCUUCAAGGACGCUUCCAUAAUCUAGAAUUUCCUCAUGAGUUGGGUAAAAUGAGUAAGCGAUAGUCGGAUUCACGGUAGGCUCUUCAGGACCUUGUGCCGUGGUUUUCCUCUUCCGGGGGUGUGAAUCCUUUGAACCAAGGGGUCUGCCACGCUUUUGUGUAGGGGCAGAUGAUUGGCUAGCCGCUAAUGUACGUGGAUCACCAGAAUUGGCGUCCCGGGCUUCCAGGAGGGUAGUCCGUCGUACAUUUGGUACAUCCAUCUUUGCAGGCGUUUUCGCAGCUGGAAUAUGUGAUCUUGUCACGCGCGCUAGAUCGGUGAAAGCAUCUGGCAUGCUCUGAGCUAUGCUCUGGAGAUCUAAUAUGCGCUGCACUUCAGCUUCAGACUGAGCGGUGCGGGGAUCUAAAUGAGACAAAGUGGGAGUCAUCCACGAUAAUUCGCGUCGUUCAUUAGGAACGUUGACGUUCUUAUCUCCCCCUAACGACGGGAAGACUGUCUCAUAGAAGUGACAAUCCGCGAAACGAGCGGUAAACAGAUCGCCUGUCAAAGGUUCUAAGUAACGAAUAAUCGAAGGAGAAUCAUAUCCGACAUAGAUUCCCAUCCUUCGCUGAGGCCCCAUUUUUGUACAUAAGGGCGGCGAGAUCGGCACAUAGACCGCACAACCAAAAACGCGCAGAUGAGAUAUGUCGGGUUCGCAUCCGGUGACCAACUGAAGGGCACUAAAUGGUUGUGUCGCAACAGGCCUCAGGCGGACCAACUUUGCUGCGUGCAAUAUUGCAUGGCCCCAAGCAGCGAUCGGGAGCUUGGUACGUAUGACCAACGAUCGAGCAAUCAUUUGUAAACGCUUAAUGAAAGCCUCUGCCAGGCCGUUCUGGGUGUGAACAUGGGGUACAGGAUGUUCAACUUCAACCCCAACCGACAUGCAAUAGUCAUCAAAAGUUUUAGAUGUGAAUUCUCCAGCAUUAUCCAAUCGAAUAGAUUUGAUCGGAUAAUCAGGGUGGUGAGCCCUGAGCUUGAUAACCUGAGCCAACAGUUUGGAGAAUGCAGCGUUCCUUGUGGACAACAAGCACACGUGUGACCAACGUGUAGAAGCGUCAACCAAAACCAUAAAAUAUCUAAAUGGUCCGCAGGGAGGUUGAAUCGGUCUACAAAUGUCCCCCUGAAUCCGUUGUAGAAAAAUGGGAGGAUUCGAACGAAUCUUGUCAUAAGAAGGCUUAGUAAUAAGCUUUCCCAUAGAACAUGUUUGACAUGCAAUUUCAUGGAUCGAACCUAAGCUUCGGGUUAGUGGAUGCCCGUGUGAAGUUUUGAGGAUACGGCGCAUCGCUAUUCGUCCAGGAUGUCCCAAACGAUCAUGCCAAAGUGUAAUUUCGUGCGCGGUCCCUGUGGUAGGGCCGGCCACAUAGUGGCAUUCUAUGGGGCGUAUGGUCGUAGUAUAUAGACCACUCGGGUUACGCGCCAUCUUCUCUAGAAUACGCUUCUGGCCAUAUUCGUAGGAAGUUACGCACAGAAAUUUAACUCCGUUUUCUACGUGGGUUUCAGCGUGGUAAUUGUUAUCUCUAAUGUCCUUGAAACUUAGUAACGUUCUUCCGGAACGUGGAGAAUAGAGUGCCUCAGCAAUGGUCAAGAUUGUACCAUUGGACAACAUUAUACGUGCCUUACCGUAUCCUUCGAUCAGGUUGGAUGGGCCUGAGGGGGUUGUCAGAGGUGCAUUCUUAGGUACGAAGUUAGUGAAAUAGAUGCGUUCACGCAAAACAGUAUGCGUGGUUGCACUAUCUGCCAGACAACUAACUUUCCCACUAUUCAUACCUAGAAUUAAUUUGAAUUGGUCACAUGCAUAAAAGUUUAUAAAACAAGUAUCAAUUCAAAAUAAUUUCAUUUAUUCAAGGAAAAAACUUAAUAUCCAAAAUAAAUCGCCAACUAAUAAUCCAAAACAUAAAGGAAAAUUGUUCAAAAUCAACCAAAAACAAGGUGGGGUUCGGCCACUAGGUGGAAUUCGGCCCCAAUUGUCUUAUUUUAACUGAAAAAUAAGUCUAUGUCUAAGAUUCUAAUCUUCCAUAGGAGUGGUAUCCUCCUGAAAAUCAGAAACCUCCAUCUUUGUAAUCUCCGGUUCGUCCACUUGCAGGAAGUUUGAUUCAAACUUCGUACAACGAGAAUGAUAUGCAUCCACAACCUUCUUGGGAGUACGGCAAAUACGGGACCAAUGGUCCUUGGAACCACAACGAUAGCACAUAUCGUCAUUCAUUGUGGCAGGUGCUUUGCCCUUAUUCUUGAAGUUCGGGGCCUUGGGAGUGAGGUUUGGGCGCUUCUGGGCUUUGUUUCCUCCCUUGGAUGGGCCUUGGCUCUGUUGACCUUGGUGGGAUGGCUUCUGGCCGCCCUUACCACGCCUCUUUUGGCGUUUUGGGUGCUGAUUAGUGCUAUAAUGUGCUUCAGGCACAGCAGUAGCCCCAGUAGGUCGAGCUUGAUGAUUUUUCAUCAACAGCUGGUUCUGCUUUUCAGCAAGAAGUAAAACAGAGAUCAAAUCAGAGAACUUAGUGAACUUCUGAGCUCUAUAUUGUUGCUGCAGGACAAUAUUAGAAGCAGAGAAGGUCGAGUAGGUCUUCUCCAGGAGAUCCUCUUCAGUCAAAGUUUCAUUGCAAAACUUGAGAAGUGAUCGGAUUCGACAAACUUCAGAAUUAUAUUCAUUCACAGACUUAAAGUCUUGGAAGCGCAAGUGCUGCCAGUCGUGUCUUGCUUCAGGCAAGAAUAUGUCCUUUUGGUGAUUGAAACGAUCAGCCAAAGCGACCCAUAAUGCACGUGGAUCCUCCUCAGCAAGGUACUCAGUUUGUAGAGCGUCAUGGAUAUGUCUUCGGAUGAAGAUCAUAGCAGUGGCUUUUUCAGCCUCGCCAACAGGUUUAUCUGUUACUUCUUCAAUAGCAGGACGCAAGUUCUUUGCAGUGAGGUGGAGCUUCACAUCUUGAACCCACUUGAGGUAGUUCCUUCCAGAAACCUCCAAAGCGGUGAAGUCGAGUUUGUUCAAAUUCGACAUGUUCCUAUCACAAAAUGGAUGAACAAGAUGUGGUUAGUGUAAUGGAGAAAAAUCAAUCCAUUCACAUAGGAGUAGAACAUACAGGUUCUAAUAGACAUGUAUUGGUUUAAUUUUGCAUGAAAAACUUCGGGUUUUCAUGGGUGAUAUAUUUAAGUGAAAACUUCGGGUUUUCAAACAAGGCAUGUGUAUAAGAAACUUUGGGUUUCAAAGUAAUUAUGAACUUCAGGUUCAUAUAUUCCUGCAGGCAAACACAAAUAUAUAUGCAAACAAAUAUGCAAAGAAUAUAUGUAGAAAUAUUGUAUAAUGAUAAGUGAAUUAAUUUAUUUUUGGUCUUCGGGGCCAAAUUAAAGUGUGGGUGAAAAUAUAAAAACCCAUAUUAUUUAAAAAAAAUUAAAUAAUAAAAUCUCGGGGCCUAAAAAUAUAGGCCAAGAACCCUCGGGUGGGAUUACAGGCCCACGGGGUGAGAAAAGGGGAAUGGGCUGCUGUGUGCAGCCCUAAAAUUUUUUUUUUCUCGGGCCGUUCCAGGCGAGCCCAUAAUUUUUUUUUUCUUUUCGGGCCGUUCCAGGCGAGCCCAGAAACUUUUUUUUUUUUUUUUUAAUUUAGAUGCAUAUAUAAUUCAAUGAAUCACAUAUUUACUUUGAUGCAUAUGCAAAUAAUAGUUUCAAUGCAUGUACAUAUGUAAGAUUCAAUUCAUGGCAAAUAUCAAAUUCACAUAAUUGUAGCAAUUUUGAUUAUGAAGCAUACACAAUUUAUGUAGAAUCUAAAAUACGUAAAACGUAAAGUUGGGUCAUGCAUCAUGGUGAAUGUUCAUGCUAUCAGGGCUUGCAAAAUAUCGAGUUAAAAGCCGUUGUUUGGAAAGAACCUGAUUGCGUGAUGAUAUGGAUGAACUGGUUUGAUGCAGAAAAAAUCUCCAACGUCAGAUUCCUAAGCGCAACGGUAGGAGCGUGCUGAUAACGUGUUGUGGUCUAUUUUAUCUGACAGAGGGACUAGGGCCGGCGGCAGAGAGAGAGAGGAGAGAGAGGUGUGUUUGUAGAAUUGUAGGGGAAUGUGUGUGUUGUUAUCCCUCCUACAUUGUGCCUUUAUUUAUAGUAGUAAAGGGAGAGAAGAUAUUCCUUCUUCUCCAAGUAAUACAAGUUGUAAUAGGAAAGGAUAACUAGAAUCAAAUCUUAUCUAGGAUUUACACAAUCAUACUUAAACUAGGAAUGUUUACAACAAAUCUAAAUAUUUGUCAAAUUAUCUAAAUAUAUAAAGAGAGAGCCCCAGUUUGGUGAAGCAUUCCAAAAUGCCAAGAAUAUCCCUAUGUUUCCUUCACAAUCAAAAUCCAAAAAAUCCAAAAAAAAGGAGGACAAACUGGUAAAAAACUUAUAACCGAACAUAAAAUUGUAUUGAAAGAAAAAACUAAAUUUUUACUAAAAAUUGAGAGCAAGAAAUACAAAAAAAAAAAACAAAAAAAAGGGAAAUUAAACCGAAUACUGGUAGAACAAGUCCACGUAAUUGAUAAUUGACGAAUGCAAUGUUGGUAACUGGUCUUGAUUUAAAAUAAAAAGUUGAAAACACAAAGAGACAGAUGCAGUAAAAAACACCAAUAAAAAACAAAAUAAAAAAAAAAAUAUUGGAAACUGAGGAAAGAAACGUGGGAGAGAGACUGCUGUUUUCAAACUGCAUUAAGUUUAAAGGCUCUCAUGUUAUUGCUAAUGGAAUAAAACAAAAAAGAAAAUAAAAAGAGACCUAAUACGUUUAGAAUAGAACUGCUAUUCGACAGUUGCAGGCUUGAAGUGUGUGAAGGAAACAGUUUUGAAGAACGAUAAACUCGAACGUUCAUGAAAAUAAAAGCGAACGUGGGAGAGGAACCAGUUUUGCGGGACAUGUAAAUAAAACACAAAAUAAAAUAACCUCAAGAGAAUAAAUUGAAAUUGUUGUGCCAGAGCCUGAAGGAGAAGAUCAAAUUGGCGAAAACCAACAAGAACUGGUAGUUCUGUAGUUCUCAAUUAUUAAAUUUGUGUGUUUUGUUCUCUAUCAAAAUGCUUCUUAUUCCUUAAUCUUCUCAUGCAUUUUCACAUGAUUAUUGAAAAUUCUGCACGUUAAUUGUAAUGGUUUGAUUGUGGUUUUUGUUCUCUGCAGGUUUUUCUUCCCUUAUCUUAUCAAAUAAAUCAAUUGAUAGGUUAGGCUUUCAUUUUUUUUUCUUCACAGGACUUUUAAGGACAUCCUCAAGUCAAAGUGAUGGAAUCAAAGUCUUCAGGUUUGGAUGCUUUUUUCCUUCUCUUUUUAGAGUAAUUUUCGAGUUUCUUCUCGCAUUUUUCGGGUUCCUUUCCCCAGUCCCCCAAAAUAACAAUAACAAAUUAGGCUUCUUCAUUUUUAGACUCUCUUGGGGUUGGCAGAUAAGGGGUUGCUUGCAUUUAAACCUCACCGUCCGGCUUCUUCUUUCUUAUGAAUUUUUAUCCCUUUCCUACGGCCAGUUCGUGAAGGCCGUUUUCAAAUUGAGGUUUUGUAUAUUCUGUCUCUUAAGAUUUGAUUCUUUCUAUUUUGGAUUAUUUUUUGUCUGAUUUCUCAAACAAUUUGGCUAAUGAAGAGUUUAUGGAUAUACAAUGGGACAAUAUUAUUUUCUCUCUGUUUUAUGUGUUUAUUUAGUUUUACUGUAGUUUUCAUCUAUGCCUUGAGUUUUGGCUUCUCUAUCUUUUUAUCUUUUGUAGCGUUCCAGGUAAAUGGUGAGAAUUAUUCAAGUAUGCGACAUCAUUUUAGUUUCAUGUGAAAAAUCUUCUCUUAUAAUUUUGUUUGAGUGAUUGAAUGUGCAUAUGUGAGCUCUAAGGUUUGGUUCCAUAUUUAUUGUUGAAGAAAAACAGGAAGUGAGGAACACAAUAACCCUACCACGAUUAUGUAUGAAAUAAAUUGGAUCUAUUAAAAACUCAUAUUUUGGGUGUGUUGUUAGGAAGAAAUGCCUAAACUCCGAAUUUGUAUGGAACAUACUCAUUAUAGAAUAGAUUAAUUGUAUGUGUUAUUGCUUUUAGUACUAAAAUUGACUUAUUUGCCCUCCUACAAGUCAUAGCUUUGCUAAUAAAUUGAGAACAAUGUCUGAUUUAGUUUUUUUUUUUUGUCGAAAUGUCUUAUUAGUUUAACUCUUUUCAUUUGAUAAUUCUCUUGCCCUUGGUUUGAGAUAUAAAGUAUUUCAUUUCAGUCAUCAAGUGUCACAGCCUGUCCCGAAAUAUUUUAUUGAUGUUGUGAAAUGACGAAACUGCCUUUGAGCGUUUUUUGACAUUUAAACUUUAGGGUUUGUUUUGGUAACCAUGGUUGUGUUUAGGGUUAGGUGGAAGUGUGAGGACACACACAUCACCCUUUCCCUUUCUUUCUCUUCUCUCCCGUGCACUCUCUCUCUCUCGGAAACACUCUCCCUCUCGGAAACACUCUCCCUCUCUUCCUUCUUUGUACGGACAACAUCAAAACCCUCUCAAACCUUGUAGAUCGAGGGUGUAAAGAACACCAUUGGGUUCGUGAGGAUCAUACAAGUCAAAAGGUACCAGUUUCAGGUAAGGAAACCUUCGAUUUCCCGUGAAAACCCUAACCCUCCGAUUUUGUCACUGUUUAUGCUCAUGUAAAACCUUGUGUUUUAGGGGAUUUUAAGCUCAUAGGGAGCUUUAGGAGGUCCUAAGGAAGAUCAGAGUGGUUUGUUGGAAGAAUUUGGACGUCGAAAUAGUGAGAUCGACGAGUUGCAGGGUUUGGCCUGAUUAUCGAGGUUUUUUUCCAGCGAGUUGGAGGUCGAGGCAUGUAUGGUUUUGUUCGUCUUUGUGAGAUCUUCAAAUUGGUUCAAAUUUCAUUGAAAAUGGUGCAAAAAUGAAGAAGUUAUAGGCAUUAGAAAUUUUUCCAUAAACCGGUGACUCACCGGAGAAGAAAGGAGUUGACGGAAUAUACUAACGGCGUCAUGUAUCUUUAACAGAUUCAGUUAGUUUUAACGGAAUAUUCCUGACGGCGUUAACUGACGCCGUCAGUGUGCCAAGCACAUGGGCGCACGUGGGGGCGCAUCUGGCCGUGCCUUGGCCACGUGGGUGAUCAGAAAAUUAUUCUAAAAAUAUGGGGAUGUUUCUGAGGUUGUGUAGAUCAUUUUGGUAUAUUCAAACACCCCGAUUGAGCAUUGUAUGAGAAGUUGUUACCAAGUUUUGUGUUUGUGCUUUAAAAGUAACGUUUAUAUAGUUGUUUCGCAUAUAGGUGAGACCUAUCCCGAGGACGAGCGAAGUCAGGGGCAACUCGGGGGUUACGACCCUUCCACAUACCAGUGAGUAUAUAUAUAUAUUGAAUAUUUUCCUAGAAAAGCGAUUUAAAUGUGUGAAAUCCCGUUUCUGGAUUUCAUUGUUAUCACCUACAUAUUUGUAUUAUUGAGAUUUUAUAUUAUUUCUCGAGAAUUUAUUUUAAUUUGUUUGAAUUUAAAUUUAAAUUAAAUUAGUUAUUAACGUUUGAAGUUUGAGGCAUUUUAGAAAUAAAUAGAAAAAUCUGAAAUUUUCUUAUGAAAUCUGGUGUGCCACAUGGGUGGCCCAGAUUCAAUGGAAAGGAAAAUGGAUGGUGGAGAUGCAAAGGAAAGGAUUUAAAAGAGAGUGGGCGCUGCCCAGUUAGGAGGGGGGAGAGAAAGAGGUGACCAAUUGGGCGAAGAGGAAAGGAGAGUAAGGAGAGAAGAAGAGGAAGAGGGAACCGGCCGGGGUUUACUAUGGCCCAUGACCCGACCCGGUUAUAUCUCCCAACUCCGGCCACCAUGGACGGCUAGGAUGGUGUCAAAAUGAUCCUUAGCUCGAGGCCAAUCGAUCUCUCUUCCAUUUCUACACUUAAAACGACGAGGGGGAGUCCAAUUUUGAGGAAAUACCACGGUGGGUGCGUCGGGCUUAUGUGGAAAUCCAUUAAAUCUUGAAACGUUUUCUUCCAAUUACAACCACCCAUAGCAUCCUCAUGAGGCCUAGAACAAAGCCCAGACAAGUUUGGGGGCGGCAGAGUUGUUUUCGAGUCGGAUCGAACACACCUAAAAACAAGGGUUCCGUACGGUUCGAGUGAAAUUGGGGAUUUUCCCGGCCAAAUUGGACUUGGCCACAGGUAUAAAAAUUGCUAUACUCAUUGAAAUCUUCAUUUCUGUAAAUUUUGAUAAUUUUUAAAAAUAGUUGAAUUUUUCCGGCAAGUCGGGGCGGCCGACGGCCACCCGUGGCGGCGAGUGCGGCGGUUUCCUGGCCAGUGGGCCGAAAAUAUCAUUUUAAGUUCAAUUAGAUGUCUUGAUUUCAUAAUUGAUAUCCUUAUGAUAUGGUUUGAUUGUUUGAACCUAAUUUCAUUACGAUACGUGGUUAGGUCAAAAUAUGAUUCGACGAUCCUACCGUUGGAUCGUCACCAAACCUUAAUGCGUGAUAGAACAUAAUAUUUUUGGAUCAUAGAAACUUACGGAUCGAGAAUCUGACGUACGGAUCUUCCCUAAUUGGAUUUCUAAGUUUGUAAAAUUAAAUGUCGACCGCCACUUGAAUUUUGAAAUUGGCGGAGAUCCAACUGUCGGAUCAUGUUGAGAUUUCAGUAUGUUGUUAUUUGAGCAUAAUGUGGACUUUGGAAAGUUUCGGAUCGGAAAUCCGAGGUGCGGAUCUUCCGAAUCAAAUUACAUAAGUUUGUGGACCCUACUGUUGAUCGAGAGUUGACUUUUGCUCAACAUGUCAUGAAACGUCCUAAUUACUAAAAUUAGUACUACAGGGGAACUAGGUGAAGUCUAGUGGGCAUGCAUUGAUUAGAGAGUGACUUGAAUAUAUGUGAUAUGAUUAUUACCUUAAUUUCCUAUUAGUAUCCUUUGUGAAGAUGAAUUGGUUUUAUAAAUGUGAUUUCUAUUGAAAUGUGAUUUUUAUAUAUUUAGCCAUAGGCCUAUGAUUAUUAAACAUGAUUUGGCUUGGUACUGAUGAUGGUUGUGACAUAUGUGAGUUAAAUUAUCUUUUUAGUAAUGUGAAUGAUGUGUAUGAUUAUUUUCAUGACAAUGUGAUCCUAGAAUCCUAUUAAAAGUAUGUUGUAGCACUUAUAUGCUUGGGUGCCAUAUUAGUGGUGACCUUGAGAAGUUGAUGGUGUAGGUGACUACGUUGUAACUCAUAGGGUUGAGAUGUGAUGUGGAUAAGUUGAGGUGUUGAAAUUACUACACCAUGUAGUAGUUGUACAUUGAUGGUCCUGCUUGGUAUAUCCGCAUUGGGGGACCAUACGCAUUCUAGGAGUGAUCAUGCUUGGUAUAUCUGCAUUGGGUGAUCACUACCUACCUGAUUAUCUUGACCCUGCUUGGUUAAUCCGCAUUGGGGGGUCACAAGUGGUCCUGCUUGGUUAACCCGCAUUGGGGGACCAUACUUUAUAUGGAUCGCGCUUGGUUAAACCGCGUUGGGCGAUCCUUAUGGCCAUGUAUGCUUAGGAGUGAUCAUGCUUGGUAUAUCCGUAUUGGGUGAUCACUGCCUAGGAUAUUAAACUAUGCAUACGGUUUUGCUUGGUAUAUCCGCGUUGGGGGACCAUAUGCAUUCUAAAAGUAAGGAGGAUUAGUUGUGUUGAUGCACAAAAUCAGCGAAGACUUUGGUACAACAGAAAGUGUCAGGUUUUGUGACCUUCGCUUGGUUGCUUCGGUCACUAGUGAGGAUAAAUACGUAAAUAAAUAGAGACAGAGAAGCAAACACAGGAUGUACGUGGUUCACCCAGAUUGGCUACGUCCACGGAGUAGAGGAGUUCUUAUUAGUAGUGAAGGGCUUACACAAGUACAAAGGAUCAAGCUCUCAAUUUAGUGAGUUCUUGUGAAUGAUUUACACAAAAUGGCAUUAGGCAAUAUUGUGGGGGAAUGACCCCUAUUUAUAGAAAAACUUGUAGCUUUGUCACAUUGACAUGUGUCAUGUUAUGAUUGGUUCUUGAUGUUGACACGUGCUGCGCUCUGAUUGGCUUCUAAUCCUGACACGUGUCGAGUAGUGAUUGGCCUCCUGGUCGGAGGGGAACUCUUCUGGGUCCUUGACAGUAUAGCGUUGGCUGGUACUCGGUAGUUUCGGGAUUGGUCAAGUAUGGUACAAACAGUGCUCCCCUAAGUUCCCGAGUGAGGGAAACUCCUCGGUUGGGGACUUGCAAGAUCCAAUCCCUUGAGUAAUCACGAAACUUCUAAGUACCGAAGUGUGGUCUGAUCUUCAUCUGCCCUUCUCUGGAAGUACCUUUCCUCCAUCCGGGAAUGGUGUAUUUAGCUGAUGUUGACGCACAAGCUAAUGUAUCAAUUUCACUUGAAGCUUAGUUGUAGUUUCGGGCUUAGUCAAGUGUGAUACAAACCCUAUAGUAGGAGUCCCCCAAGUCGCCGAGCUAGGAGAUCUGCCGAAAGAGGUGACAGACAAGGUAAGCAGUCAAACUUCCAAGUAAGCAACCCAGGAUCAGAGGUUUGACUUCGGCUUCCGGUUGAUUGUUCUCAUUCUCCUUGUCUCUCAUUCAACUGCCAGGAUAAGGAGAAGCAAAUGGAUAAGAGAUGAUAUGAGAUACUUUUGCUUUUGAAGAAGUAACUUUCCACAGGCUUAUUCUUGAACUGUGCUGGAGGGUUUUCUGGUGCCCUUCAGAGUAUAAGGCCAACUCAAAAAUUUGAGGGUCAAAACAAGUCCAUCAAAUCUAGAGUACGUUCGACCUUGAUGAUAUGGGAUACUUUUGCUGUUGACGGAAUAAUGAAUGUGGUAUGGAAAGGUGUCGUGCUGUAGUGAUCUGUUUCAGCUCACCGUUUGAACCUUCUGCUUCAAUCUUUUGCAUGGCAGAAGUGGUGUGCAACCUUUGCAUUUAAAUGGUCCUUCAGAACAUUCCUUCAUAGUGACUCAUCCACGCUUGGCAGCUUCAGUGUAAAGAGCCAAUAUCUGAUCAACUGUCAUGAGGUAUUUGCCGGUGGAAUUCGUGACCUUGACAGCAGUUGAGGAUGAGUACUCGAGAGCAAUGCUAAGUAAGCAACCAGGCAAAGGCUCCAGGCAGUCAGUUCCAAAUUGGAGGUUUGAUUUCAGGUUCCGACUGACUGCUCUCUUUCUCCUUGUCCUGCAGGUGUGGACAAGGACAAAGACAAAGACAGGGAGAAAGCAUGAUAUGGGAUACUCUUGCUUUCGAUCCUGAUGAUAUGAGAUACUCUUGUUCUUGGUGUGGCUUAUUUGCUGAGGUAUUAUCGGGGGGAAAUAAAGCUGAGUAUUUCGAGAGGUUAUGUUGAGGGUGCCUUUUCGAAUGCGAGAAAGGGUUGAGCAUUUUUGCAGGUUUGCCUGUCCGUUGAGGAGGGAGGUCAAUGUAUAUAGGGAUUUCCCAAUAACAAGUAGUAAUGCUAUUCCUUUACCCUUCUUGGUCACAGCAAUGUAGUGGGAGCUGCCAGCUUCACGUGUUUUAAUUUUGUCAGAGCACUUUGAAAAAAGUGGUAUGUGGUAUCUGGAAAGCUGAUGUUACGUGUGAAGAUUACAGACAAGCUUUAUCUAAGGAAAUCUGGCUCUCGAAGUUCUGAGAGUUGUGCCUCUUCGGUUUUCGAACAAGCAAUCCCGUCGAGGAUCUGACUCUCGAGAUUCGGAAAGCGGUGCUACUCCGGUUUUUUAGAAAGUAAUUAUGUUGGGAGUCUUUUCUUGAAUGUGAGUAAAGGUUGGACGUUCUUGCCAACCUGUCUUGCCGCAAAACACGGAGGUCGACACACAUAGGGACUUUCCAGUUGUCAAGCAGUGGUGCUGUUCCUUUACCCUUAUGGGUAAUAGUAGGGUAGCUGGAACUUCGAAAUUCUCGUGCCUAAACUUUGUCAGAGAUCUUUGACAAAGUUAUAUGUGGUACCCGAUGAGUUGAUGGUGCAUAUGGAGAGCGGUGAUUGAACAGUAAGAUUCACGUGCUUUCUACUUCACCAGAAAUCUUCGACAGAUUGCCCGUAAUUUCUGCAAAGCUGAGUGUGCAUGUGACAGGUGCUGACGAGGCUGAAAAAGCAGGUGCUUCUUUGAUUUCUGAGAUCGGCCCUCGUGGUCUCUGAGCAGCCCAGCUUUUGAGAAAGCAAACGCCUCUUCGAUUUCUGAAGCUCCGUCGAGUGCAGAUUUUUAUAGAGGCUGGCAUUAAGUUCCACAGCACACUUGAAUCUCUACCAGUAGAAGCUCAUUUCUUGCACUUCUAAGAUCUUGAUUUGUCUGACCUCUUCCCUCUUCAACACAUUUGAAAAUGUCUGGACCCUCCGACCGUCGUUUUGACUUGAACCUUGGAGAAGAGACAGCCACGCCUUCUCCAGACAACAUAUGGCGCCCAUCAUUCAUAUCCCCUACCGGUCCUCUUACCGUUGGGGAUUCUGUGAUGAAGAAUGAUAUGACCGCUGCAGUGGUGGCCAGGAACCUUCUCACUCCCAAAGAUAACAUACUACUUUCCAAACGGUCUGAUGAGUUGGCUGUUAAGGACUCUUUGGCCCUUAGUGUUCAGUGUGCAGGUUCUGUGUCUAAUAUGGCCCAACGCCUAUUUGCUAGAACCCGCCAAGUUGAAUCAUAUUGGCUGCUGAAGUGAUGAGUCUCAAACAGGAGAUUAGAGGGCUCAAGCAUGAGAAUAAGCAGUUGCACCGGCUCGCCCAUGACUAUGCUACAAACAUGAAGAGGAAGCUUGACCAGAUGAAGGAAUCUGAUGGUAAGGUUUUACUUGAUCAUCAGCGGUUUGUGGGUUUGUUCCAAAGGCAUUUAUUGCCUUCGUUCCUCUGGGGCUGUACCUGGUAAUGAAGCUUCAAAUGAUGAACCUCCAAUGCCUCCUCCUUCUGGGGUUUUGUCAAGUACUGAGGCUCCGGAUAACCACCCUCCGGUGCUUUCUCUUUCUGGGGCUCUACCGACUGCUGAGACUUCCCCUAAGCAACCUUUGUGAAGGCUCCCUUUUGUUUGUUUAUUUUGACUCAUGUAUAUGUACAUAUUUGUGGCUUAUCGAAAAUAUUAAUAAAAUAAGCUUUGCUUCAUUUCAACAUAUUGUGUUAAAUACACCAAAGCCUUCUUCAUAAAGUUCUUUGAAUUUUUGCUUUUGUUGAAACCUGUAUUGUUGAAGCUUUGUGAGUGAAGCAUGUAGUUUGAGGUAGUGUUCCCUUAAUUUCUCGAGUGAGGAAAACUUCUCGGUUGGAGACUUGAAAAAUCCAAGUCACUGAGUGGUUGUGAGACUGCCGAGUAUCAAGGUGCAGUAGCAUAUGGUGGGAGUCCCCCAAGUCUUCAGGCGAAGAGAGUUGCCGAAUGAGGUGUCUCGCGUGUUACUAAUUUGUCAAAGUAACGAAUUCUUGUUUCGAUGUCACACAUUCGUAUAUGCUUUAUCUAAAAAAUAUUUCCAACUUUUGUGUGUGUUUGAUGCUGCAUGCUAUUGACUAGACAAGAUCAAGUGCAAUUAGUAGCUUUCUCUCUUUUUCAUCUUUUCUUUGGUGGAAUUGCUUUUCGUUUCCACUAAUCAGCCUGAGUGGAUGCAAGAUAACACCUUUCUCUAUAGCUCAGAUUGCAAAGUCGUCUUCAUGAAAGUUUUUCCUUAUCUUGUGAACUACAAUAUAUCCAAAUUUGAGAUCCAUCGGAGUAGUACAACUUCAGAAAUUCAAGUAUGAUGAGUAACUGUUCAUCAAUGUUCUGUUAAUCCGUCAGACUUGUUGUGAGCUUCGAAACUCCAUUUUCUCUUGUUCAGAUCAACAUACUUUCUUUCUUCAUCGAAGUUGUUCCUCAGCUUGUGAACUACAACAUAUCCAAAUUUGAGAUCCCUCGGAGCAGUAUAACUCCAGAAAUCCAGGUAUGAUGAAUGACUGGUUAUUAUUUUUCUGUCAACCCGUCAGAUUUGUUGUGAGCUUCGAAACUCCAUUUUCUCUUGUUCAGAUCGGUAUGCUUUUCUUCAUUGAAGUUGUUCCUCAGCUCGUGAACUACAACAUAUCCAAAUUUGAGAUCCCUCGGAGCAGUAUAACUCCAGAAAUCCAGGUAUGAUGAAUGACUGGUUAUUAUUUUUCUGUCAACCCGUCAGAUUUGUUGUGAGCUUCGAAACUCCAUUUUCUAUUGUUCAGAUCGGCAUGCUUUCUUCAUUGAAGUUGUUCCUCAUCGUCUCUUUCAUAACAUAUCAAAAAUUCAGAAUGAACUAAUGGUUAAAUAUUUCCAGAUCUUUGAAACAUCACAGCAGCUUCGAAAUCUGCAAGAAUCCGACUGUCAUGUUUGGAACUUCAACACUUUAAUUUCCGUCGCUCAAACAGAAAUGGUUCCUUCUUGAAAGUUGUUCAUAUGCUCAAGAACUAUAGGGUGUCCAAAAUUCAGCUCCAUUGGAGAAGAGCAGAGGUUGCAGAAAUUUGAUAGAUGAAAGGAGGCGGAAGAGGGAGAGAGAGAAAAAGUCUCUUGGGUUGGAUUUCUAUUUUGGGGCAGAUUCCAAUUUUUGUAGCACCUUCAUUAUUGAUGAAUUGCUUGUACUUUUGUCCAUUAUGAAACUUGGGACUUUGGCUUGUUGUUGGAUCUAUUAUAAUAUGUUUGGGAACAUAUAUAAGUGAAUAAAUAAGAAGGAAAAUUUUGGGCCCUUGUGGGUGUAAAACAAAAAAUGUUUAUGUUUACCCAAGUGGUUUUGUGAACAAAAUUUGUUUAUUUGGAGCAAGGUUUUGUGUUGAAGCUUUGUAGGUGAAGCUUUGUAGAUGAAGCUUUCGAGGUGAAGCUUUGAUGGUGAAGCUUUGUAGAUGAAGCUUUCUGGGUGAAGCUUUGAUGGUGAAGCUUUGUAGAUGAAGCUUUCGAGGUGAAGCUUUGAUGGUGAAGCUUUGUAGAUGAAGCUUUCUGGGUGAAGCUUUGAUGGUGAAGCUUUGUAGAUGAAAGUAUGUAGAGGGAGCUUUCUAGGUGAAGAUUUUUUAGGUGAAGCUUUGUAGGUGAAGCUUUUUUAAGUGAAGCUUUUCGGGUGAAGUUUUUGUUGGGUGAAGCUUUGUGGGUGAAGCUUUUUAGGUGAAGCUUUGUGGGUGAAGCUUUGGAGGUGAAGCUUUUCGGGUGAAGCUUUUUGGAUGAAGCUUUUUUUUUUUUUUUUUUUUUUUUUUUUUUUUUUUUUGGCGCUUGACACGGUCUUCAUUUGCUUGUUUUGUAGUGACUGUGGAAGACGGAUUGCUUUCUGAAUUGAGAAGGGUUCCGGCAUCGCUUGCUAUGAAUGUAAAAGAGUGAGGGCUGAGUUGGCUAAAUUACCUCUUUAUUGAAUUCAUUGCCAAAUGGCCUUCAUUACAUAGGAUGCCGAACGGCUAUAGCUCAACACUUGUACAUCGUGAGUCUAUUUGUAGUAGUACUUCAAGUGAUCAGCGUUCCAUGGAUGGCCAAGGGUCUUGCCAUCGGAGCUUCUAAGUGUGUAAGAGCCAGGGCGACUGAUGCCAAUGACUUCAUACGGUCCAUCCCAGUUUGGACUAAGUGUGCCUUCACUCGGGACUCUGUCGCAGAGUAAUCUUUUCUUUUAAGACCCAGUCUCCUAUUUUGAAAGAACGAGGCUUGACCCUAGAGUCAUAAUAGUUGGAGAUGCGCUGCUUGUAGGCGACAUUCCUCAAGUGAGCUUGGUUUCUGUGUUCCUCGACUAAAUCCAAGUUGAGGGUGAGUUGUUUGUCAUUUUCACUUUGAAUGUAGUUCUGGACUCGGAAUGUUGCUUGCUCGAGCUCAACAGGGACAACCGCCUCUGUGCCAAAGGCAAGUGAGAAUGGAGUUUCUCCUGUUGAAGUCCGAUAUGAAGUGCGAUAUGACCAAAGAACUUGGGGUACAAAUUCUGGCCAACAGCCUUUAGCUUUGUCCAAGCUGGUUUUCAAAGUGCGCUUGAUUAUUUUGUUGAUGGCCUCAACUUGUCCAUUAGACUGGGGAUGAGCUGGAGAGGCAAAGCAUAAGUUGAUGUUGAACUUAGAGCAGAACAACCUGAACUUCUUGUUGUCAAACUGUCGCCCAUUGUCAGUGACUAUCGCAUUGGGAAUGCCGAAUCUACAAAGGAUGUUCUUCCACACGAAGUCUUCUAUCUUUGCCUCAGUAAUGGUUGCCAAGGGUUCUACUUCGGCCCACUUUGUGAAGUAGUCCACUGCAACGACUGCGUAACAGACUUUGCCCUUCCCUGCCGGCAUUGGGCCGAUCAAAUCAAGUCCCCACUGGGCGAAGGGCCAAGGGCUGAUCAUAGGAGUAAGAGGCUCUGGAGGGGAAUGAGGAAUAGUUGCAUAUCGUUGACAUUUGUCACAUGAGCGGGAUACUUUGAUGGCAUCCUGGUGGAGUGUUGGCCAGUAAUAUCCUUGGCGAAAAGUCUUGUGUGCUAGGGACCGAGAUCCAGCAUGAUCUCCACAGACUCCCUCAUGUAUUUCCCGAAGGACGAUUUCCGCCUCGGCAGGCGUAAGACACCUUAAGUAUGGCAGGCUAAAACCUCGCUUAUAGAGUUGAUCAUUGAUGAUCAGGUAGCGGGUAGACUUGUAUCGAAUUUGCUUAGCCUGGACUUUAUCAUUUGGGAGGGUGCCAUGAGCAAGGAAAUUAUAGAUCGGGGUGAUCCAACUAUCCCCCUGUUGUAAGUUGCAUACUUCUGCGGCCAUGGUGCUUGGUGUUGCCAACAGUUCGACAUGAAUUUUUCUUCCAAUCUUGUCUUCCACAGCUGAGGCGAGGCGAGCCAGGGCGUCUGCAUGACUGUUUGCCGCUCGAGGAACUUGGGUGAUCUGGUAGUGGAAGUGCUUGAGUAAAAGUUGUGUUUGCGCAAGAUAUGCUGCCAUGGAGCUGUCCUUAGCAUCAAAGUUGUUGGUAACCUGGUUGACCACUAAUUGGGAGUCACUGAAAAUAUCAAUUUGUUUAACCCCGAGGUGUUUGGCCAAACGUAAUCCUGCUAGAAGGGCUUCAUACUCGGCCUCAUUAUUUGAUGCCUUGAAUUUGAAACGAAGAGCAUACUCCAUUGCUACUUUGUCGGGUGUAGUCAAGACUAGUCCCGCUCCACAGCCCUGUUGGUUGGAUGAGCCAUCAACAUACAGACUCCAUGCUGGGGUUGUUGGUUCUAUCUUCUGAGCUUCCGGGGGUAAUGAAGCCACUGUUUCAGGUGUAGAAGCAAUGUCAACCGGAUAUGUGAAGUCGGCAAUGAAGUCUGCCACUGCUUGGCCCUUCUCAGCUGGCUUUGGUUGGUAGGAGAUGUCAAACUCACCCAACGCUAUUGCCCAUUUGAUCAUUCGCCCUGAAGUGUCAGGACUUUGGAGUAUCUGUCGAAGAGGAUAAUUGGUAAGCACGAUGAUGGAGUGCGCUUGGAAGUAAGGGCGGAGUUUUCGAGCAGACAUGACCAAUGCCAGAGCCAAUUUCUCAAUGUUAGAGUACCGUGUCUCCGCAUCUUGUAAGGCUUUGCUAGCGUAGUAGACAGGUCGCUCAAUAUUCCCAUCCUUUCGAAUGAGAACGGAACUUACGGCUGAAGCUGAUACCGAUAGGUAGAUAAUGAGAAUGUCUCCUACCUCGGGCUUGGUGAGUAGAGGGGCUUUACUCAUGUACUCCUUGAGGUUUUUGAAUGCCUCGGCACAUUCAUCAGUCCAUGUAAUGUACUUCCUACUUCCCUUAAGUGCUUUAAAAAAGGGAGCACAUUUGUCUGUGGCCUUAGAAAUGAACCUGGUUAAGGCUGCCACCUUGCCAGUAAGGCUCUGGAUGUCCUUUGAAGUUACCGGUUCCUUCAUGUCGAGGAUUGCUUUGAUCUUCUCGGGAUUAGCUUCAAUGCCUCGUUGGCUAAUCAUGAAACCUAAGAAUUUGCCAGAGCCUACGCCGAAGGCACAUUUGUUGGGGUUUAACCUCAUUCGAUACCUCUUCAAAAUAGUGAAAGUUUCAGAUAGGUUGGUGAUGUGUUGGUCAGCAUGUUUGCUCUUGACUAACAUAUCAUCAACGUAAACUUCCAUGCUCUUCCCAAUCUGCUCGGCGAACAUUGAGUUGACUAGUCUCUGAUAAGUCGCUCCUGCAUUCUUUAGGCCGAAAGGCAUGACUUUAUAGCAGUAUAGUCCUCUGUCGGUAGUGAAGGCUGUGUGUUCUUGAUCCGAAGGGUUCAUGAGGAUUUGGUUGUAUCCUGAGUAAGCAUCCAUGAAGCUCAGGAGUUCACACCCGGCCGUAGAGUCUAUAAGUCUGUCAAUAAGAGGAAGAGGGAAGCUAUCUUUCGGACACCCUUUGUUUAGGUCGGUGUAGUCAACACACAUUCUCCACAAGACCUUUUGAAGCGAAAGACUUUCUUUGGUCGGAUUUUUCCUAACAAGGACCACAUUUGCUACCCAUGUCGGGUAAUUGACUUCGCGGACAAAGCCUAUGCCUUUGAGUUUUUCAACUUCUGCUUUCAUUGCCUCGUAUCGUUCAGCGUCAUAAGAUCUUCGCUUCUGUCUCACCGGCUUGAUCUUGGGGUCAAUACUCAAACGAUGACAGAUGACAUCGGGAGAGAUGCCUGGCAUGUCCUCGUAUGACCAGGCGAAGACUUCAGUGUUCUCUUUCAAAAAAGAUAUCAAUGCUAACCGAAGGGGUGGUGACAAUGUGGUGCCAAUCUUCACCAUGUGAUCUGGAUAAUCUCUUGAGAUAGGUACCUUCUCCAACUCUUCAGCAGGUUGGGCUUGCUGGGUGAAAGAGUCAUCUCGAGGAUCAUCGGGUUGAUUGUUGCUAUCAGGAAGAUCCAAGUUCGCUUCAUCUAGGCUGGUCUUUGUGACUUGGUCAUGUACAGACAGGGUUUCCUUGGGUCCGGGCAAGUGUUGUUGCUUAACUGAAGUGUUGUAACAUGAUCGUGCACUAAGCUGAUCUCCUCUGAUGUAGCCGUUGCCAUGGGGGGUUGGAAAUUUCAUCAACAGCAUAUGCGUGGAUACCAUAGCCUUGAGAUCAUUGAUGCCUGUGCGCCCAAAGAUGACAUUGUAUGCCGUUGGGCAGUCAACCACUAGGAAGUUAGUGGUAAUGGUAGCCGUGUAAGGGCCUGUACCAAUAGUAAAGGGUAAAUGUAUGCUCCCUAAGGGUUGCACGAUAUCACCGGAGAAGCUUAUCAGAGGAGAAAUCGAGCGAUCGAGCAAGUGUUCAGCUACACUGAGUGCCCUGAAAGCUUCGGCAAACAUGAUAUUGACCGAAGCCCCUGUGUCUACGAGGAUUCGUCGAACAUCAAAGUUGGCUAUGUGAGCCUCCACGAUCAAUGGGUCGUUAUGAGGGUAGAUGAUGCCUCUUUCUUCCUCAGGGUAGAAACAUAUCGGAUCCCAGUUAGGCUUUUGAUACUUCCCUCCCCUGAUGUCUUCCACGUGAAACACUUGGUGACCAGGCCUCAGAAUUCGUUCACUGUUUUUCAUGGCCCUAUUGGAAGAUUCAGAUAUGGGUGUGCCGCCGCUUAUGGAAUAUAUGACAUUCACCUGGCGUUGGUUACGGUUAUCCCUUUGAGGGUGAAGGAGGAAUUGAUCAAUUUUUCCUUCUCGUGCCAAAGCUUCAAUACGAUCACGGAGGAUGAUACAUUUCUCGCUAUCAUGGCCGUUAUGCUCAUGGUAGCAACAAAACAUGCCCGCGUUAUUCGGGGGCGUGUAAUCUGGGUGCCUCGGCUUUGGCUUUGGUAUCAGGUGAGCUAUGCUGGGGUAAAUGGCCGCGCAUGUGGCAUUCAAGGGCGUGUAUGUCUCAUACCUUGGGGUAGGGGGUAUCUUGACGCGGGUUUGACCCACUGCAUUGACUGCCUGGGGGCGAGCGUUAUUGUGGCGAUACCCUUGGUUAUCGGGAUAGUGUCCCUUACUCUUUUUUACUGAAAUGAGAGUGGUGAGGAUGGAAAUCCUUCCUCUUGCCUUGAAAUUGAUAUGUCUGUUGAUUCGGCGAAGCAUUAUGCAAGGCAUGGGGAGGUGCCACUGCUGUUUGGAAAGUCGAGGUCUUCUCAUUUAGGUGAGUCUGGCUUCCACCUCCCACUUGUUGAUAAAGGAUGGUUGUAGGGGGUUUCUCCUGAUAUGUCUUUGCCUCGGCGGAGGCAUGGUUAUAAGCCUGCGCCAUCACCUCAGAGUAAGUCUUCCAAGUAUUGGCAUUGAUCAUGUAUUUAAAGAAACAAUCACGUAGGCCUGCCGUGAAGGCUUUGAGGGCAGUCUUGUCGUCUGCCUCGGCACACCGGGAGUAUUCAUGGCUGAAGCGGCCAGCAUACAUACGUAAUGACUCGUCUGGCUUCUGGCGGAUAGUGUACAGGUCAUCUGCAGAGUGCAAGCGAUCGGUUUGGAAAAUGUGUUGGGAAACAAAUAGUUUCCUCAAUUCCUCAAAUGAGUCUACCGUCUCAGGUGUAAGACGACAAUACCAAUUUAGAGCUCCGCCAGAGAGGGUGGAGGGGAAGAGAAGACAUCGCUCUUCGUCGGUGUGCAUCCGGUAUGCCAUGGUGGACUCAAAGAGGUUAAGGUGCUCAAUCGGGUCCUCUUUUCCAGUAUAAAGUUGCAAGCCAAGCUUUUUGCUUUGUCUUUGCUUGAAGGGGGGUGUUGAGGAUCCUCCUUGUAAGAGGGCCAGGCCUGGGUUGGUUCCAGUCAGGUAUUUCAGCCUGACGUUCAGCCUUCAACUUGUUUACUUCCUCAAGAAGUUGUAGGACAAGGGGGUCCUGAGCGGAGUUAUGUGCCACUGGAGCUUUCUUUCGUAAAUCUCCAUCUUCUCUUGGAAUUAGGAAGGUUUGAUCAAGGGCAUGUGAUUUUUCCCUGGACUCGCUGUACUGGCUUCCAGGGUAUGUCUGUCGGAACACCUCUGAGUCCCCUGUACCCUCAUGUCUCUCUAGGACUUGUUGCCCCUUCCCCAAAUUGGUGGCCGGCUUGGGCCGUGGCAGGGGACCGAGUCUCUCAGAAAUCCUUGGGUCAUUAAUCUUUGAGCUUAUAUGGAUGGAAUUCUCUCGACGUUGCUUCAGGAAAUCCCGACAAUAGCGAAAGACAGCUUUCGAUCCUUCUGCCCCUUCAGCAAAGAGGUGUCUCCCUCCACUUCUCAUGGUUCGGGUUGAAGCAACUGGGUUAAGAGAAGCCUCAUGUUGAUUAUCAAGUCGAGGGGUAAUCUGUUCCCUAUCAGGGAUAUCUAUGUCGAAUGCAUGUGACCCUCCAUGUUGGAGGGCACCCAGUUGAUGGUUGACUUCCACGGGGGCAACAAGCUCGCGUGUCUGAGCUUGCCUAGCUUCGUGGAGUGUCUCGAAGAGCUUCUCAUAUUGCUCCUGGAGGACCUCAUUCCUCAUUGCUAUCUUGUUGUUCUGAGCUUCCAACUCAUCGACUUUAGCUUGAAGAAGAACUCGUUUUCCUUCCUUCUUUCGUUGUUUCGCACUAUGUGCAAGGGGGGUGUCAUUCUGUGUGCUGUGGCUUCCUUCGCUUCCCAUGUUGGAGAGGGAUGCCUGGUCAAAAGAAAGUGUACGAAUGAUAGAAACCAGCUUGACACAGCUGAAGAGAGUAGGAAUAAGUGUCGUUUCCCACAGACGGCGCCAAAUGUUGAUUAUCAAAAUCAGCGAAGACUUUGGUACAACAGAAAGUGUCAGGUUUUGUGACCUUCGCUUGGUUGCUUCGGUCACUAGUGAGGAUAAAUACGUAAAUAAAUAGAGACAGAGAAGCAAACACAGGAUGUACGUGGUUCACCCAGAUUGGCUACGUCCACGGAGUAGAGGAGUUCUUAUUAGUAGUGAAGGGCUUACACAAGUACAAAGGAUCAAGCUCUCAAUUUAGUGAGUUCUUGUGAAUGAUUUAACACAAAAUGGCAUUAGGCAAUAUUGUGGGGGAAUGACCCCUAUUUAUAGAAAAACUUGUAGCUUUGUCACAUUGACAUGUGUCAUGUUAUGAUUGGUUCUUGAUGUUGACACGUGAUGCGCUCUGAUUGGCUUCUAAUCCUGACACGUGUCGAGUAGUGAUUGGCCUCCUGGUCGGAGGGGAACUCUUCUGGGUCCUUGACAGUAUAGCGUUGGCCGGUGCUCGGUAGUUUCGGGAUUGGUCAAGUAUGGUACAAACAAGUUGUACUUAGUACAUUUGAUGGGCAAUCAUAUUUUAGUUGGUUCCGUUGAGUGGUCCGGAAUCCUUUUUGGUGUCUUGGUUCCGUUGAGAGGUCCGGAACCCGAUGCUGAUGGAUUUCGUUGAGGGGUCCGAAAUUGCAUCAUUUGAUUCAUUUAAGACAGCUUCAGCAAUGUAGACUUAUGUCGAAUUGUGUCGCUCUAACCCGGCAUUCCGAUGAAUUGUAUGUGUUAUUGAUGAUAUGGUGAUUGGCAUUAUUGAUUGAUGUGAUAAUUGGAUGGUAAUGGAAUGCAUAUGUGAGGAUGAAUGACGUUAUGAGUAGAGAUUAUUAUUGUGCUUUGUUAAAUGUUCCUUAAGGUGCUACAUAAUUGAAUUGUGGUAUUAUGUUGAGACCUAGUGGUCUAUGUGACGAAUGUUCGAUAGUAGUGAAAUGUGAACUACGAAUGACUUGAUCCCUGUUGAGGGUACGUAGGUAGUCUAACGAGGAGGUUAGAUGCAGUCAUAAAAUACACAAAAAUUACAACGAAAUUCGAAUAUUGAAUUAUGCUUUGUAAAUAUUUCGGGCGGGAUAUGUGAGAUAUACGGGUUUUUAAUGACGUCACGUGCUGAUCUUGGACGUAUGUCGGGAUCAGGGCGUGACAAAAUGAGUUUUAUGAAAUGAAAUGGCAUGCCAAUUAUAUUUAUAUUAAGAAUGUGCAUAUGUGAUUAUAUAUGUUGUGAUUCGAUGCUAUGGGCGCUCAGGUAAGUUUCAAGUAAGUUUAUGUGUUGAGUUUAAGGUGUGGAAAAAUGAUGAUUGUUGAGAUGUGUUGAGAGCUCAUUAACCUGCACCCGGGUGUUAGUGCUCCUGCCCAUGGUUAGGGGCACAGUCUUUCACGUGAUGUUUACCUCCCGUAGCACACGCUCAUCUUGGAUCCAAGUUAGGUGCACAAUCCUGUUGUAUAGACCACUUUCAGUGGGUUCGACUCGUUGGUGACCUGCAAUCAUUCGCACAGUCUUCACGUGAUUGUAGCAUUAGAGCAUAUUUGUUUUACACCCAGUCAUGUCGUAUAGACCACUAUAGGUGGGUUCGACUCGUGUGCAGACAUGAUUUAUGAGAUAGAAUUCAGUUGAUUUGAUAUUCUCACAUGUUAUCACUCCUUGGGGUACUUACCUUGUUAUUUGAGAUGAUUGGCAUGGUAUAUUCACGUUUUGACUUUGGAUUUUGAUAUUGCUGGAUAUGUUGAGAUUACGAGUAUAUGUAUAUGCUAUUUGCUGGGAAAUUAUACAGGUUUUACAGAGAGGGGUUAUACUUUUGAGAAAUGAAAUGAUUUUGAAAAGUUUUGUUUUUUGCCCACUCACGCGUUUUGUUUUGCGCCCCUCUAGGUUUUAGGUAGCGUUGUUGGUGGCUUACGAGUUUUCAGCGGAGGUUCUGACAGACCAUCACUUAUGUAGAAUCACCUUUGGGUGUUGUUAUUUAGUACUUUUAUGCUUGACUGCACUUAGGCUAGUUAAGCUCUGAUUGUGUAUUCACACUUAAUUUCCACUCUUGCAUCUUAGUCUUGUCUAGUACUAUCAGGAUUUGGUUUCUAUUCAAUUGUAUUUCUCUAUAUUAAUCUUGCUUCCGCACUGUGCAUAUGGCUACGUCACCCUCACGUGACGGUUAGCAUGUCUCGAUCUUGGUCGGGGUGUGUCAUCAAGUCACCUUUUAACUUCUAUUAUGUUGAUUUUUGUCUGUAGGUACACAAAAAUAUGCAGAUUUGGCUUUCAAAUUGAGAGGCCUAAGGACAAUCUCUGUUCAUAGAAAAAAAAGUUGGACAUAGAAGGCAUGGGUAUGGGAACAUGAUUGGUUGUUAUAUUGCUUUGGGACGUUUUGAUAUUUUAGAGAUUAAUGAGUUUGUGGAGAUUUUGUUUUUCACAUCUUGCUUUGUAUUUGAACUUAAGCACUAUAACUGAACUUACUUUAAAAUUAUAGGACUUCAAAACGCGACCGCGGUUAGGAUUAGAAAGGGCCAAGUAUAUAUGUUGAGAAACUAGGCAUUGCAAGCAUAUAAAUUCCAAUUUUAUUAUUGCUAAACCAUAUAUCAAAUGUAGUUAGGAAUUAAAUUAAGUACAAACUACAUGGGGAUGGAGAAAGUUAUGUAUAGGUGAGAGCCUAAAAAUACUUGAGAAUCAAAUACUGCACAAAUUUGUGAUAAGUUAGAUGAGUAAAGAUCGCCUUUUGUCAAGCAGUUUUUGACUUUUCUGCAUUCUUUUAUAUAGUUUUUUCUUUUUUUCUUCCUAUUUUGUCAGAUUAGAUAGAUAGGGGCGCUAAUAAAAAAAAAGAAAGAAAGUAUUUUUGCAUUUUGCUGCACGUGAUGAUGUUGAUGAUAUACAAUAUUCAAUGACUAAACCCUAUUCCCUAUACUAUAGCAAAAAAUGAAGCAUAAUUAUACAAUAGCUACACACAAAACAUUGAAAGUAUACAUGCGUGCAGUAAGAAUGAAUGGUAAAAAUGCCAUGUUCCUUUUAACAUUGCGAAUUACCGAGCUUUAUGGAGGGAGUAUAAAUACGAAUGCUCUUGGUGGUCUUCAUCUAAUUUCUUAUUAGUAUCAUCUCGAUGUUUUGGAACUUUUGACAGCCCUCUCACCGAACAUAUAAUUUUUAGGGGCGCGCAGCGCUCGUAAUUAAAAAAACGCGCAUGCGGAGAGGCUGGUAUAUACUAAAGUCCUACGCCCAAAAAUGCUGUUCAUAAGAGCAGUGUAAAGACGCAAAUACCCCUCCUCAACUGAUCUUUUCCUUCCUAUAUUUCAUGAGGCUACAGUAAAAAGACGAAAAACCAUGUUGCACACGUGGCGUGCUAGCGAGAUUUCUCUCUUCCACCGCUUCCUUCCUCUGCAGUCUACACCUCUUGCGUUUUUGCCUUUCCUCUCCAGCUGUCGGCCAUCACAGAGUCUUAUGGCAUCUUCCCGUUCUUUUCGCUGUUUUUCCUUCGGUUGCUUUUCACUUCUUUUCCUCUAAUUUGACUUCGUUUGUUUUGUGUUAUGUGGUUUUUAUUGAUUUUCAAUGUGUAUUGAUUGAUACUAACAAUUACAAGAUGAAACUUAUAUAUAGGGAAAGAAAGAUGACAUAAGCCUAACUUGCCUAACUUGCCUAACUUACACAAAGAAAGUUGACUAGCCUAACUUCACUAGUCAUCCAAUACAAUUGUUCCAACAUGUUUAUUUCAUGCAUUUUAACACUCCCCCUCAAGUUGGAGUGUGGAUGUCAAUGAUACCCAACUUGCUAAGUAAGACCUCAAAUUGCGCCGAGCUUAGUGGUUUGGUGAACAAAUCUGCAGGUUGAUUCGAGGUUCGUAUGUAAGCUGUUUGCACCAUUCCCAUCUGAAUCUUCUCACGUACUAAGUGACAGUCGAUCUCUAUAUGCUUCGUUCGUUCAUGAAACACUGGGUUCGAAGCAAUGUGCAUGGCAUCUUGAUUAUCACAAAACAAUGUGACUGGUUGUGCAUGAUUCACUCGUAAGUCCUUCAAAAGGUUUCUUAGCCAUAUAACUUCACAACAGGUGAUAGCCAUAGAACGAUAUUCUGCCUCUGCACUAGAACGAGAUACUGUGCUUUGCUUCUUUGUUUUCCAAGAUAUCGGUGCUUGCCCAAGGAAGAUACAAUAACCGGUUAUUGACCUUCUAGUGUCUUUACACCGAGCCCAAUCAGCAUCACAAAAAGCUUGUAAUUGUAGUGAACCUGUAGAAGGCAAAAGAAUUCCCUGGCCAGGAGAUUGUUUGAUGUAUCUGAGAACCUUAUACACUGCAUCAAGGUGUGGUUGUCGCGGCUUGUCCAUGAAUUGGCUUAACAUAUUAACCACGUAAGUCAGGUCAGGCCUCAUGAUGGUUAAGUAAAUUAGCCUCCCUACGAGUCUCCUAUAUGAAGAAGGAUCAUGUAGGAGCGUCCCUUCAGUUUAUGUAAGGGACAAGUUUGGUUCCAUGGGCAAUCGUGAGGGCUUCGCACCAAGGAACCCAACAUCUUCUAGUAUCUCCAACGCAUAUUUGCGUUGGCACAAGGCAAUCCCUUGUUUAGAUCUUGCAACUUCUAUCCCCAAAAAAUAUUUGAUUUUUCCCAAAUCCUUUAGCUUAAAAUGUUGGGAAAUGAAGAGUUUAGUCUCUUCAAUUUCUCUCAAAUUGUUACCUGCAAGUAUUACGUCAUCAACAUACACAAGUAAUGCCAUGAAACUGCCUUGAUUGAUGAAAACCAGCAGUCUUGAGAGCACUAGACAGCUUAAUAAACCACUGUCUUGAGGCCUGUUUUAAACCAUAAAUGGAUUUGUGUAAUUUGCAUAGUUGUGUCUCCCCCUUUCGUCCGAACCCAGGAGGUAUAUAAACCUCAUCGUAUAAGUCACCAUGCAAAAAUGCGUUGUUUACAUCAAGUUGGUGAAGAUGCCAACCACAGAUGAAGGCAAUACUGAGGAGGACAUGGACGGUGGUGAGCUUGGCAACUGGAGCAAAUGUUUCCCGAUAAUCAAGCCCUUCAAUUUGACUAUAGCCUUUAGCAACGAGACGGGCUUUGUAGCGUUCAACACUGCCGUCAAGUUUAAGCUUCACCUUAUAGAUCCAUUUGCAGCCUAUGGGAUGUUUGUGAGGUGGUAAGGGCACAAGAGUCCAAGUGCGAUUGUCAUGGAGGGCAUCAAUCUCUUUUUGCAUGGCGUCACGCCAUUUUGGAUCCUGAACAGCCUGCGAAAAACUGGUGGGUUCUUUGAUAAUGGUGAGGGUGGUGAGAAAGGUUUUGUGAGGGGGGAUACAUGGUCAUAGGAUAAAUAACGAGAUAGGGAGUGAGAUGUACCUGAGGACUGAACCAUGCUUGUGGAAGAUGUGGGUGCAACACGGGAUGGGAGGGCCACCUCAACAUGAAAGUCUUGCAAAAAUAUGGAAGUUUUGGUUGGUCGAGUGCUAGGACGGAGUGCAGGGGUUGGAUCUGGUGAUGGAGUGGUUGGAGGUGGGGAAGAGUGUAGGGUAGGUGAAGGUGUUGAUAAGGUAUCUGGUGGUGGAGUUGUAGAGGGUAAAGGAGAUGAGGGUGGUGUGAUGUCGGCAAGUGUGGGAGAUGUGGUGUUUAUGUCUGCUGGUGCAAGGCUUGAAUGCGACUCAAUGGGAGAGGUCGAGUCAAACGGGAUAGGUGUAGUGUUUGAUGGAGACGGGGCAACGGAAGUGUUACAAUGUUGGAAUGGAAAAUGAUCUUCAAAAAAUACGACAUCCCUAGAAACAAAAGUCUUAUUGUGUUUUAUAUCAAACAAUUUAUAACCCUUUUGACCAUAAGGAUACCCAAGAAAAAUGCAUUGGAUUGCACGAGGGUCAAAUUUAGAGGGCCUUUGGGCAUGUGUAGAAGCAAAACACAAGCUACCGAAAACCUUCAAAUGAGAAUAGUUAGGUGCUUUGUGAAACAGUUUUUCGUAUGGUGUUUUACCUUGGAGAAGUGGAGUGGGUGUUCUAUUGAUGAGGUAGGCUGAGGUUAGGAUUGCAUCUCCCCAAAAACAUUUUGGCAGACAAGCUUGAAAGAGCAAAGCCCGAGCAACAUUGAGCAAGUGCCGGUGUUUACGUUCGGCAACACCAUUUUGUUGUGGUGUGUUGACUCAACUAGAUUGAUGUAUGAUGCCUUUGAGAGCAUAAAAUUGCUCAAGUUUAAACUCAGGGCCAUUGUCACUUCGUAUGAUUUGAACUCUGGUAUUGAAUUGAGUCUCAAUCAUUUGAAUGAAUUUGACUAAAAUGUCUUUUGUGUCAGAUUUAUGUUUCAUCAAAUGAACCCAAGUGCUUCUAGUGUAGUCAUCUACGAUGGUAAGGAAAUACUUGGCACCUGAAAUAGAAGCAACUUGAUAACCACCCUAAAUAUCAAUAUGCAAUAAUUCAAAACAUGAUUUGGUAGAAAUAGAGCUCAAAGGAAAGGGUGAUCGUGUUUGUUUGGCCAAUGGGCAAAUUGAACAUUUUUCCAAAUCACAAGCUUUAUUGUUAAAGAAAGGUAAUAACGAAGUGGCUUUAUGAGAUGGGUGUCCUAGGCGUUGGUGCCAAAGCUUUGGUGCGAUGGUUUGAAUAUUGUUGCAUGUUCUUUUCCUUGAUGAGUCGAGGUAGUAGAGUCCAUCCCUUUCAGUUCCCAUCCCAAUCAUCUUCCCCGAGCGAAGGUUCUGAAUGACACAAAAUUGGGUGAAGAAAAUUGUGACAUAUAAGGAAUCAUAGGCUAGUUUACUGAUGGAUAUUAAAUUUAAUUUAAAGAAUGGCACACAUAGGACAUUGUCAAGGAUAAGAUUAUGAGAGAAAACAACUUGUCCAAUGUGAGUGACUUUGGCAACGGAACCAUUUGGCAGUUCAACUGUAUGAUUUUCAACAGCUCGUGAGUGUGUAAAGAGACUAGGGUUGAAAGUUCUUCAUGACUAGAAGGAUUACCGACUUGAUUGGCAAAUGAUGAUUUGUUCUUGUUCAACAUUUGAAGGAUUUGCUUGCAAUCCUCCUGAGAGAACGGGAAAUUGGGCAACAUCUCUUGCUUGUUACUUUGUGAAACUUGAUUCCCUUUUGAAGAAAAAGGACGACUGCUUUCCGUUUCUGUGGCUGCUUUUCGUUUUCGACAGAAAUCGAAGGUGUGACCUUUCCAUCCACAAAAAGUGCACUUGAGAUGUGCACGACAGUUUUUGGUGAUGUGAUUUGUUCUAUUGCACUUUCCACAUCGCAUCUCUUUGUCUUCCGGUGUAGGUUCUUGCGACAAAUUCUUCACUCCAAAGACAACAGCCUCUGGUUGUGUACUCUUCCCAUUGGAAACCUCUGCCUGGCGUUCAUGUCGAAGGACCAACGCAUAUGCCUUGUUCACCGUAGGCUGUGGUUCAAGAAGAAGGGUAUUGCUUCGAACCGUAGCAUACGAUUCGUUCAAUCCCAUAAGGAACUUCAUGGUUUUCUGAGUUUCAACAUAUGAGUUCAUCUCAUUCUUUGUUCCACAACUGCAUGCUGGAAUGGAACACAAAGUAUCACGUUCAUCCCAUAAACUUUUAAGUUUAGUGCAGUAAGAACUUACACUCAUAUUGCUUUAGACGCAAUCAUGGAUCUCGUUCUUAACAUGGAACAGCUGAACUAUAUUCACAUGUGAGAACCUCUCCUGCAGAUCGGUCCACAUUUGUCGAGCAUCCUUGUAGUUGAUGACACUCCUUGAAAUCUCCUUUGACAUGGAGCCUAGUAGCCAUGUCUUGACCAAGUUGUUGCAGCGAUUCCAUUGUUGCAACUCCUCAGAAUUGUCCUCACUUGGUUUGUUGAUUGUCCCAUCAACAAAACCAAGUUUGUUCUUGACCGUUAAGGCCAUACUCAUGGAUUGAACCCAUGUGCUGUAGUUGUCUUCCACCAAUGGUUGUGGUACGAGGAUUGCACCAGGUUGGUCCGAGUGGUGGAGAUAGAGUGGGUGGUUGGGAUUUUCCCAUUUUGAAUGAGAAGCCAUGCCUGGAAUGGUUGACCUCAUGACUGCCUUAGAGCUUGUGUUUUGUGGUUUUCCCAGAUCACAGCUCUGAUACCAUAUUGAUUUUCAAUGUGUAUUGAUUGAUACUAACAAUUACAAGAUGAAACUUAUAUAUAGGGAAAGAAAGAGGACAUAAGCCUAACUUGCCUAACUUGCCUAACUUACACAAAGAAAGUUGACUAGCCUAACUUCACUAGUCAUCCAAUACAAUUGUUCCAAUACAAUUGUUCCAACAUGUUUAUUUCAUGCAUUUUAACAGUUUUGGUUUCGUUUGCUCUCUUUCCCUUCUUCUCUGUUGGUUUCUGUUGCUUCUCCAUCAGUUCACCCAAACCACCGCUUGCUUCUCCACCAGUUCACCCAAAUCCGACGAAGGGCGCCACAACAAACGUGCCAAUCUUCCUGCACCACCGGUCUCCGCAACGUUUUCCAAAACCCGCUUGACCGAAGGUAAGCGAAUUUGGUGUUCUGGAUUAUAUCGGAAUUGAAAUAGGUUUGGUUUCAUUAACUUUUUGGGUUAAUAAAUUUGUAUGCUCUGAUUCUUUUGAAUUUGAGUUUGGAUUGGAAUUUAAUUUUGAUUUACAAAUCUCUGAUAAAACCUCAACAAGAAACUUAAACCCUCAGCAAGAAACUUAAACCCAAUGCAUCAUCCUAUUAAUUCCAACAUCUCCUCAAUAAGUAUUCUAAGAUAUAAAUAUUACAAUUCUGGUGAUCAUAGAAAAAUGCAUAUUUGAGUGAUCAUGGAACACUGUUAGUAGCUACACAUAUCAUAAUAAUUUAGGAUAUGGACGUUAAAUUAUCUUAAACUGCAGAAUGUGGCUUUUACAUUGUUAUAUGGAAUUUCCCCUAGGAAGAAAUAGCAUUGAACUUAUAGGAUGGAUACAUAAAUAGCCUAUGUACGCAUUACAAAAUGAUUUAGUUGUUUGGGAUUAAACAAAGUUUGGUUUUUCAUGGUGAGUUCUCAACUGGGUUUUACUUAUUUUUUUGCCUCCGAUAUAAGUUUUAGAUGCUUUUCUUUGUUUUUCGCUAAUUUUUAAAUUUAUUUUUUUUACUAUUUAGUGUGAGAAAAUGGCUUCAAAAUUGGAUUUCCAAUGUCUGGGCAGAGGAAAACAGGAAGAGAACACCAAUGGUGGUUACGAAGGAGAAUCCCUUCUUUGCGGUGGAAAUUGACGGUCCAUGUGCAACAUUCAACCCAGUUUAUAAGAGCAGGGGUCAAUAUGAAGAACCAAUGACAUGGGGUUUUGUUUAAUUUUAUUAAGUUUUGUACUGAGGUAAAAUUCUCCCCAUUUAACAUAGUUUUAAAUGUUGAUUAGUAUAUGUGUAAAUAGGAUUGUGAGUAUGGUUGUAUAUGUAGUAGUAGAAUUGAAAACAUUGUUGUAAUUAUGUGUAAGUAGAGUUGUAAACCCGACGCAUCGCGCGGGCCUUUUUGCUUGUUACCCCUAAACGUUACAAAAAUCCCAAAAAUUAAAAGGAAACUAAAAAAAAUUAGAAUUUACCCAUAGUUUCGCGAAUCCCAGCCGGAUGAACUGGUGGCAGUUGUAAGAGCGGAUCUCCAGCUCCGAACCUCUUCUAUUUCAGCGUUAGAAUCAUGGUCGUGCUGAUCAAAAGCUUUCGCGAAACUUCCCUUUAGUUUACGACAUCAGACGGAUCAACUUCAUAGAAAAUGGGGAGUACAAUCUGUUUAUUGGUAUCCUCGCAUUCCAGGAUUUGCACGAGUUCUUUCAAGCACCAAGUGGAAGAAGCAUAGUUUUGAGAGAAAACUACAAUCGAAAUCCUUGACUCUCGAAUGGCUGACAGGAGCUUGGAAAGGCGGUCGCCUUUUCUGAGGUCUUCGGCAUCAAUGAAGGCGUUGAUUGGUUUCUGACGCAGGGCUUUGUAGAGAUGGCUGACGAAGCCCCUGCGAGUGUCUUCCCCUCUGAAAUUGAUGAACACAUCGUAUUUCCAACCAAGGCCAGAAGAAGAAGAAGAAGCAGCCAUUAAUCGAUCGAGCAGCUAAGUCCUAGAGUAAUGUAAGAACAGAAAUACUCGAUUGAUCAAUAAAUUGAAUCACAGAAAAAACUGGUCUGAUCGAUACGAAGUCAACGAGGACAGAAAAUUAUGCUUUAUGUGUUUUCACAUCUUCUUCCGGGAAAUUUAACGAAAAUAAUUUUCUUGCCGGCAAAAUUGACUUCAAAAUAUAAAAAUAUUCUUCCAGGUAUGGACAUAUGAAGUUUCAGUGUGAAACGAAUCUGCAUACUUUGGUUUGGUUUUGACCCAAGAAAAUGCUAAGAAAGGAUGGUUUAGCAGCUUUGCAUGAGGGGACUGGGUCAAAGUACUCUGUUGAAUCUGCCCUUGCCUACCCAACAACUUCUUUGUAAGUCGGAAAUAAAUCCCGAUCUUCCUAUUCACACGAAAAAUGAGUGGGGUGACAGGAAAUAUUUCUUGUUAAAUGUAAGCAUCUCACACAUGUGGUAUAUUCAAAGGUAUUGAGGCGACAAACGAGCGAUUAAUAGUUUGGCUUUUAAUUUGAUGUCACGGUAGUAACGGUACUUACUAUGAAAUCUUUGAUAUAUUUGCUUUUAGCUACAAAACAACUAAAACUCCACAAAUUGCUUAUGAAAAUAAAAAAUAUUGACAAGAUUUGAACUUGUAUUAUCUACAUCUUCACUACACAUUGUUGCUCCGCUCGUGUUCUGAAGUUGACAAUAGCUAGAAGGUCACAGCAAGAAGCAGAGGAGGCUAACUGUUACAGAAAAUUUGUUUAUUCAAAGCAUUAAUAAAAACACAUUGAAAUUAAUUCACGCAAAAAAUAAAUAAUACAGUGAAGGAUUUACAGUGGUGGCAGCCACACUUCAAAAAUAGGGCGUCUCACCCUGUGGAGAAAGCAUUUUUUGCUAUGAAUAAAAAUUCCACUGCGUAACAAAACAGGAGAUUAAUGAUUGAGUGAUAGCUGAGUUGUUUGCAAUGAGAGAGAUGUUUUUACUUUUAUUGAUAAGGAGUCUACAUAUGCGAUGUUCUCAUAGUAUAAAACUUCGCCGACAACAAUUAUAACUUGUUUGUGUUGAUAAAUUUUGAAUGACAUUAAUAUUGUCUAAUAUCUAAAAGAAUUUGGAUGGCUACAUUUUUUUUUUUUGGAAAACCUUUUAACCUUAUAAAUUGCGGGCUUCUUCCGACAAUUCCUAACUUCGUCACUGCUUCAGUCAACUCGAAGUCCUAGUGGUUCUUGUCCAUGAUAUCAAUAUCCCUACAAUAAACGGUGACUUCAAUAUGAGCUACACUCAGUCUAACAAAAAGUUUGUAUAGAGAAGAUAUGCAUGAAAAAAUGGCAAUGGUUGUGUUUGUGUUGCUGAACGAAUGAUACUGAAAUACCUAAACCCAAGUCAAGCUCCUUUAGUCCACGAAAACAAAAGUUUAGAAUACAAUAAUGUUUGCAUAUAGACUAGAGAAACGACAUACCGCAGGCCAGGAAGGUGCAGUGAAAGAGAGAGGAAGAGAGGAAAAGAGGAAAGAAACAAACAUGAAAUGACAAAGACUAUCAAAUAGAUUAUAACAAUGACUUCUUAGCGAUGGUUACAACUAUUUAACUAUCGAUAAUGCAUUAUUUUAGUUUGAAACGUGGAAGCAUUUGAGAAGUAGCAUGUCAACAACCAUUACACAAUAAUAUUGUCUAAUAUCUAAAAGAAUUUGGAAGUCUACAUUUUUUGGAACCUUUUACCCUUAUAAAUUUUGCGCCUCUCCUGACAAUUUCUAGUUUCGUCGUUGCUUCAGUCAACUCCAAGUUCUAGUGGUUCUUGUCUAUGAUAUCAAUAGCCCCACCGUAAAUGGUGACUUCAGUAUAAGCUACACUUAGUAUAAGUGUAUGGGGGACAUAUAUGUAUGAAAAAAUGGCAGUGGUUGUAUCUGUGUUGACUAACGGAUGGUACUGGAAUACCUAAACCCAAGUCAAGCUCCUUCAGUCCACAAAAAUCAAAAGUUUAUAAUAUAAUAAUGUUUGCAUAUAGACUUGAGAAAAGACAUACCGCCAGCCGGGAAGGUGCAAUGAACAAGAGAGGAAAAGAGGAAAUAAACGAACAAGAAAGGACAAAGACUAUCCAAUAGAUUAUAACAAUGACUUCUUAGUAGUGAAGUGAUUAAGCUAUUCCACUAUUAAUAAUGCAUUAUUCUUAGAUUGAAAUGGUUCAGAAAUUUAAAAGCCAGAAUUGACUUAUAUAAAAUCAAUUUUUAAUUGGGUAGAUGUAAUUUGUAAAACAAAAAUGUUUAUAAAAAAAAAUUUCUCUUGAAAAUGUAUUCUGGUGCCAGGAUUUAAACCUGGAUGAAAACUCUUAACCGUAAGACUUUUUGUAGUGAGCAACACUGGACUAGUUGAUAGACUAUGAUGAAAUAAACCAUUUAAAUGUACUCCUUACGUUAUGCAGUGCGCAUACUGGAUAAACAAUUAGUGCACAUAAUGUGGUUAUCUGAUUUGUGGGGAAUGGUGAUGCUCACCGCUGACUUUUGGUUUACUGACAGGCUCUCAAAGUUAAAUAUAUCAGAUUUUGUUUGACAUUCGUAACAUAUUUUAAUAUUUUCACCACAACAACAACAACAACAACAAAGUCUUUUCCCACUAAGUGGGGUCGGCUAUAUGAAUCCUAGAACGCCAUUGCGCUCGGUUUUGUGUCAUGUCCUCUGUUAGAUCCAAGUACUCUAAGUCUUUUCUUAGAGUCUCUUCUAAAGUUUUCCUAGGUCUUCCUCUACUCCUUCGGCCUUGAACCUCUGUCUCGUAGUCACAUCUUCGAACCGGAGCGUCAAUAGGCCUUCUUUGCACAUGUCCAAAUCACCGGAACCGAUUUUCUCUCAUCUUUCCUUCAAUUUCGGCUACUCCUACUUUACCUCGGAUAUCCUCAUUCCCAAUCUUAUCCUUUCUCGUGUGCCCACACAUCCCACGAAGCAUCCUCAUCUCCACUACACCCAUUUUGUGUACGUGUUGAUGUUUCACCGCCCAACAUUCUGUGCCAUACAACAUCGCUGGCCUUAUUGUCGUCCUAUAAAAUUUUCCCUUGAGCUUCAGUGGCUUACGACGGUCACACAACACGCCGGAUGCACUCUUACACUUCAUCCAUCCAGCUUGUAUUCUAUGGUUGAGAUCUCCAUCUAAUUCUCCGUUCUCUUGCAAGAUAGAUCCUAGGUAGCGAAAACGGUCGCUUUUUGUGAUCUUCGCUAGAUUACUCCGGUCAUUAGCGUGGAUAAGUAUAUAAAUGGAUAGAGAUAGGAAAGCAAACACAAGAUGUACGUGGUUCACCCAGAUUGGCUACAUCCACGGAAUAGAGGAGUUCUCAUUAAUUGUGAAGGGUUUACACAAGUACAUAGGUUCAAGCUCUCCUUUAGUGAGUACAAGUGAAUGAUUUAGUACAAAUGACAUUAUGAAAUAUUGUGGGAGAAUGAUCUCGUAAUCAUGAAACUUCUAAGUAUCGGAGUGUGGUAUCGUCUUGACUUGCCUUAUCUGUCUCAUAGGUAGAUGUGGCAUCUUCUCUGGAAGUACUCUUCCUCCAUCCAUGGGUGGUAUCUUUAACUGGUGGAGAUGCAUAAGGUAAUGUAUCAAUUUCACUUGAAGCUUACUUGUAGUUUCAGGCUUGGUCAAGCGCGAUACAAACCAUGUAGUAGGAGUCCCCCAAGUCGCCGAGCUAGGGGAUUUGCUGAAAGAGGUGACAGACAAGGUAAGCAAUCAGAGCUCCGGCUGAUUGUUCACAUUCUCCCUAUCUUGCAGGCAGCAUGAAGGAUAAAGAGAAGAAAAAAUGAGAAGAGAUGAUAUGGGAUACUUUUGCUUUUGAAGAAGUAACUUUCCACAGGCUUAUUCUUGAACUGAAGCUGGAGGGUUUUCUGGUUUCCUCCAGAGUAUAAGGCCGACUGAAGAAUUUGAGGGUCAAAACAAGUCCAUCAAAUCUAGAGUACGUUCGACCCUGCUGAUAUGGGAUACUUUUGCUUUUGACAGAGUAAUGGAUGUAUCGGCACGUGUGCUGUUACGCUUGUCUCUCCACAUGCUUCCUUGUAUCCUUCUCACUUGCCCUAUCUGUUCCUCAAGGCAAGAUGCGGUAUCUUCCCUGGAAGCAUAAGAUGUUGAAGAUGAGUACUCGAGAGCAAUGCCAGGUAAGUAAUCAGGUAAGGGGUUCCAGGCAGUCAGUUCCUAGCUGGAAGCUUGAUUCCAAGUGCUGACUGAUUGCUCUCUUUCUCCUUGUCUUGCAGGUAAAGAACAAGGCCAAAGGAAAAGACAGGGAAAAAGCAUGAUAUGGGAUAUACUCUUGCUUUUUAACCCUGAUGAUAUGAGAUAUUCUUGCUCUAGUAUAGCUUGUUUGUAGAGGUAUUAUCGGGGGGAAAGAAAGCUGAAUAUUUCGAAAGGCUUCGUUGGGAGUGCCCUCUCAGAUAUGAGAAAGGGUUGAGCAUUUUUGCAGGUCUGCCUGUCCGUUGGGGAUGGAGGUCGACAUAUAUAGGAGUCUCCCUAAUAACAAGUAGUAAUGUUAUUCCUUUACCCUGCUUGGUCAUAGCACGAUAGUUGGAGCUGCCAGCUUCACAUGUUUUAACUCUGUCAGAGCACUUUGAAAAAGUGGUCUGUGGUAUCUGGAAAGCUGAUGUUGCGUGUGAAGAUUACAGACAAGCUUUACCCAAGGAGAUUUGGUUCUUGAAGUUGGGAAAAUGGUGCCUUUUCGGUUUUCGAACAAGCAAUCCUAUCGGGGAUCUGGCUCUCGAGAUUUGGAGAACGAUGCCUCUUCGAUUUUUGAGAAAGCAAUCAUGCUGGGGGUCUAGCUCUCGAGAUUCGGAGAGCGGUGUCUCUUCGAUUUUUGAGAAAGUAAUCAUGUUGGGAGUCUGGCUCUCGAGAUUCGGAGGACGGUGCCUCUUCGAUUUUGGAGCAAGCAAUCUUGUUGAGAAUGUUUUCUCGAAUGUGAGUAAAGGUUGGGCAUGUUUGCUAGUCUACCUUGCCACGAAGCACAGAGGUUGACACACAGGGACUUUCCAAUUAUCCAGCAAUGGUACUGUUCCUUUACCCUCUUUUCGAUUUUUGAGAAAGUAGGCAUGUUGGGAGUCUGGCUCUCGAGAUUCGGAGGACGGUGCCUCUUCGAUUUUGGAGCAAGCAAUCUUGUAAUCUUGUUGGGAGUGUUUUCUCGAAUGUGAGUAAAGGUUGGGCAUGUUUGCUAGUCUACCUUGCCACGAAGCACAGAGGUUGACACACAGGGACUUUCCAAUUAUCCAGCAGUGGUACUGUUCCUUUACCCUCGUGGGUAAUAAUAUGGUAGCUAGACCUUCAAAAUUUAUGUGUCUAAACUUUGUUAGUGUUGUUUCUUUGCUAUUCUUUUACCCUUCUUGGUCAGAGCGAUGUAGUGGGAGCUGCAAGCUUCACGUGCUCAACUUUGGCAGAGAACUUUGGUAAAGUUAUCUGUGGUACCCAUGAGCUACUGUUGCGUGUGGGAAGUGGGUGAUUGAACAGUAAGAUUCAUGUGCCUUCUACUUCACCAGAAGUCUUCGACAUAAUGCCCAUAAUUUCCGCAAAGCUGAGUGUGCGUGUGACAGGUGCUGACAAGGCUGGAAAAGUAGGUGCCUCUUUGAUUUCUGAGAUCGACCCUCAUGGUCUCUGAGCAGCCCAGCUUUUGAGAAAGCAAGCGCCUCUUCGAUUUCUGAGAUCGGCCUUCGUGGUCUUUGAGCAACCCAGCUUUUGAGAAAGCAAACGCCUCUUCGGUUUCUGAGAUCAACCCUCGUGGUCUCUGAGAGUAAAGGUUGGGCAUGUUUGCUAGUCUACCUUGCCAUGAAGCACAUAGGUUGACACAUUCGGAGAGCGGUGUCUCUUCGAUUUUUGAGAAAGUAGUCAUGUUGGGAGUCUGGCUCUCGAGAUUCGGAGGACGGUGCCUCUUCGAUUUUGGAGCAAGCAAUCUUAUUGGGAGUGUUUUCUCAAAUGUGAGUAAAGGUUGGGCAUGUUUGCUAGUCUACCUUGCCACGAAGCACAGAGGUUGACACACAGGGACUUUCCAAUUAUCCAGCAGUGGUACUGUUCCUUUACCCUUAUGGGUAAUAAUAUGGUAGCUAGACCUUCAAAAUUUAUGUGUCUAAACUUUGUUAGUACUAUUUCUUUGCUAUUCUUUUACCCUUCUUGGUCAGAGCGAUGUAGUGGGAGCUGCAAGCUUCACGUGCUCAACUUUGGCAGAGAACUUUGGCAAAGUUAUCUGUGGUACCCAUGAGCUACUGUUGCGUGUGGGAAAUGGGUGAUUGAACAGUAAGAUUCAUGUGCUUUCUACUUCACCAGAAGUCUUCGACAGAAUGCCCAUAAUUUUCGCAAAGCUGAGUGUGCAUGUGACAGGUGCUGACAAGGUUGGAAAGGUAGGUGCCUCUUCGAUUUCUGAGAUCGGCCCUCGUGGUCUCUGAGCAGCCCAGCUUUUGAGAAAGCAAGCGCCUCUUCGAUUUCUGAGAUCAGCCUUCGUGGUCUUUGAGCAGCCCAGCUUUUGAAAAAGCAAACGCCUCUUCGAUUUCUGAGAUCAACCCUCGUGGUCUCUGAGCAGCCCAGCUUUUGAGAAAGCAAACGCCUCUUCGAUUUUUGAAGCUCCGUCGAGUGUAUAUUUUUAUAGGGGCUGGCAUUAAGUUCCAAAGCACACUUGAAUCUCCACCAGUAGAAGCUCCAUUCUUGUACUUCUAAGAUCUUGAUUUGUCCGACUUCUUCUCUCUUCAACACCUUUGAAAAUGUCUGGCCCCUCCGACCGUCGUUUUGACUUGAACCUUGUUGAAGAUGCAGCCCCGCCUUCUCAAGACAACAUAUGGCGCCCAUCCUUCGUCUCCCCUACUGGUCCUCUUACCGUUGGGGAUUCCGUGAUGAAGAAUGAUAUGACCGUUGCGGUGGUGGCCAGGAACCUUCUCACUCCCAAAGAUAACAGACUACUUUCCAAACGGUCUGAUGAGUUAGCUGUUAAGGAUUCUCUGGCUCUCAGUGUUCAGUAUGCAAGUUCUGUGUCUAAUAUGGCCCAACACCUAUUUGCUCGAACCCGUCAAGUUGAAUCAUUGGCGGCUGAAGUGAUGAGUCUCAAACAGGAGAUUAGAGGGCUCAAGCAUGAGAAUAAACAGUUGCACCGGCUCGCACAUGACUAUGCUACAAACAUGAAGAUGAAGCUUGACCAGAUGAAGGAAUCUGAUGGUCAGGUUUUACUUGAUCAUCAGAGAUUUGUGGGUUUGUUCCAAAGGCAUUUAUUGCCUUCGUCUUCUGGGGCUGUAUCGCGUAAUGAAGCUCUAAAUGAUCAACCUCUGAUGCCUCCUCCUUCUAGGGUUCUGUCCAGUACUGAGGCUCCGAAUGAUCCCCCUCCGGUGCCUUCUCUUUCUGGGGCUCUACCGACUGCUGAGACUUCUCCUAAGCAACCUUUGUGAAGGCUCCCUCUUGUUUGUUUAUUUUGACUCAUGUAUAUGUAUGUGUAGCUUAUCGGGGAUAUCAAUAAAUAAGCUUUCCUUCAUUUCAACAUAUUGUGUUAAAUACACCAAAGCCUUCUUCGCUAAGUUCUUUGAAUUUUCUUUUGUUGAAGCUUGUAUGUUGAAACUUUGUGAGUGGAUCAUGUAGGUUAAGGUAGUGUUCCCUUAUUUUCAUCAAUAUUGAUAUUUUAAACAAUGACAAUUCUUAGAAUACUGGAAUUCAUGUCAUUUUCAUAAACAAAUAAAUGGUUAAGAAAUGUAUAUAUUAGAAAAUUAAGAGCCAGAUUUAACUAAUAUUAAAUCGAUUUUAAAUCGGGUAGUAAAACAAAAUUAGGAAUCUGUGUCCUUUUCAUAAAUAAAUAAAUGGUUACAAAAUUUAUAUAUCAUAAAUUUAAAAGCCAGAAUUGACUUAUAUAAAAUCGAUUUUUAAUUGGGUAGAUGUAAUUUGUAAAACAAAAAUGUUUAAAAAACAAUUCUCUUAAAAAUGGUAUUCUGGUGCCAGGAUUCGAACCUGGAUGAAAACUCUUAACCGUAAGACUUUUUGUAGUGAGCAACAUCAGAUGAGUUGAUAGAUUAUGUAACGCCCCGCGCCCGAAAUAUUUAUUUUCAUAAAAUAAUUCCAAUGAUAAGCCUAAAUUAAAUUUUUUAUUUACAUUACAACCAAUAAUCACGAUUCCUUAUUUAAUUUUCUUAAUCCCUCACAAAAACUAUAACCCAUAAUUAACUUACCAAAACAUACGAUUAAAUUUUCAUAAUUUGUCACCAACUUCUACUCUUAAAACAACUUCCCAACUAAAGAUUAAAUCUCAAUUAUUAAGGCUACAUCUAACUCUUGUUAGACUGCCUACAUACCCUUUAGCGGGAUCAAGGCUUUCGUAGUUCAUAAAUCCGUUUAAAUCCAUUCUUAUAGCCGUUUCUGAAAAUAUUCUAGAAUUGGAAAUAUUCAACAUUAGCUUUCACAAUCGAAUCACAUCAAAUGAUUACCAAUUAUGGAUUUAAAUUGUCUAAAUUAGUAUUAAAAGGCAGCGUCGGCCCACUGGCCACGCGCCACCACGGGUGGCGAUCUCCAGUGAUCGGAAACCCCAAUUUCCGACAAACUCUACAAAUUACCAAAUUUUAUAGGGUUGUAGAGUUCAAUUAUAGGAACAACUUUCAUACUUGGGACGAAGUCCAAUUCGGCCAAGAAAAGCCCCAAUUUCACUCAAUUCCGUCUGAACCCUAGAAUUUGGGUGUCCUCAAUUAGUCAUCUCCCGUGCCCCGCCGCCCCAAACAAGGCUUGGUAGAUGUUCCUGGGUUCACAAGGAGUCUAACCAUGGUGGUAGUCAAUGGUGGUGGCUUCACAAACGGGAGAUCGCAGAAACGGACCCAUCGCACCCACCAAUGUAGGUUUCACUAAAUUAAAGCAUAUUUCCAUCGAAAUUGGGAUGGAAUUGGUGAAGGUAUCAAUUGGUAUCGAAGGGAGGGUUAUUUUUGGCACCGUUCCCAUCAUCAACGAUGGUCGGAAUAAAAAACAAUGGUCAGGUCGGGUCGGCGGGUUGAAGGAAGGUCUGGUUCCCUUCUCUCCUUUCCCUCCCUACCUCCCCCUCUGGUUGGUCCGUGUCUCUCGCCUUCUCUCCUUCCCUUUCCAUCACAGCCACACACGUGGCUUCUCAGAUCCUUGCUCCAGCAAAUCUGGAGCCUUUUAGAUAUUGGUCAAAUGACCAUUUUACUCCUAACUUCAAUUGUUAAUAACUUCUUCGUUAUAACUCCGUUUCAUGAACGGUUUUCGUCUACAUGUUCGUAGGGCCAUCCUUUAUCCAAAUAUAUCAAGAAAUCCGAUAAAAUAUAUGAGGAUAAAAUACAUCCUUGUAUAAUUACGUCAAACUAGUUAGGGCAUUUUCUUCUUUUCUACUUAACGAUAAAUUUUACUACGUAAAUUAUAAAAUUUCCGGAAACAAAACUUUAAAAGUUCACAAUUUUUUUUUCUUUCAUAACCAUAAAUUGAUUUAUUGUCGAUUUUUCUUCACAUAUUCAUAUAUUUAAAUUUUCAGGGUAUUACAGAUUAUGACAAAAUAAACCAUUUAAAUGUUCUCCUUACGUUAUGCAUUGCGCAUAUUGGAUAAACAAUUAGUGCACAUAAUGUGGUUAUCUGAUUUGUGGGGAAAGGUGAUGCUCACCGCUGACUUUUGGUUUAGAGACAGGCUCUCAAACUUAAAUAUAUCAGAUUUUGUUUGACAUUCGUAACAUAUUUUAAUAUUUUCACCGUUAUUGAUAUUUUAAACAAUGACAAUUCUUAGAAUACUGGAAUUCAUGUCCUUUUCAAUUUUCAUAAACAAAUAAAUGGUUAAGAAAUGUAUAUAUUAGAAAAUUAAGAGCUAGAAUUGACUAAUAUUAAAUCGAUUUUAAAUCGGGUAGUAAAACAAAAUUAGGAAUCCAUGUCCUUUUCAUAAAUAAAUAAAUGGUUAAGAAAUUUAUAUAUCAGAAAUUUAAAAACCAAAAUUGACUUAUAUAAAAUCGAUUUUUAAAUGGGUAGAUGUAAUUUGUAAAACAAUUUUUUUUUUAAAUAAUUCUCUUAUAAAUGGUAUUCCGGUGCCACGAUUCAAACCUGGAUGAAAACUCUUAACCGUAAAACUUUUUGUAUUGAGCAACACCGAACGAGUUGAUAGAUUAUGACGAAAUAAAAACAUAAUAAUUUCUUUCAAACUUAGUGAAUAACCUUCAGAAAAUAAAAACACCGAACGAGUUCAUAGAUUAUGACAAAUUAGUGGAUAAACACCUUCAGAAAAUAAAAACACCGAACGAGUUCAGCGGUGAGCAUCACCAUUCCCCACAAAUCAGAUAACCACAUUAUGCGCACAAAGAAUCAAUCAAAACAUAAUAAUUGAAUGAACGAGGAUUUCUUUCAUUUUUUCCAAAUUUUCUGAAGGUUUUUUCUAUAAGAACUUUUCUCUGACCAAUGCUUUCUAACAUUUCAUCAUUUUUUUUUAAAUUACACAAAUUCUUUGCAUACAUUGUUGUUAAAAAGAAAAUUUCUAUUAUUAAGGAGAGAGUUCGAAACUAUUGAAUUAUGGAAGAUGGACUUUUGAACUCGAGACACGGGUAGAAACCUAACACCUAUCCACUAGGACAUUAGAUCACCAGAGGUGGUCCUGGUUUUUUGGUGCCGACUGCCCAUGAACACUCAAAAUGUGCUUUUUUCCAGUACAACAUAAAUUAAACUGAAAGAUUUAAAAAGGGCUGGAGCCAGUCGAAGCUGUUGGGACAUUCUUCCAAAGAGGGAGAUGAAAUCGUUGAGGCUCUUACAGAUCCCACGUCACUGUCUUCAUUCAGCAGUUUUCCUCCAUCUACAUCAACAACUGCACGUUGCUCAAGAAGGUACUUCUAAAAAUUGAAAGUCAAACGAUAAAUUAUUAAGAAACAUUGAAUAUAAGCAUGAAACAAAGAAAAUGUUACGGAAUGGUGAUCCUCAUCCUCAAAGAUGAUUAAAAGCAAUUUGAUUCAAAAAUGACAUAUCAACUCUGGAGAAAUGGAAGACAAACAUGUGGUACCAUAUUCGCAACAGAGGUUAUGAAAGCUGAAAUCGAUUGUUCCUGUGUGCAUUGAUAAGUAAGACUACCGUAGAGAUUCACAACUAAGUAAAGACAGGUAUUCCACAGAACAACCCUGACCUCUUUGGAAACACAGAUCUAACAAAAACUAAAACAUUUUGGAUUAAUAUUGACUAAUCAAGAAUAAUGCAAGGGAGCAAAAGAGAUACUCUUCCUUCUAAUAACAAGAAGGCAUAAAAAGUAUACAGAGUUCCAACAAUUAGAGAACUUAAAUCAAACUAAAAAAAUCACCAAAGUAGACAGAAUUUCACUUCGCCAAAAAUUUGAAAAUAUAUCCUUUUUAUCCACUGAGAAUCAUAAACUACUACUACUACAUCAUGCCAAUAAGCAAUGCGUAAGAGGUGCUACAAUUUACCAAUAUAUUUACCCUGAGAACAAGUUUUGAAAUCAUCUCUAGUGUUAACAGCACCUUGCGUCCUUGGGUAAGCUGAGUCCUAGUAUCAAGUAAAGAGACCAAUCAGUACAUAUCCAAAAGAUCUUAAAUGCUUGUAAUACCAAAUAAGAAAGAAACAUGAGUAUAUCUUGAGUUAACCAUGCAAAAAUGUAAUGUUAAGGCAUCUUGUCAUACAGACCUCUUCAAGGUACCAGAAAUUUUUGCACUAAAGAUGUCACAAGCGGCUGAUAUGAAGCUGCAUUUUCUGUGAGUUGAGAUUUUGUCAAUAUAAUCGAUCACCUGAAGAGAGAGAGAGAGAGAGAGAGAGAGAGAGAGAGAAAGACAGUGAUAUCCAGAGAUGUGAGCCUAAAGGCUGAGUGUGUAAAAAAUAAGAUUAAAUGGAUAGCAAGAAUAUACAACUUUAAUGCCGAAAAGAACAUUAUAUGAUGCUCAUUCAUCAUUGCCAUUGAACGUGUACCUUCUUCUUUUCCUCUUUCUCAAAAGGAAGUAGACCCUUGAAGACUUGCCUAUAUGAUCCAUCAUCACAACCAGGCAAAGUCAUUUUAAUCAUAGCAACAAUGGCUCUAACUACCUGCCAUAAGAAACAUGCUACAUCAACAAGAUCACAGAGUGUACCAGAAACCGUAAUGUAGCAAAAUCUUAGAUAGAAUAGCUGGCCAAAAGGGAAUGGAAAAGCAAGCACAAAAAACAAUGAAAAGGACCAGUGAUGCCAAAAUUCAGGUGUUUAUAACUUUAAGUUCUACGUAGCAAAAACCACCUUAUGCACAACAAUAUUGGAAAAAUUAGAUACAUACAACUGAGAAGAUAGGUUUUCAUAAUCUGGACAAGUGCUAACUACCUUCUUCCUAUAAACUGCCACUCCAUGAACAUUAAAUGGUAUUUUCGUUUCACGCAAGGCUGUCUGGAAGACUUUUCCUGAUACCUGUAGUAUAAAAUACAAAAGAAAAUGUGACCAAAAUGUCUUAUAUGAUUCACCUCAUUCACAUUAGCACUAGGGCAAGCAAGCUUGACCUGCCUCCGGUAAAGGAUUGCUAUAUUUCCAUAGGAGCACCCUGCUUCUGACAGUUAGAUGCAGUCUCCAGGAUCUUGUCGACAACAAAGGCGCAUUAUGCAUCCUCAUUGUGACUUUCCUUGAUAAUUACCUACAUUUUGCCAGUAAAACCAGUGUCACUAACUAAAAAGACUGAAAAAUGACAUCAAAUUGUACUUGUUGGAGCAAGGAAAGAUUAGGUACAUUAGACCCAGAAGAAUUGUCGGUGUCAACAUUCUUUAGUUGGCAUCACUUCUUAUUGUUUUUUAUAACAGAAGAUGCAGCUUCCACAAUAUAGCGUGUGGACCGAUAGUUUUUAUUAAGCCUAAUCUGAACCAUAAAGUUAUGUCAAAUCCCACAGAACCCCAUAAAAUAAAACUUACUUUCCUGUAAUUAUACAAUAUAUUUGUUCUAUACUAUAUAUAAUGAAAAAAGACACUGAAUGACAUAAGAUAAACAUAGCAGUUAAGUGCGAAGGAACCUCUUUGUAAUUUGAAAAAUCUUUACAAAAAGAAUCAAAUCCAGAACUGUCCGCCCCGUUGAAACUGAAAAUGGACUGCAGCAGGAUAUAUGUUAUUUGAUUUAGAACAGAUAAGGGCUGGAUUAGAAUGAGCUGAGAGAGAGAGAGAGGGAGAGAGGGAGCAAUAAGAUUGGAUUUCCAUAAUAAAUCAACAACAUGCCUGAUCAUCAUCACCAACAAUGGUUAUGUGGUUAUGAGAGGCGAGAAUCCGCAAAAGACUAUACUGCAUAGCACUUGUGUCUUGAAACUCGUCUAUUACAAUAGCUUUCCAUGACUCCUGGCACUCCUCCGACACUAAUUAAGAGAACACCAUGUAUCAACAUUUAGCAUUACUUGUAAAACUAGAUAAAUCAAUUUAAUAUACUUAGAUGAUAGAGACCUUCAGGAAAAUCACUUAGCAGCUAAUUAAGUCAUGGUAGUCCAAAGCGUUGCACGAUUCCUAAGAAUUUCACCCUGAUUCAGAUUGAGAUCUAAAACUCAUAAGCAAUAGUUUCAGAGAACUGAAAUGAUAACUGAAAUUCUAGAACUGAAAUGAUAACUGAACAACAACAAAAACAACAACAAAGCCUUUUCCCACUAAGUGGGGUCGGCUAUAUGAAUCCUAGAACGCCAUUGCGCUCGGUUUUGUGUCAUGUCCUCCGUUAGAUCCAAGUACUCUAAGUCUUUUCUUAGAGUCUCUUCCAAAGUUUUCCUAGGUCUUCCUCUACCCCUUCGGCCUUGAACCUCUGUCCCGUAGUCACAUCUUCGAACCGGAGCGUCAGUAGGCCUUCUUUGCACAUGUCCAAAUCACCGGAACCGAUUUUCUCUCAUCUUUCCUUCAAUUUCGGCUACUACUACUUUACCUCGGAUAUCCUCAUUCCCAAUCUUAUCCUUUCUCGUGUGCCCACACAUCCCACGAAGCAUCCUCAUCUCCGCUACACCCAUUUUGUGUACGUGUUGAUGCUUCACCGCCCAACAUUCUGUGCCAUACAACAUCGCUGGCCUUAUUGCCGUCCUAUAAAAUUUUCCCUUGAGCUUCAGUGGCCUACGACGGUCACACAACACGCCGGAUGCACUCUUACACUUCAUCCAUCCAGCUUGUACUCUAUGGUUGAGAUCUCCAUUUAAUUCUCCGUUCUCUUGCAAGAUAGAUCCUAGGUAGCGGAAACGGUCGCUUUUUGUGAUCUUCGCUAGAUUGCUCCGGUCAUUAGUGUGGAAUGGAUAGUGAUAGGAAAGCAAACACAAGAUGUACGUGGUUCACCCAGAUUGGCUACGUCCACGGAAUAGAGUUCUCAUUAAUUGUGGAGGGUUUACACAAGUACAUAGGUUCAAGCUCUCCUUUAGUGAGUACAAGUGAAUAAUUUAGUACAAAUGACAUUAGGAAAUAUUGUGGGAGAAUGAUCUCGUAAUCACGAAACUUCUAAGUAUCGGAGUGUGGUAUCGUCUUGACUCGCCUUAUCUGUCUCAUAGGUAGAUGUGGCAUCUUCUCUGGAAGUACUCUUCCUCCAUCCAGAGGUGGUAUCUUUAACUGGUGGAGAUGCAGAAGGUAAUGUAUCAAUUUCACUUGAAGCUUACUUGUAGUUUCAGGCUUGGUCAAGCGCGAUACAAACCAUGUAGUAGGAGUCCCCCAAGUCGCCGAGCUAGGGGAUCUGCUGAAAGAGGUGACAGACAAGGUAAGCAAUCAGAGCUCCGGCUGAUUGUUCACAUUCUCCCUAUCUUGCAGGCAGCAUGAAGGAUAAAGAGAAGAAAAAUGAGAAAAGAUGAUAUGGGAUACUUUUGCUUUUGAAGAAGUAACUUUCCACAGGCUUAUUCUUGAACUGAGCUGGAGGGUUUUCUGGUUUCCUCCAGAGUAUAAGGCCGACUGAAGAAUUUGAGGGUCAAAACAAGUCCAUCAAAUCUAGAGUACGUUCGACCCUGCUGAUAUAGGAUACUUUUGCUUUUGACAGAGUAAUGGAUGUAUCGGCACGUGUGCUGUUACGCUUGUCUCCACAUGCUUCCUUGUAUCCUUCUCACUUGCCCUAUCUGUUCCUCAGGCAGAUGCGAUAUCUUCCCUGGAAGCAUAAGAUGUUGAAGAUGAGUACUCGAGAGCAAUGCCAGGUAAGUAAUCAGGUAAGGGGUUCCAGGCAAUCAGUUCCUAGCUGGAAGCUUGAUUCCAAGUGCUGAUUGAUUGCUCUCUUUCUCCUUGUCUUGCAGGUAAGAACAAGGUCAAAGGAAAAGACAGGGAAAAAGCAUGAUAUGGGAUACUCUUGCUUUUUAACCCUGAUGAUAUGAGAUAUUCUUGCUCUAGUAUAGCUUGUUUGCAGAGGUAUUAUCGGGGGGAAAGAAAGCUGAAUAUUUCGAAAGGCUUCGUUGGGAAUGCCCUCUCAGAUAUGAGGAAGGGUUGAGCAUUUUUGCAGGUCUGCCUGUCCGUUGGGGAUGGAGGUCGACAUAUAUAGGAGUCUCCCUAACAACAAGUAGUAAUGCUAUUCCUUUAACCUGCUUGGUCAUAGCACGGUAGUUGGAGCUGCCAGCUUCACAUGUUUUAACUUUGUCAGAGCACUUUGAAAAAGUUGUCUGUGGUAUCUGGAAAGCUGAUGUUGCAUGUGAAGAUUACAGACAAGCUUUAUCCAAGGAGAUCCGGCUCUUGAAGUUGGGAAAAUUGUGCCUCUUCGGUUUUCGAACAAGCAAUCCUAUCGGGGAUCUGGCUCUCGAGAUUCGGAGAACGAUGUCACUUCGAUUUUUGAGAAAGCAAUCAUGCUGGGGGUCUGGCUCUCGAGAUUCGAAGAGCGGUCUCUUCGAUUUUUGAGAAAGUAAUCAUGUUGGGAGUCUGGCUCUCGAGAUUCGGAGGACGGUGCCUCUUCGAUUUUGGAGCAAGCAAUCUUGUUGGGAGUGUUUUCUCGAAUGUGAGUAAAGGUUGGGCAUGUUUGUUAGUCUACCUUGCCACGAAGCAUAGAGGUUGACACACAGGGACUUUCCAAUUAUCCAGCAAUGGUACUGUUCCUUUACCCUCUCUUCGAUUUUUGAGAAAGUAGUCAUGUUGGGAGUCUGGCUCUCGAGAUUCGGAAGACGGUGCCUGUUCGAUUUUGGAGCAAGCAAUCUUGUAAUCUUGUUGGGAGUGUUUUCUCGAAUGUGAGUAAAGGUUGGGCAUGUUUGCUAGUCUACCUUGCCACGAAGCACAGAGGUUGACACACAGGGACUUUCCAAUUAUCCAGCAGUGGUACUAUUCCUUUACCCUUGUGGGUAAUAAUAUGGUAGCUAGACCUUCAAAAUUUAUGCGUCUAAACUUUUAGUUGUGUUUUCUUUGCUAUUCUUUUACCCUUCUUGGUCAAAGCGAUGUAGUGGGAGCUGCAAGCUUCACGUGCUCAACUUUGGCAGAGAACUUUGGCAAAGUUAUCUGUGGUACCCAUGAGCUACUGUUGCGUGUGGGAAGUGGGUGAUUGAACAGUAAGAUUCAUGUGCUUUCUACUUCACCAGAAUGCCCAUAAUUUCCGCAAAGCUGAGUGUGCGUGUGACAGGUGCUGACAAGGCUGGAAAAGUAGGUGCCUCUUCGAUUUCUGAGAUCGGCCCUCAUGGUCUCUGAGCAGCCCAGCUUUUGAGAAAGCAAGUGCCUCUUCGAUUUCUGAGAUCGGCCUUCGUGGUCUUUGAGCAUCCCAACUUUUGAGAAAGAAAACGCCUCUUCGAUUUCUGAGAUCAACCCUCGUGGUCUCUGAGAGUAAAGGUUGGACAAGUUUGCUAGUCUACCUUGCCAUGAAGCACAGAGGUUGACACACAGGGAAUUUCCAAUUAUCCAGCAAUGGUACUGUUCCUUUACCCUUAUGGGUAAUAAUAUGGUAGCUAGACCUUCAAAAUUUAUGUGUCUAAACUUUGUUAGUGCUGUUUCUUUGCUAUUCUUUUACCCUUCUUGGUCAGAACGAUGUAGUGGGAGCUGCAAGCUUCACGUGCUCAACUUUGGCAGAGAACUUUGGCAAAGUUAUCUGUGGUACCCAUGCGCUACUGUUGCGUGUGGGAAGUGGGUGAUUGAACAGUAAGAUUCAUGUGCUUUCUACUUCACCAGAAGUCUUCGACAAAAUGCCCAUAAUUUCCACAAAGCUGAGUGUGCGUGUAAUAGGUGCUGACAAGGCUGGAAAAGUAGGUGCCUCUUCGAUUUCUGAGAUCGGCCCUCGUGGUCUCUGAGCAGCCCAUCUUUUGAGAAAGCAAGCGUCUCUUUGAUUUCUGAGAUCGGCCUUCGUGGUCUUUGAACAGCCCAGCUUUUGAGAAAGCAAACUUCUCUUCGAUUUCUGAGAUCAACCCUCGUGGUCUCUGAGCAGCUCAGCUUUUGAGAAAGCAAACGCCUCUUCGAUUUUUGAGCAGACGCCUCUUCGAUUUCUGAAGCUCCGUCGAGUGCAGAUUUUUAUAGGGGCUGACAUUAAGUUCCAAAGCACACUUGAAUCUCCACCAGUAGAAGCUCCAUUCUUGCACUUCUAAGAUCUUGAUUUGUCCGACCUCUUCUCUCUUCAACACCUUUGAAAAUGUCUAGCCCCUCCGACCGUCGUUUUGACUUGAACCUUGUUGAAGAGGCAGCCCCGCCUUCUCCAGACAACAUAUGGCGCCCAUCCUUCGUCUCCCCUACUGGUCCUCUUACCGUUGGGGAUUCCGUGAUAAAGAAUAAUAUGACCGCUGCGGUGGUGGCCAGGAACCUUCUCACUCCCAAAGAUAACAGACUACUUUCCAAACGAUCUGAUGAGUUAGCUGUUAAGGAUUCUCUGGCUCUCAGUGUUCAGUGUGCAGGUUCUGUGUCUAAUAUGGCCCAACGCCUAUUUGCUCGAACCCGUUAAGUUGAAUCAUUGGCGGCUGAAGUGAUGAGUCUCAAACAGGAGAUUAGAGGGCUCAAGCAUGAGAAUAAACAGUUGCACCGGCUCGCACAUGACUAUGCUACAAACAUGAAGAGGAAGCUUGACCAGAUGAAGGAAUCUGAUGGUCAGGUUUUACUUGAUCAUCAAAGAUUUGUGGGUUUGUUCCAAAGGCAUUUAUUGCCUUCGUCUUCUGGGGCGGUACCGCGUAAUGAAGCUCCAAAUGAUCAACCUCUGAUGCCUCCUCCUUCUAGGGUUCUAUCCAGUACUGAGGCUCCGAAUGAUCCCCCUCCGGUGCCUUCUCUUUCUGGGGCUCUACCGACUGCGAGACUUGUCCUAAGCAACCUUUGUGAAGGCUCCCUCUAGUUUGUUUAUUUUGACUCAUGUAUAUGUACAUAUUUGUAGCCUAUCAGGGAUAUCAAUAAAUAAGUUUUCCUUCAUUUCAACAUAUUGUGUUAAAUACACCAAAGCCUUCUUCGCUAAGUUCUUUGAAUUUUCUUUUGUUGAAGCUUGUAUGUUGAAGCUUUGUGAGUGGAGCAUGUAGGUUGAGGUAGUGUUCCUUUAAUUUCCCGAGUGAGGAAAACUUCUCGGUUGGAGACUUGAAAAAUCCAAGUCACUGAGUGGGAUCGGCUAUAUGAAUCUUAGAACGCCAUUGUGCUCGGUCCCGUGUCAUGUCCUUCGUUAGAUCCAAGUACUCUUAAGUCUUUUCUUAGAGUCUCUUCCAAAGUUUUCCUAGGUCUUCCUCUACCACUUCGGCCCUGAACCUCUGUCCCAUAGUCGCAUCUUCUAAUCGGAGCGUCAGUAGGCCUUCUUUGCACAUGUCCAAACCACCAUAACCGAUUUUCUCUCAUCUUUCCUUCAAUUUCGGCUACUCCUACUUUACCCCGGAUAUCCUCAUUCCUAAUCUUAUCCUUUCUCGUGUGCUCACACAUCCAACGAAGCAUCCUCAUCUCCGCUACACCCAUUUUGUGUACGUGUUGAUGUUUCACCGCCCAACAUUCUGUGCCAUACAGCAUCGCCGGCCUUAUUGCAGUCCUAUAAAAUUUUCCCUUGAGCUUCAGUGGCAUACGGCGGUCACAUAACACGCCGAAUGCACUCUUCCACUUCAUCCAUCCAGCUUGUAUUCUAUGGUUGAUAUCUCCAUCUAAUUCUCCGUUCUUUUGCAAGAUAGAUCCUAGGUAACGAAAACGAUCGCUCUUUGGUAUUUCUUGAUCUCCGAUCCUCACCCCUAACUCGUUUUGGCCUCCAUUUGCACUGAACUUGCACUCCAUAUAUUCUGUCUUUGAUCGGCUUAGGCGAAGACCUUUAGAUUCCAACGCUUCUCUCCAAAGGUUAAGCUUUGCAUUUACCCCUUCCUGAGUUUCAUCUAUCAACACUAUAUCGUCUGCGAAAAGCAUACACCAAAGAAUAUCAUCUUGAAUAUGUCCUGUUAACUCAUCCAUUACCAACGCAAAAAGGUAAGGACUUAAGGAUGAGCCUUGAUGUAAUCCUACAGUUAUGGGAAAGCUUUCGGUUUGUCUUUCAUGAGUUCUUACAGCAGUCUUUGCUCCUUCAUACAUAUCUUUUAUAGCUUGGAUAUAUGCUACUCGUACUCCUUUCUUCUCUAAAAUCCUCCAAAGAAUGUCUCUUGGGACCCUAUCAUACGCUUUUUCCAAAUCUAUAAAGACCAUGUGUAAAUCCUUUUUCCCAUCUCUAUAUCUUUCCAUCAAUCUUCGUAAGAGAUAGAUUGCCUCCAUGGUUGAGCGCCCUGGCAUGAACCCGAAUUGGUUGUCCGAAACCCGUGUCUCUUGCCUCAAUCUAUGCUCAAUGACUCUCUCUCAGAGCUUCAUUGUAUGACUCAUUAACUUAAUACCCCUAUAGUUCAUGUAAUUUUGUACGUCGCCCUUAUUCUUGUAGAUAGGCACCAAAAUGCUCGUUCGCCACUCAUUUGGCAUCUUCUUCGUUUUCAAAAUCCUAUUGAAAAGGUCAGUGAGCCAUGUUAUACCUGUCUCUUCCAAAACUUUCCACACUUCGAUUGGUAUAUCGUUUGGGCCUAUUGCUUUUCUAUGUUUCAUCUUCUUCAAAGCUACAACUACUUGGAAAAAGCGUAUCAUACGCUCCCAAACAACUUUGAGUGGAAUCGUUCGAAAAGAAGUUUCUAUGGCCCCCUUGCUCAUUUAACACUGCAUCCGGAUGCUGAUGGAGAUACAGCGACCCUUGCUCACUUAUCACUGUGCUCGGGCCACACAGCGCGCCACUUACGGGUGACGCCCUAGAUUUAGCGCGAUUUCGUUCUGGAUUCAUUUUCAUAAGGAUUCGACGUGAUCAUGGAGUGCCGGCUGUCGACUACCUGACGCCCUCCCCCUCCUCCUUUAUCCGGGCUUGGGACCGGCAAUGUAAGAACAUAGGCGGAGUUAACUGAAAUGAUAACUGAAACAUAAAUAAAUUUAGAAUUCAAGACUAACCUGUGUAGCUAAUAUAUUCUAGCUUGAUUGUAGCUAAUAUUUUUUAAAUCGAAUGAAUGUUGUUCUUAAUCCACUAUAAUCUGAACAUUAAAUUUGGUAUUCAUGACUAACCUGUGUCACGAACUUUAGCCAUUUCUUUGAUGGAUCCUUAAAAUGAUGUGGAGAUGUUACGCCAUUACUCUUCCCCAUCUAUAGCAACAUUAAGAUUCGUUUUACUCUUUUCAUCUUCUGAUAACCGCACAGCUUCAAUGACUGCUCUUCUCUGUUGCCCAUGUCCAUAUAUAAAAAAUUCUGGUGUGCGCUCAAGUCUAAAACACAAGCCAACAUAACAGACUCAGCUAUACCACCAUAGGUAUGGUGUUCAAAAUCAAGGGAGGUGAAUCAAUAGCUUACUUCUCAGCAUGUGAUCGGCAAAGUUGCAAUGAAAAUGAAUGAAAUGUACUGAUUGUUAGUAGUUUUGCCGUUCCUUUCCCAGUCACAGAUCCAAUUCGAUCUCUCAUCUCGGAAGCUGCUGCUGUAGUGAAAGUCAUUGCUAGAAUGUUAGACGCGCUCAUGCCCUAAGAACACAAAAAAAAAAGGAAUAAGAUUUCGAUCAUAAACAAGAAAUGUAGAGAAACAGACAAUUAAGAAAGAAAAAGUUAGAGGGAAAGUGGCAACACCUCAUUGAGCAGCAUUAGAACCCGCCCAACCAUCGUUGAAGUCUUUCCACUUCCAGGGCCGGCAACAAUCAUCAAAGGUACUGAAAUAUCGCUGCAAGCUGCCUCCCGCUGCCUUUCGUUGAGAGAAAGCAAAUACUUCGAAUACUCAUCCGGCAUGUUAGGCAAUCCAUGGUUAACAGAAUCUGUUUGGUUUUCACUACUCAGAGGUGGCGCUGAUGCGGCAUUAACAUCGCUACCACAACUCCCAAUAUCAUCACGCUGAAUGUCCCCACUCGGUUUCUGCUCAAUUAAAGCGUCAAUUUCCUGCAAAAUACUCUCAUCGAAAUCAUCAUCCUCGAGAAUUCCAGACGCAGAGAAAGAAUCGAAUGAAGUCGGAAACUGCGGUUGUUUGAUUGGAAUUGUGAAAGAAUCCGAUUUUGACACGCUUGAUUCAGUCCGGCUAGCGCUUAAGCUCCCGGAACACGACGCACUGCCAUAUUCAGUCCGGCUUGUAGAAAUCGGAGGCGGUGUGUUCAUCGGUAGCUCGGCAAGAGGAGUUCUGUGAACUCUAUUGAGCUGAGCUGGCGUUUGGAUUCCAUUUCCGCCACAAAUUCUGGAAUUUGAAAAACACAAUUGAAUUGAUUUAAAUUGAAUCAAGAAAACAGCCGAGUACCAAAAAAGUAGUAAGAAGAUGAAAUCUUUGAUUCCUGAACGACUUACUUGGUAUGAGGGAGGUGAUGAUCAGUCAAAACGGCGUCGUUGCGGGGGCGUUUGCGAUCAAUGAGGGCCUUGGCGGCUCUGAAAUUCCCAGAGAUGCGGUUUCUUUUGAUAGGAUCACAGAUCUCAGGACCCUAUUCAACCUACAAGCAGCAAUAGAAAUGACAAAUGGAGAAGACGAAGUAGAAGGGAGCAGGGCUCCAAUAUAUUUUUUUGGUUUUGUAUUUCUGUUUGUAAAAUCUGAUCUGCUACAUUUGAGGGAGCUGGACUCCUUUUAUACAAACUCUACUUCUUAAAAUGCCAGCUGGCAUAUUUAACAAUUCUUAACAAAUCAAUUAAAGCAUAAAACCUCAGUAAUAAUUUGGGUCAUAACAAUACUUCCCCCUUGAAGAACAACCUUGUCCUCAAGGUUGAAAGUUGAAAAACUUAUUUGAACGAGUAGAAACUAGGAGUCUUGCAACAGAAGGGAAGCUGCAGGGACUGCAAAUACAAUCUGCAUGUAGCUCUCAACUUUUGGAGAUGAGCCUGACAGCACCCCUGUACUUGUUAUGGCAGCUCCCCACAACUUGGUAAGUGAGCACUUGUUACCCGUAGCCUCUUCAUAAAUUUCAACCCACGAUAUCAUUUCAACUUCCAUGCUAGUUGCCAAAAAGCAUGCAGCAUCAAAUGGAGAAAAUGGGCCAACUCCCAGGGAACCUGCCAGAGGAUCAUUCUCAACGAAUGCAGCUACUAAAGCAAUUGGACCCUUGCCAAGAAUUAUAACCUUAGAGAUGGUUAUGAGCCUGAUAUCCUCAAAAGCAAGACGAGCGGUCUGAUUGAUAAGAGACUGCCUAAGAUUAACUAUCCUCUUCUUAGGUCCAACACACCAUUCCUUGCUCCGAAUGUAGCCAUCCUUCAUCACACCAAACCGAGGGAAGCCACCCAUGGGAGUGAUGUCUUUCUCAGUCAUCUUCCCCUCAUGGAGGCACAUUUCAUAGUUUUUUUCAGUGAAACUAGGACCACCUAAUGUCGGAUUGUCAAAAAACUCCUGAAAUAAGCUGAUGGAUGGGAGCAGUCUAUAUUGGAUAUUGAAACUUGCAAUUCUUUCUGAAUCAUUGAAAUCACUGUACUUUAAACUGUCAUUAGCAACACCGAUAUUAUGCAUGGAAGAUUUAAAGGACCUGAGCAAACCCAAAGCUUCAACCAUGUCCUUCAUCACCUCUGUUAAGGUGUACAAUUGGCAUUUGAAUUCAUAUGAUGGCUCAAUAGUAUCAAGUUCCAAAAAUUUAAACAACUCAUUUUGCCAACUUACACUCACGGUAAGACAAACAUGCAAAAACCAUGCAAAGACAAAUAUGUUGGACAUCCUUUCUGAAGAACAGGCAAAGAAAUAACACCAACAGCAACCAAAUGAAAUAACACCAGCAGCAACCAAUACAUUGAUGUGUACCAUAUUGUCUAACAAAAUUACUUUAAGCUGAUGACUGACUUUGCAGAUACGUCCAUAAUCGUACAACCAUGCAUAAACACUAGCACCAUCAAAUCUUAGAUUUGGCCUGAAUACUAUUACCUCUUCACUACCAAAAGUGAGCAUCUGAAUACGUCUGCCGGUUUUCUUAUGAUGCAACUCCAGCUCUACCAACAUCCAUCUUUUACCAAUCACAUAAGAGAAAACAUAAUGACUUACACAAUGUUGCUCAGGUACAGUCAUAUAUGGUGUUGUCCGAGAUUUCCAUUGCUCCUUGAAAUGCAUUCCAUAAACCAAGAAAAAUAAGAUUGAAGUAGUAGUUGUUCCAUCCUCCUUGAAAGAGAUGAGAAUGCAGGGCCUCUCCAUCAACCAUAUUGUAUAAUUCCUCUGAUUGAAGACAACCCUUUGAGAAGAUAUAUUGUCACAAGGAUUAGUGAGAGUGUGACACCAACCCGGUUGCUGGAAAAUCUGGUCAUUCGCUACGCAAUUAGGAAAGAAAACAGUAUCGAGGUGUACAUCAACACUAUUACAUAAUUCCGGAUUCAAUUUCGAUAACAAGCUGGUGAGAAUAGAAUAGUCAAGCUGGGAAAUGGCCAUGACUGUUAAUGCACAUCUGUGUAACAGUGAUAAGCAGAGGAACUGCUUGAUAGCAUUGAUAUAACCCAAAGUCCCAUUCUCCUCAGUCAAACUAGCUGCAAGAUCUUUAGGCAAAGAACGACAAACAAGUACAACAAUAUCCAAAGCUUCCAGGUUGCUACUCAAUGACAUAUUCUCCAUAUUAUGCCUCUUAGACAUUUCAUCAAAUAGAUGCAAUGCAUAGAAAUUCUUCUUCACAAAUUUACCCACAAGGUACCAAUUAACCCAGCCAUACUUAGCAUUCAAAAAAACAUGAUAUACAAUCGCAUUAUGACCAGUAUAGCAUGCAAUUACACCAUACAAAAGCAAUACCUCAUGUCCACGUACCAUUCCUAACUCCCAUAGCCCACUAGGUAGCUGAUACCAAACAUGAAGUUUCUUCUUGAUGAAAUAUCCAAUGUUGUCAUCGUAAACCGACUGUGUAAUCUUCUCUCCCAGUCUCAUUCGACAAUCUUCCAGUGGCCUAAUUUUGGAGCCUCCACCCUUAUCCCGAAUGCCAUUGCAGUAGCACAUGUCACGAUUGAGAACAACAUAGCCACUUGAGUCUGGAAUUUCAUCAAACAGGUUCCAUGCACAAAAAUCCUCAGGUCCAUUUUUCGUAGUAUCAGAGAACGAGUGCUUAUGGAGUAGCCGCGGAGCAGAGGUCAUCGUCUUCGAUCCCGGAAGCAAAAUUGUAGCUGCAUCAGAGUUGUUCGAGUGUGGCUUCACGGGCGGAGUUGCCAGUGCUUGCAACAACGGUGAAGAUGAGAGUAACGGCGGAACGGAAUGGACUUCAAUUGGCGAUGGAAUUCUCGGUGGAUUGUCGUCUCCUUGAAGUCCGGGAUGAUCGAGAUUGAUUGAUUGAAUCGUUGGGGUAGGAUCGGAAACUUCCCCGACACCAAGAGUCAAGUGAUGGCGGAACAGAGCAAGGUCACGGCGGACUGCGGCGGCUAUUGAAUCUAUAGCCUUGUGGAAAGCCUCCUCCGUACGCCUGAAUGUUUUCCUUGGACAUUGCUUCGAAGAUUCCGACGGAAGAUUUGGCCUGACAGCCUGACCAGGCAACCCUAGAAAGAAGAAGGAGCGAAGAAGACCAAAUGUGUCCGUUUUUCCUUUGGUUUUUUUCCCUCCUAAUCGAGUUGUUCGAAAUAAUUGGGCCUGGGCCUAGUGGGCCCAAUUGUCAGGCCCAUUAUCUCCUGUCUUCUAGUUCUACUUCCAAUUUCCCAAGUUAACAACGUACUGGUUCGCUUUUAGCGCGAGAGAGAAAUGGAGGCCCUGAUUGCCUCGUACGGAGACUCGUCGUCGGACUCAGACUCCGAGUCGCCGGCUCCACCUCCACCGCCACCUCCGGAGCUCAAAAACUCUCAAGAAUCGACCACUGCGCUGCCUCCACCUCCUCUGUCACUUCUCGACAGCCCAAUUCCUUCGGUAACCUCUGAUUCCCAUAAAUAUUCUAUCUUUUAACUUUCUGUUGUGAUGGCUUUUUCCGAGUUGCCCACCAAGUGUUUGAUGUUUUGCCUCUAAAGGAUUUCUGGACUUCUCCCCAAGCGCCCAGCCGAGCAGAGUUCGGAACUUUCCUCACGUCGAAGGGAACUACGCAGUACAUGUAUACAUCCCAGGUAAUCAAAAUUCUCGAAAUUUUCAGCUCCAUUAGCAAAUGCGAUCCCUUUGCACUUAGAUUUUGCUUGUUUAAUUGUGUGGUUCCAGUUUAUAUACCACCAGCACCAAGGAAAGAGAUGGCCUUGUUUUUGAACAAGCUUGCUUCUCUGGUGCCUGGUCUCCACGCCGUUGACGUUGACGUCCCGCUUGACAUUCUGCGUAAGGACGAGCAUAAGCUUGAACAAGUUGCUUUAGGCAGAGAGUUCCAUAUAAGUCUCGGAAGAACUGUUCCGAUUCGGGUGCACCAGAUUAAUUCCUUGGUGACAAUGCUGCGGCAGAAGCUUCAGAUUCAGAGGCGGUAUGGUUGCAUUUACCUUCUCUUGUGUGCAUUGCGUGAAUUUAGUUCUGUUAUUUAACAUAAUUGUUUAAGCCUGCAGAUAUUUUGUCCAUUUUUGGUUUUUAACACAUUUGGUUAUUGUGGAACAGGUAUUGGAUUGAUUUUUGCAAGUAGGAGGUUUUUGUUAACGAUGAUCAGACCCGGACCUUUGUGUCGAUCGAAGUCAUUGCUGCUGGGUUAGCUGAGGUAUGAUUGCUAGCUUUCUCUCUUGGUGCAAUUCAAAAUGUUUUGAGUUGUUUAUGGACUUAAGAUUUAGCAAGUACUUGCCGAAGGUCAUGGGAUUUUGAAAUAUCGAUAUCUUGCUUAUAGAUUGUUUGGUCUUCGAUGCACUUGUUACCUGAAAAGUAAAAAUGUAAAAGAUCAUGAAAAGUCCAAACGAAACAUAAUGGAUGUAUGAUAUGCUCAUGCUUCUAACAUGUGUUGUCCUGGCAUAAAUUAUGUUCCAAAUACCGUCAUUUGCGUGUAAGCCUAUGAACUUAGAGCACGUUUGGUAUGCCGGGUAAGAUUGGAUUUGGUAUUUCAGACUGCUUAGGUUAGGAUUGGAUUGGGUAGGUUAGGUUUUUUGUCUAAUGUUUGGUGUAGACUGUCGCAACAACGCUCGUGAGCCUCCACAUCCAUUGCAAUCUUGCACCACUCUGAUGUCCUGGAGGAGCGAAACAUGGUUACUUGAAGCAUACCUGUUUUCGUAUUAAUACAUGGUUGAAUCAGCUUUCAUUGUCAAUCAGUCUGUAAUAUUUCAACUUCCAUUGAUUUCAGAUAACAAAGCAGAUUCAAGCUGUCAAUGAGGUGUAUAUGCUUCACAAUCUUCCUGAAUUUUACAAGGUUAGCAUUUCGUGUUUUUCAAACUUGAAUCACUUCCUGAACAUAUGACAAUAUAUUGGAGCAAAUGGUUGUGCAUGAAUACUACUCAUUGCUCAGAGGGUGUUGCUGAUCACAGGAUCCGCGUCCUCAUAUUUCGGUAGCUUAGGCAUUGGGUGACAUCAGCAAUUCCCUGAAGAAAGUGGUUGAAGAAGAAAGACGAAGAUCUACCAUCGGAGGAUCGUUACAGAAAUGUAUUUUUACCAGUAAAUUCAAUGGUAUCGAAUGUAGGAUUGGUAAUAAAACACACAAAAUAUGUAAAUUUUCUGAAGAAUAAUGUAGCCAUUUAACUAUAUUGUGAAAUUCCGAGAAUAUAUCGCUGAGCAUUGGAUGAGAAGACAUUUCUUCGUUGGUGUCGAACUUCAUGUUGAAGGUAUUGACACCAGUGUAAACGCCAUCAUCCAUGUUGAUGGUAAUUACUUCCCAGCUACUAAGGGUGUCGGAACAACCUUGCACGCAGCCUCCUGUGCAUUACUUAGUAUUGUCUCAGUUUCUCCAAACUUGAAUGCUCCUGUAAACCCACUUUUGACCUUUCCGUCAUCUGUGAUUACCGGAAUGCUGGCUAGGAUGUUGCCGUUGACCUCCCAAACUUAAAAUACCGGAAAGCCGGCUCCAAUGUAUGCGAGAGCUCCACCUCUAUUGUUGUAACAGCAUCUGAUGCGUACUAGUCCUUUAUUCCCGUUACUCUUUGCCAUCUCCACUUGGAACUUGGCGUAAUGGCUCCCGGCCUCCUCUCCGGUGAAAUUGAGCAACCCCGGAGCUGGCGUGCCAUCAAGAUUUCCGUCAUGUCUGUAGCGAAAGUAUUCGCUGUUGUGGUUUGGUUUCACCACUAUAAAUCUUGGCAGAGUUGGCAUUUUCAUUUCUGUUGUCUGUAUAUCUUGAUAUUACAAGUAUUUGUUGUGCAAUAUGCAUGCUAUGUUCAUGUUAUGCGUAUAUACAUAUAUAAGUGUUUUAACACUUUGCAAACGUUUUCUCCAAAAUUUUGAUUUUGGUGGUGUUCUAACUUUUGUGAAUGCUAAUAACAAUUCCCUCAUUAACUGUUAGGACGAGCAACAAAACAGUUUUGAUUCUGUGCACAAAGGCGAUCCCUCGUAAGAAAUUGAUUCUUCAACAGAAAGAUGUUUUAAAACAAAUUUGAAGGGAAGGAAAUAUUUGAAUCGCAUUCAGAUGUCUGGUCAAAUUCUUGAACAGUUGAUAUACACAGAAGUUCCUUGUUUAUGUCACUACUUAUGAGAGGAUGUACGCAUUGCAUUCGCAUCAAAAGAGAGAGAGAGAGAGAGAGAGAGAGAGAGAGAGAGAGAGAGAGAGAGAGAGAGAGAGAGAGAGAGAGAAGGUUGUCAGUGGUAAGGGAACGAAUAACGAUGGCGUUGCGCUUCUAAUCAAAGGGGUCGAUCCGAGGGUCGUGUUCACUUGCCAUCGCCAUUCCAGUGCAAAGGCAUGUAGGGCACAUUACCUGCCACAUUAAAAACGCGAUGUUAGAUAUACUCGCCAUUUGGAAGUCAACCCUCAAAAUUUGCUACUAAAUUAUCUUAAACUCCAUUUCCAGUCAAUUUUUUUUCUUCCGAAAUGUCUUUCACGUGCUUAGGGAUAGGCAAAUACCCAUUGGUUAUAGGUAAUCGCGGUUACUCGCCCAUUUAAAUUAAACAGUUACGGUUAUGGCUAACUGUUUAGAUAAAUAAACGGUUAUGGGUAUAACCGUUUACCCGUAAAAUUUAAAUGGAUGGUUAUGAGUAUUAACCAUGGUUAUAAACGAGUAACCGUUUACCCAUUUAUUUUAUAUAUGUAAAGCUAACACAAAUCAUGUUCUCCAUCCAAUAAUACUUAGCACCCAAUAAAUUAGCAAGGAAUUCAUCGAUCAUUCUCUCAAUAACACUACUACAUGAAUGAUGAUUCCCAUCAUCAAGGAAUUUGCCAAAUUAAUUUAAAUUCCUUGUGGGUAACCGUGAAAUUGACAGAAAUACUUUAACAAAAAUGUCUUCUAAACAAUUUUUGUAACCCAAUAAUACUUAGCAAAUAUUAUAUUUACCUUCAUUGGUAACAGUUAAAAAUAUCGUCCGUAAACUAUUAUUUCAAUUAUUGGAAUGGUAUAAAGACUUAAAAAAUUAAAAUAUAAAAAUGUAUGACGAAUGUACCUAUAACGGUGUUUAAUUGUCAAAAAAAAAAUUAUGACAAUUUUUUUUAAUUUUCAAGUUGUUAAAAAACAUGUAGACUGGUGAAAAAAAGGUAAUGGUAAAAAGAAAAGAUAAACGGAUUAAAAAUGAUAAAUGGUAUACGGGUAUUAAAUUGUUACGGUUAAAUGGCUAUGCGGUUAUGGGUAUGGUUAACCGUUUAUAAAUGGUUAUGAGUAUGAGUAUAACCAUUUAGGCAAUUACCCAACGGGUAAACGGUUAUGUAGGUAUGAGCAUAAACGGUUAUGGGUAAAUUAACCGCGGUUACCCGCCCGCAUAACCAUCCCUACACGUGCUCGACAAACACAACAGUCACCAAUCAUGUGAAUCAGCUAUUCCUCAAUGUAUAUGAUGAAACAAGUGCAUCCCAGAGGCAGGCACGAAGAGGAAUUUACUAUGCAAUAAACAUUCAAUGGGUACAAUUUUAUGUCUAACCUUUCCCGCUCCUGAGCAAUUUGAACAUCUUUCAGUUUUUGGCAGUGAAAGGGGCUGGUUUCCGCCAUCAACUGUUGAAAUUGGUUCGGUAAGAACAAGGGUUCCAGUGCUGGAGCAACGAGCACAAGCAAGAUAUCCUGCAUAAGUAUCAAAUACACCGGUUAGUUGACAUAUGAAGGAUUGGUUUGGUAUUGCUGUGCUUUGAAAAAAAAACUGCUGUGAGAAUAAGCGGCUGUGCUGUGAAAAUAAGCGGCUGUGAAAUAAAUCAGCAGAGUGUUUGGUAAACUUUUUUGUAAAAGUGUUUUUGGAAAAAAAAAAGUCUAAUAGUGGGUCUUUUCAUUAAAGAAACACUGUAGCUCCAUGUGCUUUGAAAAAAACCAGUUUUCCAAAGCUACAAAUAGCAGCUUCAGCUUUUUCCUUUGAUUUCAGCUUAUUCUCACAGCAGCUUCCAAAAUAAGCCUUUUUUUUUUCAGUUUACCAAACACCUAAAACCCUCACAGCUUUUUUUCAUGGGUGCUUUUUUUUUAAGCACCUCACUCCCAAACUUGGUUUGGUAUUGCUGUGCUUUGAAAAAAAGCUGCUGUGAGAAUAAGCGGCUGUGAAAUAAAUCAGCUAAGUGUUUGGUAAAUUUUUUUGUAAAAGUGUUUUUGGAAAAAAACAGUCUGAUAGUGGGUCUUUUCAUUAAAGAAGCACUGUAACUCCGUGUGCUUUGAAAAAAAACCAAUUUUCCAAAGCUACAAAUAGCAGCAUCAGCUUUUUCCUUUGAUUUCAGCUUAUUCUCACAGCAGCUUCUAAAAUAAGCCUUUUUUUUUUCAGUUUACCAAACACCUAAAACUCUCAUAGUUUUUUUUCAUGAGUGCUUUUUUUUUAAGCACCUCACUCCCAAACUAGGUCAACCAAUCCAAACAUCUCCAUCGUAUAUAUUUAAAGCUACGGUACAUAUGACUAAAAGUGAGAAACAUAGGACAUUAUCACACCAGUUCCAAGACAAUAUUUGCAUCGCUUAUGCUCCUGCUGUUUCACAUUGCUUAUUUCAACUACCAUCAAUGCUGAGAUCACUCCGACUGCUCCUCCAGAGAACGAUGCCACUAUGGGAUCAACUUGACUGCAGAUUGAAAGUAUAUGAGAUCAAUAAACGAAACUGAUAACAAUGUAGUAUUAACAUUAUUUAGCUCCAUGUCAAGAUAGACAACACAUCCUAGAUUUUUCUAAUGUGUAAAAUUUGAGGACCCUCGUAAAAUUUGACCACAUCGGUUCCCAAAGUAAAAUUUAGUACCUUUGGUUCCUACAUUACAGACCGAAAAUAGUAACUACCGAAUUUAAAGUUCAUAUCAAGAUAGAGGAUACAAAAUUUCGAAACGAUAAUUGCUAGAGAACAGGAGGGUUAAUAGCCCGAGAUAUGAGCCAUACCUCAACUGCAACGGCAGAUGCAUAUUUACUAUAAAAUCUUUAUACGAUGUGCCUCCUAUUCCCAGCUUCAACUCCAACUGAAAGAUGUAAACGUAAUUGUCGGCAGAGAGUUAGAAACAUAACCGAAUCCAUGUUUUAUAAGCAGAAAGUACACUUAUUUGACAUGCUUCCUCAUUUUUUUACUUGCAAAUUCAAAACCGUAUUGUCAGACCAGUAAAAUAAAAUAAUGUUUACUAAUAACUGUUAAAACUAAUCACAACAAGUUAAUGCAUAAAGAACUUACGGAGGGUGCUAUGAGGCCACCGAAAAGGAUAAACCCCGCAAUAAUUGAAUAACAUACAGCAUAAUACUGCUUAAGGUUGUCUGAACUCUGCAAGCAAUGCAUUCACCUUGUGAUUAAUACUUUUGCACAAACACUAGUUUUCGCAAUUUUUUAUGAACCGACAAAAGGCUACAACAAAAUAUGGCUAAAACAUGUCGGGGAUAUGAAAAUACAUGUCUUCACAGGGGCAGCAGCUUACCAGGGGAGGCAAAAAUGGAAUGAAUGAUGGAAAACUUGAUCUUCAUUUACCGCUCCAAGCUCUGCGCGUUUAAUCCGUUUAAUCCGCUGUUGUAUCCUCAGCCUGCGAACCUACGCAUAUCGAAGCUCAUUCUUAAAGAACACAUUUCUAAGGGCAAUUGGAGAGUAAUUUGAAACAUGCUAAACUGAGAAAGUGGCAGCAACUAGCAAUUGCUCUCACCUCCUCCGUAUGCAAGAAAAUUUUGUUGCGCCGACUCCGAAUAUUAUCUUGAAUUUCCUGCAGCUCCAUUGUCGCAAAGUCCUGCACUGUUUCAGGCCCCUCUAUGAUACAAAAUCUGCACAAUUAAGCAUGUAACAACUAAAACUUACAGGCUACAAAGCAAUUUCCGUAUCAUUUUUGGGUUAAUUAACAUCAACAGCAGAUAAAUCACAUGAGUUUUUCACAUGAAGUUACAAACCUUCAGAGACCAGUAAGCUCUCUGCAAUCUCAUAAAUUUCACUGUGCAAAGUAACAAUCCAAAGCUUGGAACUUUAAAUUUCCAUUUUCUGUUAUUUUCCUAGAGAGAGAGGGGGGAGUACCCGGCGGGGUUUGUAUCGGCGGCGGGUUUAGGAUCAGAAUCGACAGACGGAGCGAACGAGGAGGAGUCGGGCUCCGAAGCCAUGGCCAGGGAUCGCCAUCUGGAGCUGCUUGUUGAUAUGGGGCUUCUUGCGUAGCUGAAUUUGGAGCAGCGGAAGCUAUGCAGUUUGUACGGACCGCACCGAUUUACGGGGAAAGAAACGGCCAAAAGUCUGCCGGAGCAGAGCAUCUCUCUCUCUCUCUCUCUCAAACCAGAAGGCAGAGCUUUCUGUUUCUCUUGAGGUUUCUUUCACUGGUAAAUUCCAGACAAGCAGAGAAGGCGGCUCUCUGAGAAAUGGCGAUGGUGCAAGUGGAGACAAAACAAAUGUAAAUCUUGAAGCACCGAACAUGUGCAGAACACUUGUCAACUACCGAACUCUAGGAUUAGGAGAGAGAGAGAGAGAGCGAGUGACCGGCCAAAAAAAAAUGGAGGGAAGUGGCUGAUUCUUCUUUUUAGUGGACCUGGUGUCCUUCGAUUCGAGUACUAUGUCAUAUUUAAAAUUUAGGGUUAAUUUUGUUUAAGUUUCUUAGUUUUCAACAUUUAGUACAUAAAGUUUUUUUCAUCUCAGAGUGGUACAUAAAGUCAUAAUUUUGAGACAGUCUAAUACAUCCGUUAAGGUUGCUGUUAAAUCAACCGUUAAAUAGUGACGUGGCGUCUAGGUGGAUAUUGACUGGACGACACGUAUCAUUAUGGGUCCAUGUGGAUAUUAAAAAAUUAAAAAAAAAAAAUUAAUGGGCCGUUCAACCCCUCCUCCCUCGACCCCCUCCCUUCUCUCCUCUGCACCCACCCUCCCCACGUCUGCAACCCAUCCCCACGUCGUCAUCUUCUUCUUUGCCCAGAUCCCGCAAGAAUCUUCUUCGUCGCCGACAACUCAGCCACCAUCUCCAUCUCCGCCUUCCCCUCCUCCGAACCCGACUCCUACCCACUUCCAGUUCCAAUUCACCCUCUCCCAAUUUGCCCACUUCUUGUCCGAUUUUCGCGCCACUAUUGAACCCGAGCCCGACCCACAAAGAUGCUUAGAUUCUGAAAAAGAGAUGACACAAAUGCAAGAAAUGGAAAGCAGUGUGGUUUAGAGGUUAGAAACUGAGCAAUUUUUGGAUUGCUUUUUGGUUUGAUCAAUUUAAAGAAAUGAAAUUCUGAGUCGAAUUUCUUGUUCGUUAUAUUCGAUCUCCGCUUGAGAAUUUUAAACUUAAUAAUUGCAAAUCAAGAUACAAAAUUGACAUGAAUUUCGAAUUGGGGUUUUGGGAAAUUUGAGAAGUUCUUGGCGAUUCAUAAGAAACUUCAACUCCCAAUCGUUUCUUCUCGCUCACAACCCGAGAUUAAUAAUUUUAAAGUUUGAGCUUGAAUGUUCUUUGUAAUUAAAGAACAGAUGUGCAUCCCUCUGAAUGGCAAGAGGGUGAAUAGGAAGCGAAAAUCGGUGUGUGGCAAAUCGGAGAGGGUUAGGGAAAAAGUUUAGAGUCGGGUUCGGAUGAGGGGAGGGCGGGGUUAUAUUUUUUGUCGAGGCGAAGAAGAUUCUGCGGGAUCUGGGCGAAGGAAGAUUGACAUGGAGGGUGGGUGCACAGGAGAUAAGGGAGGGGGUCAAGGGAGGAGGGUGAACGGCCCAAUUUUUUUUUUUUUUUGGGUCAUUUGGACCAUCUCACUCAUCACCUAAGACGCCACGAUCUAAUAUUAAUUCCGGUUGACUUUGUAAAUUGGAUGUAUUAAUUAACAAACAUAGAUUAGGACAUUGAUGAUUUAAAAUUUGGGGUUUUGUUCUUCAGAAAUUUGGUCGAAAUAAGAAAUUCCCUAAAAGUUCAAUUCAGAAGAGUUACUUGCCUUACAAACAUUUUUUAAAUACUUACUAAGAAAAAGAUUUUUGUGGGUGGGUACAGUAUGGGGUUUAACUCAUUGUGUUUUAGUUUAAAUCUUUUUCUCUCUUCUUUAAUAAUAUUUAGUAUAUUAUCAAUUCGUAAUAAAAAAAUUUUGAUUAAAAACUCUCAUCUAUAUUCUAGCCAAUGGAAAAAAAUGAAUAGUGAUUUUGAUGUUGCUUUAACAAAAUAUUUUUUAAAAACAAUGGACGGCUUUCAACAAAAAAUUUGAGUAAGAGGGGUUUUGCCUUAAGUAAUUUUUGAAAUUGAAUUCAUGGUGGUUUUUUGAUUUUAUUAAAUUAGUCCCUCCCAGCAAAAAUGUGAUCAAUUUCUCUAUAAAAGAAAUAUAAGAUAUAAAUGAGAUAAUAAAGGGGUCAUUAAUAAAGAGUUGAUGAUUGUUUUUUUUUUUUUACAAUUCACACUAAGGGGGAAUAAUUGAUUUCUUUGUUGGUGUUCAAAAGCUUUUAAAUUUAUCUCUUUAAAAUAGUUUUAAUAAUCUUUUAAUGUGUUUAGUUGCCAAAAUUUUAUUUUUUUAGCAAUGAUAUUAUCUCAAUUUGAUUGGGCUUAAAUUUCUCUUAUUUUUCAUUAAUUUUCAUAUUCAAAACAUCUUAAAUGUCGUAAAUGCCGAUCAAAUAACUCUUUUCUUUUUAAUUAAUUAAUCUAAAAUUAAGUAAAAAUGAAAUUAUUACAGAGAUUUUCGAAAACCAAAUUUACAUUAUUGAUUUUUUUAACCUUUUUACAAACAAUAUAUCUAGUCUUUUUGUUUUACAAAGUAAUAUUGAAUUUUUUCACAAGAAGGCUAACAUAUCACAUUCAUUGAUUCAUGAUCAAUAUUUAAAAGUCAAAAAAAUAUUAGUAACCAUUCUCUAUUUUAACACAAUGUUCCAAGAAACAAUCUAGGGAUUAUCGGAUUUAAUGACCAAGAGGUUGGAAUUUUCCCCGUAAAUAAAUGAAUUGUUAACAACAAACAUAAAAAACAAAGCAAUAAAGAAUUCAGAUAGUGAAUACCUACUAAACCAUGUGAACACAAGCAAAAUACUUCAGAAUCACAUGUUGUCGAAAAAAUACGACUAUUUCUAAUCAGAAUUACAAUAUACCACGUUUUGCCCAUCACAUAAAAUCCAAAAACUAGUUAGGGAGCUCAAAAAGGGAGCGGGUUUGGAAACCACUGAUACACGAAGUAAAGAGGUGGUACUGUUUUGGUAAAACACAAAAGGUGCGAAACAAAGUAAACAAAACGGAAGGAAGAUGUUAUAGUCAUUCUCAGCAACAAAAUUCGAGCUUGUUGUCGAAAUCACAACAGGAGACAAUUUCGAUUAACAGCCUUUCCUGCCAAACUCAAUUUCCAAAAUCCUACAUCACAUCAUAAAUCCAUUGUUUCAUUCCCACGCACAAUCCCUACCCACUGCACAGGAGAACAAUUGUUUCUGCAAAGAAAAAACAGUUAACAAAAAACGGCAUGCAUAUCGCAAAAUCGGGAUAGGAAGCAGAAGCUUUCCUUGUUUUCCUUAAACACCAAGCUCUACAUUCCAAAAAGAACAUGAAAAAAUAAAAUUAAAUAAAGAGCCUUUCCUGCUUAUUUUGAAUUAAGGCGGGGAGGUCGAGACACGGCUGGUGUAUUUUUGUUUUUUUAAUUGUCAAACUGCCCAGGACACGCUGGGCAUUUUUUUUUUUGUUUAAACCUGGGCCCAAAACGACGCGUUUGCCAUUUAAAAAAAAAUUCCUUGGGUCAUUUACCAAUUCCUUUUUUCAAAAAAAAAUAACUGGCCCAGCGCCUUCGUCUUCUACAAAGGCACAAAAGCCCAAAAACCCCGACGAACCUUCCGUUUCACAGUUGGUGUGAGCGAACGGUGGUCGCACCAGGGGUCGCACCACCAGUCCAAGGGUCUUAAAGUUGCUUCAUGCUCUCCAAGGUCCGCGACGUGGUUGCGCACCCCAAUUGAACCGCACAGGAUCCGAAUGGCUUCUUCCCAUACAUGCCAUCGAAAUUCAGCAAAAGCAAUAACCAGCGAUUUCUUCUGGAGAAUUUAAGCCACCCCAUUGGACCAACAAUUCAAUCAAAAGAAACCAGUAACCAAGUUCAAUUGAGUUUAGAAGCAUUUACAAUGUUCCCACGGAUGUUCAUCACUUUACCCAAUAGUUCGUUUCAAGAAGGAAAUUCCAGCAGAACUGAAACUUCAAAACUUCAGAAGGCACCAAAUUUUUGAAGUAAAUUCAUUUCAAGUUGAAAUAAUCAACUUAGGUGAGGACCCAUAAAAUUAGGAGGAACAUGAAAGAAAGCUUUAUCUUUUUCCUCUAAACUCAGGCGUUACUAAACAAACGGACAUUCACAUCCCCACCAGAUGCAUUUCCUUUCACAUCUUCCCAAGUAAAUCAGUACCUUCUUUCGUCUGAAUCUUAAGUCUGAAUUCUGGAAGUGAAAAUACUGGAAAAAAGUGGGCCUUUAUAAAAGAAUACCUCACGUUUUAGUCAAUGUAUCAGCGCACUAAGAGGACCAGAGGCAGGAGUGAACGACAGCAAACAAUUCAUGUAAUAUUCAGUCGAGUUUUGGGUGAUUUCUGCAGCGAUUUCGGAGGCCAAGAGCCUGAUAAGAAAGCUGGGACGGAAGGGCAGUGGUCUGGAAGAAAAGGCUCGGGUCACACUGUCGCGAUUCGCGAAGGAGAAGUGGCCCAAUACAAUUUCGGCCUGUUUGCACUGGACUGUUUUGCACAGGGCCAAGGCCGACCCUGAACCAGAUAAAGCUUCUCCAAACAGUAUAUAUCAGGUGCUAGAAAUUCUAUAGAACCAUUCAAUCUUAGAGCAACAGCUUAGCAUUAGUUGGUACAAAAAGAUUUCCGAUUAUCGCUUUUAUUUAUUCCUCCUCUGAUGUGUCCUUUUAGACUGCAACAGACGAUUUAAAGAAAUGAAAGUUAGCAGAAUAAAUGGCGCACAAAGGGAUUUAAAAUCCUGACAUGUGUAUUUUUGGCAGAUUUAUGUGAGCAUGCAACUAAAACUGGCAUCACUAUCAAUGGUGCACGAAGAUUGGCGGAAAAACGUAAAGGGAAGCAAUCACAACACAAAAUGUACGACGUAAUCUGUCCACAUGUUGGAAGGAGCUAUGAAAGUAUGGCUUUUCACUAAUCAGGCGUCCAGAGAAUCAAUAUUUUACUCACGGAUCAGUUACGGAGAACAAUCCCCACCAAAGCAAUCUCAAUAGUCCUCCACAUCUCAAACCAAACAGAAAUCGCACUAACAAACACGACUUCUAUACUAUUAGUCCUUCCCAUCUCAAAUCUAGUAAGUAACCCAUCUUUCGUCUGAAUCUGGAAAACAAGCAGCAGUGGAUUUAAAAAUCUGGGUAUCUCAAAGUUACUCACUUUAAUCACAAAUUUAACAAUUAAACAUAUAAAUGGGCAUUUUUAGUGAAAUAUUAGUGUAGUACUCACUGUGUGCUAGGAGCAAGAGUACCCAGAAAGCUCAAUGAGCUGCGCACAGAGGACUGCAGCGGUGAACGAUAGCGACCAAUUCUGUAAAAUUCAGUCGAGUUUUGGGCAAUUUCUGCAGCAAUUUCGGAGGUCAAGAGGCUGAUAAGGAAAGCUGCGACCAAAGGGCACUGGUCUGGAAGAAAGGCUCUGGUCACCGCUGUCGCGAUUCGCAAAGGAAGAAGUGCCCCAAAACAAUUUUGGCCCUGGGCAGGUGCACUGUUUGCACUGGGACAGGGCCGGCCCUGAAUCGCGAUAACGUCCUUCUCCAAACAGUAUAUAUACAGAUGCUAGAAAUAUCUACCAGAACCAUUCAAUUCUAGCGUCUACAGCUUUAGCAUCAGCUGGUACAAGGGACAUUCUUCCAUAGAGGGAGAUGAAAUCGUUGAGGCUCUUAUUUAUUCCUCCUCUUGAUGUGCCCUUUUAGACUGCUAAUUCCAGACGAUACAAUCUCAUGCAUCUUCCCUGAAAAAGGGUUGCCACACAUCGAGAUCAAAUUUUUCCAAUAAAAUUAACUUAAAAAUCAAACUCGUUAGCAGAAUAAAUGGUGCACAAAGGGAUUUAAAAUCUAGACAUAUGUGUAUUUUUGGCAGAUUUUAAGUGAGCAUGCAACUAAAACUGGCAUCACUAUAAAUGGUGGACAAAGAUUGGCGGAAAAACAUAAAGGGAAGCAAUCACAAAGCAAAAUGUACUAAGUAAUCUGUCCACAUAUUGGGAAAAAUUUUUAACAGUUUGAUUUGUAACUUCUCCAUUGUAUUAGUUAAAGACAAGACGGUGUCAACCAUGCAAUUUGCUGAUGAUUUUACUGAUGAAUGCAGAGUUAGCUGAUGAUACGACAAGCAAUUGAAAAUCCCAUCAUUAUACCCCACAUAUACCAAAAAAGCAAGUCAUUUGCACAAAUUCAGAAGGUUCAUCCACUGCAAUUUGCAGAUAUAGAAAUGUUAAGAUAAAUGGAAAUACAAAGUACCUUUCACCCAAAUUGGAGGAACACCGGUGGCAUUAGCAAGUUAGCAUCGGGAAUUGACAUUACCAGUAUCUUCACAGUUUCUGCGGUGGAGUUAUGUACCUCUCCUUGGAAAAUGCCACCAAAGCCGCCGCAACGCGGUGUAGUGUCCGAUUGAUUGCUUCAAAACAAAGCUUCGUAUCCAUGUGUUUAAUCAGCACAGAGUACCCAAAACCCCUGAAAAUUAUUUCUUUAUUCAGACAAUAAAAUUUCCCAAAUUUCGAAUUUUAAUUCCAAAUCAAAAAUAGGGUUUGAAUUUUGAUUACCUAGAAAUUGGGGGGUUGGGGUGGAGAGGGACCCGGGCCAGGACGGAGCUAUGUGUAUAUGCUAAGGCGUGCCAAAUUACAUAGAGUGUCAGGAAUGUGUACAAGUCUUUUGCAAUUUAUCAGACUUAAAACCUGAAGCCCCGUAAGGCGUUCAAUCCAGGGGGAAAGCUCUUUGAUAGAUGUUCCACCCAAGAAAAGCAUUCUUAAUCCUUCCAUAUUUUCUUCAAUGCUUGGAAACACCUCAAAUUUUGUACAAUUGUAAAGAGAGAGACGGUAAAAGGAUUUGAGUUGACAAAUGCUGCUUGGAAGACUCUCAAGUUCCUUGCAAUUCAUCAUAAGCAAACACCUCAAUCCCGUGAGAUUAUUAAUUGACAGGGGUAGUUCUUUAAUUUUUGACCCAGAUAAAUCAAGCUCUUCUAACCCCUCAAUAACUUCUGAAAUCUCUGGAAACAUCACAAGACUCGAGCAACCAGAAAGAUCAAGGGUUUUGAGAGAUUUCAUACGAAUGCUGCUUGGAAGACUCUCAAGUUCCUUGCAAUUGUUUAGGUCCAAAUAACUCAACCUCGUGAGAUUAUUAAUUGACAGGGGUAGUUCUUUAAUUUUUGACCUGGAUAAAUCAAGCGCUUCUAACCCCUCAAUCACUUCUGAAAUCUCUGGAAACAUCUCAAGACUGGAGCAGCCAGAAAGAUCAAAGGUUUUGAGAGAUCUCAUACAAACUUUGCUGGGUAGAAUCUUAAGUUCCAUGCAUUUUGAUAGGUUCAAAUGACUCAACCCCGUGAGAUUAUUAAUUGACAGGGGCAGUUCUUUAAUUCUUGACCCGGAUAAAUCAAGCUUUUCUAACCCCUCAAUCACUUCUGAAAUCUCCGGAAACAUCUCAAGACUCCGGCAGCCAAAAAGACCAAAGGUUUUGAGAGAUCUCAUACAAACUUUGCUGGGUAGAAUCUUAAGUUGCCCGCACAAACUCAGAUCCAAUAAAACAAUUUUUGUAAGAGCCAAAAUCGACCCGUGAACCUCAACUAAGCGUGUACAACCUUGAACAAUUAGCCUCUCAAGAUUUGGCACAUUUGUGAAGUCAGGGGUUAUCUCAAGGUUAUGACAAUGACUUAAAUUGAUGAAUUUCAACUUUUCCUGCGUCUGUUAAAACAUUCAGGAAAACAUGCAUUACUUAAUAAGACAUCUCACUCAAAGCCCAAACAUUUAAAAGAAACAAAUACAUGUAAAUGAUUGUACAUACCUGGGUUCCUUCCCAAAGUCGGUCAAUGAGGCUAUAUUGCAUGUCAAGUCCAACAAGAUUUUCGAAUUGAAAGUUGGAUGGCAAAGACUUGAGAGGGUAUCCAGACCAGGAAAGACACCUCAACUCACUAGAAACAAACUUUAAGGGCCCAGUCAGGUGUUGUAUGCCGUGAGCACUGAUCUUGAGAAGUCUUAGUUUAGUCAUCCUAUCAAAAGCUUCAACCAUUAAGCAUCCCUCAUCUGAGUUCCACGAAUCGAGGAUUAUGCUUUCGACUGUUUCUGUACCCUGUGCAAAUCAAAGGGAAGGAAAAAGCAGAGAACCUUAGUUUAGAUUAUGAAGUUAAUGCUUGUUUCUUAAGGAGUUGUUUGAUAAUAAUUUUGUUUUCACUUUUCACUUUUGUUUUGAUUAUUUAUUUAGAAAUCUGAAAAUUGAAAACAUAUAACUUGUUUGUAAUUGUUUUCAAUUUUCAAUUUUCAAUUAUUAAAAAAAUGAAAAUUAAAAAUUAAAAAUGGAAACAAAAGUGGUUAUCAAACGAGCUUAAGAAAUUGAUUUUGGUCAAAAGUUGAAGCUUUCUACUAAACAUUGCAUAAGAAAAGAAAUUAUCACCGUAUUUUUAGUUAUCACAUGAAAAACAUCUUCAUAACUCCACAACCUACUUCGUCUCCCAGGCUCUUUGAUAGAUUCUUGGUAGACGAUUUUCUGACCCAUUUCCUCUAGUAAAUCAUGCAUCUCCAGUUCCCCCUUCGUUGAGACAGUUACUAGAGCUCGAUCGAUUAGAACUUUUAUUCCAAUAUCAGGAUAGAAACCACAGCUGUGCAGAACUUCGGUUGCACAGUCUUCUCUCAUUCCUUUAAAGUAACAUGCAAUAUCUAGAAAGAUAUCCUUCUCCAUGUCAUCUAGUCCAUCGAAGCUUGUUUUAAGCACAUCAUGAAUUCCCUUUUGCGGGAUUUUCUUUAUUUUUUCUAACUCAUUUUCCCACUGGCGUACAUUUUUGUUAUAAAGAAAAGCUCCCAAGACUUUGAGUGCUAAAGGCAGACCUCGAGCAUAUUUUACGGCACGACGGGAGAGAUCAUCAUAAUCUCUGGUGGGUUGGUUUUUUCUGAAGGCGUACCGCCUAAAGAGUUCCAGAGCUCCAGAAUCACUCAAAAUCUGGGGAUUAUAUAUCUCACCAGCUAUGCUUAGUAAUUGCGAAUCUCUGGUUGUUAUAAUAAUUCUGCUUCCACCACCAAAGGAAUGUGGCUCUCCAAGUAAAGCUUCAAUAUGUUCUAAUUCUUCCACAUCAUCAACAACAAUAAGAACUUUUCUCCGACCUAGACUAUUUAACAUCACCUGGAAACCUUUAUUCGAAACGUCGGAACUCCCCACCCUGUUGUUCGAGAUACUCGAUAGAAGUUCUGCCUGCAUAUGUAGUUUGCCAUGCUUCAUGAAACCUUCCUUGAAAUUUUCAAGAAAGCAACAAGCUUUAAAUCCACCAGAGAUUUCAUUAUAAACAGCUCUCUAGCGAUGGAUGUGUUUUUUGCCUAAACCCACACCCAUACCCCCAUAUUCCAACAAUGCGAACAUCAUAUUAGUUUCAACUCCAGGAGGAUGCAGUAAUGAAUGCAUGUUAUGCAUAUGAGAGUCCAUUUCAACCAAGCCAUUAUAUUUGCUUGAUGAUGAUGAGAUGUAUCGCCGACCCCACUUAGUGGGAAAAGGCUUUGUUGUUGUUGUUGUUGUUGAUGAUGAUGAGAUGUGGAUCAAUUUCUUAAAAACAUCUUCUACAAUUUUCUCAAUAAGCUCUGCAUCAUCCCUGUCAAAUUUAAAACACAAUAUAAUUACAACACCAAAUGAUACUUAAUGGGUCGUUUUGAUUACAAUUUCGUUUGCAAUUUUUUUUAAAUCUAGAUUUUAAGUUUGCAGAUUUUGUUUUCAGUUUUUAGUUUCAAUGAAAGUAGUUAUUAAACAAGUUUUCCAAUUUUUCUUUCAUGGUAUACAGUACGUAGUCCCAAAUAUCAGUAGUUAGAUCUUGCAUUUAGAUCUAAUGGGUAUUUACAACCUUUUUUCCUGAGAAUUUUGUACCAUUGUAGCCAGAUCACAUGUUUUCAUCCGUUAGUUUUAUAAAAAUGGAAACUACAAAAAAAAAAAAAAAAAAAUAUAUAUAUAUAUAUAUAUAUAUCAAAUGGCCCCUAAAUGCUAUUAAAAAUCUCAAAAAUUAACAGGAAACUAAAACAAAUUAGAAUUUAUUCAUGGUUUCGCAAAUCCCAGCCGGAUAAACUGGUGGCCGUUGUAAGAGAGAGGACCUCCAGCCGGAUAAACAUUUUCGAGUUAUUUGAUAUUUGUAUAGUAAAAAUACUUUAAUAGCAAGUGCGCGUGAGUGAAGAAAUUGAACUUACUUAUAUAUUCUUCGAAUCCCAACCGGAAAAAUUGCAGGCUCUGGGAAGAGCGGACCUCCAGCUCUGCACCUCCUUCACGUCACGUUACGAAGAACGACUUCAUGUUUAGCAAAAGCUUCUGCAAAACUUCCCUCGAGUUUACGUUUUACGAAUAUUGGACGGAUCGACUUGGUAGAAAAUGGGGAAUACAAUCUGGUUCUUGGAAUGGUUGCAUUCCAAGAUUUCCACGAGAGUUCUUUCAAGCACCAUGUGGAUGAAGCAUAGUUUUGAGAGAAACUACACUACAAUCGAAAUCCUUGACUCUCUCGAAUCGCUGUCAGGAGCUCGAAAAGGCGGUCGCCUUUUUCUGAGGUCUUCAAUGAUGGCAUCAAUGAAGGUGUUUCUGAUUGUUUCUAGAUUUGUAGAGAUGCUCUUUGUAGAGAUGGCCUGACGAGAACCGCGAGUGUCUUUCCCCUCUAAAAAAACUGAUGAACACAUCUCGUCCCAACCAAGGCAAGAAGAAGAAGAAGAAGCAAGCCAUUAAUCGAUCUCACCUGGGCAGCGAUGAUCUCAGAGCAGCUAAGACUAAGCAAGAAUUGUAAGUACAGAACACUCAAUAGAUCUACAAAUUGGAUCCAGAAAUUAGUCAAUGAGUCAAUGCAAAAGGGAAAAGGGCAAUUAUGCUUUUUGCGUUUUCACAUCUUUCUUCAGGAAAUUUCGGUGUGAAAGGAAUCCGCAUACUUUUGAUUUUUCAACCCAAGAAAAUGCGAAGAAGAAGGGUACAAAGUAGUAAAUUUAAUCUACAGUUGCCUACCCAACACAACUCUCUUGAUUAAUAAUAUAUAUUUAAUUGGGAAAAGUAGUUUAGAGGAAGGAUGUUUUAUCUCCUUUUUCUUCUCUCUCGAACAGUCAAUCUUCCGUUCCCGUGCGAUUUAAUCAUGAUUAAAGCUAAGCUUAAUCUUAGGUCGUAUUAUUUAGGUCUAAUUGGAUUCUUAAUUCUUGUUGUGAUAUAGUAGUUCGAAGAUUAAAAAAAAUUAUGAUUUAAACGUUUGUGGUGAAAUCUGUUACGAUUUAGAUUCAAAAUUGAAAAUUUCGUUAACUCCAUUAAUUGUUAGCACAUGAAGAAACACUCACAAAUGAAACUAAAAAUAAUAAAGUUAGCCCUCACAUGUAAUCUUCACGUGCUAACAAUGAAAAGAAAGUUCCGUUUUAGCUUAAUAUAUGUGACUCACGUGUUAAUAAUUAACGGAAUAUUAACAAAAAAAUUUAUUUUAAGCAUAAAUUCAAAUAAACUUCACCACAUAAGCUUAAAUUCUAAUUUAGAUAUCUUCUAACUAUCUUAUCACCAUAAAAAUUAUAAUCAAAUUAAACUUAUUAUUUAUUUAUAAAUGCGUAACUAAAUCACAAAGUGUUGAAUGAAAGGGAGCACUCCAAAUGAUGAAAGGGGUAUGAUAUCCACACAUCUUUUUUUUUACUUCUUACACAUCGUUUUAAUUUUCGACCGUCGGAUCAAAUUAAUUGAAGAAUAUCAAAGGAUAAAAAUCAACAAAGGGUGUGUAAGAAGUAAAAAUGAGUGUGUGGAUAGCCAUCCAUGAUGCCAAAAUGAAGCAAAAAGCGGGAGCAUCGAAAGCUAUCUCCGUUUUGUUGUUCUAGCUUUGUCUUCUUUUGGCAGAUAGCUCCUAGGGACCGGCCUAUUUUCCACAGCUGGUUAUAGACUCAGUUGUGCUAUAUAGAAGGGAGUGUUUUGUUGUAAUUCCAAUAUCGAUGGAAAUCCAACAGCCAAAAUCUUUUCAAAUUUUUGUGAGGAUUUUGGGGUGUACGUAAAUUGAUUAUGUUUAUCGUAUAUUGUGUGAUCAUUUUUUAUCAAAUAUUAUUUGUGUUUCAUUUUAAAUAAAAUAAUUUAAAAUAAUUUUUAACUACAAGAUGUACGAUGAACAGAUAUAAUUCACAAAUCUCCAAAAUCCUUACAAAAAAAUCCGAAAAAGAUCCAAAUUCAAUGGAAAUAAGCUAAUUUUGAAUCAAAUUACAUUACUUUAUUUUGUAAAUAAAUUUAAUUUUGAAUUGAACAACACAUUCAUUUAUUAUGUAAGUAAUUCAUUUUGUAUGUAUCAUCAUAUAUAUUAGGCACAUUUUAUCAUAGGUGAUUUUGUGAAAAAUUAAUAAAAAGUUACAAUAUUAACAAUAGAUCAAUAAUAUUUAUGUUAAUUAUAAAUAGGUUAACCAUGUAUUGUGAUACUUAAAUACAUUUAAAAUAAAUAAAAAUUACAAAAUCUACUACUACAGCUAGCAUUCACUUCAACUAAAACUCUCUUCCACGUAGUUUUUAUAUUUGGAAUAAGUCAUACGAAUCAGAGACAUGAAGAGGUGUAAGAACUGUGAAUGUCCAACAACAAAGACUUCGGAGUUUGUUGUCGAAUAUCUGCAGCGCAUCAUUUCUGAUAGAUCAAAUCGAGCCAAUUCCCGCAAACUCCAAUCCCACCACCACCUUUCAAGCCGGCCUCAGCCCUCCGGGCGGCAUUUGGCAGGACAGCACUGGAUCAAACAAGAAUGGGACUGGCAGUGGGAGCAAUGAACGAGUACACUCAGCAGGGAAGUCCAUCAUGCGUUAAGGCAAAUGGUUCUCAAACACAAAGCAAUAGUUCGCUACCGAAAACAACCAAAGUCUGACAAAGGGAACCGUCUUACACCUAACCUGUUUUUCCCUCAUCAAAUGAGCGCGUUGAUCUGCAGAUAUUUUCUGCCAUCUCAAAACCUGUUACAAAGAAAUAUAACGUUGAUGUCGAGCUGGAUAGCAUAUUAUACCAAUUAUGUGUACAAACCUAUUGAAAUAAAGUAGCUGUAGUUGCAUAUUACGACAGAUAUUAACGAAAACAAAAGAAGGCUCGCCUAUUCAAGAUCCUAAAUCCCAUGAUUCUUUUGUUUUUAGUUUCAGAAAUUUUCAGAGCACAAACUGGAAAGUACCAAGAUACUUACAUAUUGGGCAUAAUGAAAUGCAUCUUCAUCUUUCAAGCAAGAUUUGAGUGAGCGCAAACCGUCCUGAGAGUUACAUAGAGUCAAUCGGUAAUAUAAAAACGUAGAUGCAUCACACCCAAACACAAGUAUUCAAACACCGACAACUUCUUCAUGCGGUGAGGCAUGUUAAAAAAUAGGGAAGAACAGUUAUUGAAUAGGAAGUUAAAGGACUAAAUUUAUGACCUUGUGUUUGUAGUUCUUGGCUCGUAUGCGUUCAUCUAUUACAAAACCAAUCUGUAACAGGUACAACAGAAAAUAUAAGCAGUAGUCAGAACAUUAAGCAUCGGCAUUCACAUUGCCGCCAAUCCAAAGUUAAAAGUCUAAAGGCAAAACAGUAUGAUUCUUAUCUCUCAAACAAAAAUGAAACUAUACCCCAGACAUAAAUGAAAUAAGUUCUACUGCCUCAACUGAGUACUGUGAUUAUAUAUAAAUCCAAUUCACCUUGUCAAGUAAUCUCUUAGGAUCUUGAAAUGCUUGCUUCUUAGCCCAGUCAUUAAAUACAUGCGAGAUAAUCGAUCUCUCAUCCACACUGAAUCUAUUGUACAGUGACAGAAUAAUAAAGUUAAACAUGAACAUAACCAACCAAAAAUGCUAGUUAUAAUAGUACACCCAUAAUUGCAAGCAAAACCUUUUUAAGAAGCCAUUUCCAUGGUUUUCCUCCCCAAAUUCCAUCAAUUCUGCAGAGGCAACGUCAAAUUUACUAUGAUGGAGAUCAUUUUGAACCAUAACAACUUCAGAAGGUAGGAGAUUUGGUUUGAGAUCAUCUGUUGACGGAGUAGUUUCUUUUGAAGGGUCAUGAUGCUUUGAUUGCAAGCCUUCUGUACUUACGUCAGCCUACAAAACAAAAAUUGCAUUCAACCCACACUAGACUUAAUAAGAUUAGAAACACUUCAGAUUCUUCAUUAUUUGUAAGUUUGACUAAACAGCAGAACAACUGAGGAUAAUGAACAGUAAUACACACCUGGACUUCUCGUAGAGAUUUGGAAUUUCUUUCAGAAAUCGCGAAGGUUGAAGCAUCUGAAGGAGUCACCUUCUCAGUCAGAGCAACAACAACAAAUAAGGAGGACAGGAAUUCAAGCUAAAACGUACCUGCCAACUGGAAUCCAUCGUAACAUAAAGAAUGAAAAGCUUUUUUCGAGCACGAGUCAUUGCAACAUAUAAUAGGCGUCUUUCCUCCUAUGAUUAGAGUGGGAUUAUUGAGUUAUUGACCAAAAGAAAAAAGAGUGGGAUUAUUGUGAAAAACACUUCAAAGCUCUGCAUAUAACUGAAAAAUGUUGAACAAUUUACCCCACACCUCAAUGGAGGUCCCAUUUUCUUUUGCAACGCCAUUGAAUUCAUGCAACAACGGGAUCUCAGAUUCAUUUACCUGUGUUAUUGGCAUGAGCAUUAAAGCAAGCUAAGAUGAUUUGAAGAGGUUGAUAUCGUCAUGAUUAUAGUAGAACAGAAUACCAAUUUCAAGUCAUCAAUUAGGUAUAGCAUUGGCAUGUUUAAUCAGUAAAUCUAAUGACAGAACACCUCAACUCUACACAUAAAUAAAUAAACGGUCGUACCCAGUGCACAAGGCUCCCGCUUUACGCAGGGUCUGGGAGAGGUGAAUGUCGGCUAGCCUUACCCCCAUUUAUGGAGAGGCUGCUCCCAAGUCUCGAACCCGAGACCUACCGCUCAUGGGCGAAGGCACUUGCCAUCGCACCAAGUGCGACCUCUACACAUAAAUAAAUAAACAACCUGAAAAAUAUUACAGCCACUUGUUAAGGCAAAUACCUUAAUUAUGAAAACUAUAUCCCACUCUAAACCUUUUGACUGCAAGAGAAUGAAAAAGAAAGACAGUAAGCCAAGAAUGUUUUGUAGAACUCCAAAGGAAGUCCAAUAGGGAAAUCAUCGCAAGUACAAGAGUUAGCGAGGUUCGCAUAAGAGGAUAUCAAAAAGAUCUAUAACCUGAUGAAUAGUAGUCAAAGUGACAGAACUUUGGUUGUCAUGUCUUCGGGAGUGAAAAUUUUCACUCUCCCGCUCAGAUAUGUAGUCGAUGAAUGCUUUGAGUAAAUUAACGCAGCCUUUUUCUUCUGCUACGACUUCUCUCUCCCCUUUUCCCGCAACAAAAUGAGUUGAUAAGAAAUCAGAUACGUCGUCUAGUAGGUACUGAAGAACCUGCAAUGAGAAUAAUCGCAUCACAACAACAGAGUUGGACCAAGAUUUAAGUGACAACAAUGAUUAACUAACUAAAACAGAGAAAUUAUUCAUUUAAGACCUUGUUGACUGAAAAAAGGGUUUUCCAAGCAGCGGGUCAUUUAAGCUUAUUGUAUAAAUGACAAUCAUCACAAACGGCAAACUUACAGAUCUCACGUCAUUGUCUUCAUUCAGCAGUUUUCCUCCCUCUAUAUCAACGACUGCACGUUGCUCAAGACGGUACUUCUAAAAAUUGAAAGUCAAACGAUAAAUGAUUAAGAAGUAUUGAAUAUAAGCAUGAAACGAAGAAAAUGUUAUGGAAUGGUGAUCCUCAUCCUCAAAGAUGAUUAAAAGCAAUUUGAUUCAAAAAUGACAUAUCAACUCUGGAGAAAUGGAAGACAAACCUGUGGUACCAUAUUCGCAACUGAGGUUAUGACAGCUGAAAUCGAUUGUUCCUGUGUGCAUUAAUAAGUGAGACUACCAUAGAGAUUCACAACUAAAUAAAGACAGGUAUUCCACAGAACAACCUUUACCUCUUUGGAAACACAGAUCUAACAAAAACUAUAACAUUUUGGAUUAAUAUUGACGAAUCAAGAAUAAUGCAAGGGAGCAAGAGAUACUCUUCCUUCUAAUAACAAGGAGGUGUGAAAAGUAUACAGAGUUCCAACAAUUAGAGAACUAAAAUCAAACUAAAAAAAUCACCAAAGUAGACAGAAUCUCACUUCGCCAAAAAUUUGAAAAUAUAUCCUUUUUAUCCAUUGAGAUUCAUGAACUACUACUACUACAUCAUGCCAAUAAGCAAUGCGUAAGAGGUGCUACAAUUUACCGAAUAUAUUUACCCUGAGAACAAGUUUUGAAAUCAUCUCUAGUGUUAACAGCACCUUGCGUCCUUGGGUAAGCUGAGUCCUAUUAUCAAGUAAAGAGACCAAUCAGUACAUAUCCAAAAAGAUCUUAAAUGCUUGUAAUACCAAAUAAGAAAGAAACAUGAGUAUAUCUUGAAUUAACCAUGCAAAAAUGUAAUGUUAAAGCAUCUUGUCAUACAGACCUCUUCAAGGUACCAGAAAUUUUUGCACUAAAGAUGUCACAAGCAGCUGAUAUGAAGCUGCAUUUUCUGUGAGUUGAAAUUUUGUCAAUAUAAUCGAUCACCUGAAGAGAGAGAGAGAGAAAAAGACAGUGAUAUCCAGAGAUGUGAGCCUAAAUGCUGAGUGUGUGUAAAAAAAAGAAGAUUAAAUGGAUAGCAAGAAUAUACAACUUUAAUGCUGAAAAGAACAUUGAAUAUGAUGUUCAUUCAUCAUUCCCAUUGAACGUGUACCUUCUUCUUUUCCUCUUUCUCAAAAGCAAGUAGAGCCUUGAAGACUUGCCUAUAUGAUCCAUCAUCACAACCAGGCAAAGUUGUUUUAAUCAUAGCAACAAUGGCUCUAACUACCUGCCAUAAGAAACAUGCUACAUCAACAAGAUCACAGAGUGUACCAGAAACCGUAAUGUAGCAAAAUCUUGGAUAAAAUAGCUGGCCAAAAGGGAAUGGAAAAGCAAGCACGAAAAACAAUGAAAAGGACCAGUGAUGCCAAAAUUCUGGUGGAAAAGGUGAAAAGCUUAUGUCUAUUACAGUUCUUGUAUGCAUUCUUUAUAACUUAAGUUCUACGUAGCAAAAACCACCUUAUGCACAACAAUAUUGGAAAAAUUAGAUACAUACAACUGAGAAGAUAGGUUUUCAUAAUCUGGACAAGUGCUAACUACCUUCUUCCUAUAAACUGCCACUCCAUGAACAUUAAAUGGUAUUUUCCUUUCACGCAAGGCUGUCUGGAAGACUUUUCCUGAUACCUGUAGCAUAAAAUACAAAAGAAAAUGUGACCAAAAUGUCUUAUAUGAUUCACCUCAUUCACAUUAGCACUAAGGCAAGUAAGCUUGACCUGCCUCCGGUAAAGGAUUGCUAUAUUUCCAUAGAAGCACCCUGCUUCUGACCGUUUAGAUGCAGUCUCCAGGAUCUUGUCGACAACAAAGGCACAUUGUGCAUCCUCAUUGUGACUUUCCUUGAUAAUUACCUACAUUUUGCCAGUAAAACCAGUGUCACUAACUAAAAGGACUGAAAAAUGACAUCAAAUUGUACUUGUUGGAGCAAGGAAAGAUUAAGUACCUUAGACCCAGAAGAAUUGUCCGUGUCAACAUUCUUUAGUUGGCAUCGCUUCUUAUUGUUUUUUAUAACAGAAGAUGCAGCUUCCACAAUAUAGCGUGUGGACCGAAAGUUUUUAUUAAGCCUAAUCUGAACCAUAAAGUUAUGUCAAAUCCCACAGAACCCCAUAAAAUAAAACUUACUUUCCUGUAAUUGUACAAUAUAUUUGUUCUAUACUAUAUAUAAUGAAAAAAGACACUGUGAAUGACAUAAGAUAACAUAGCAGUCAAGUGCGAAGCGAACCUCUUUGUAAUUUGAAAAAUCUUUACGAAAAGAAUCAAAUCCAGAAAUGUCCGCCCCAUUGAAACUGAAAAUGGACUGCAGCAGGAUAUAUGUUAUUUGAUUUAGAACAGAUAAGGGCUGGAUUAGAAUGAGCUGAGAGAGAGAGAGAGAGAGAGAGAGGGAGAGAGGGAGAGAGGGAGCAAUAACAUUGGAUUUCCAUAAUAAAUCAACAACAUGCCUGAUCAUCAUCACCAACAAUGGUUAUGUGGUUAUGAGAGGCGAGAAUCCGCAAAAGACUAUAUUGCAUAGCACUUGUGUCUUGAAACUCGUCUAUUACAAUAGCUUUCCAUGACUCCUGGCACUCCUUCAACACUAAUUAAGAGAACACCAUGUAUCAACAUUUAGCAUUACUUGUAAAACUAGAUAAAUCAAUGAAAUAUACUUAGAUGAUAGAGACCUUCAGGAAAAUCACUUAGCUUAGCAGCUUCACAGAGCAGCUAAUUAAGUCGUGGUAGUCCAAAGCGUUGCACGAUUUCAAGAUAUCAUUGUAAUUCCUAAGAAUUUCACCCUGAUUCAGAUUGAGAGCUAAAACUCAUAAGCAAUAGUUUCAAAGAACUGAAAUGAUAUCUGAAAUUCUAGUUCUGAGCGUACUCCUGUCACAUCACCCAUUCUUCGGCAUUCAGCGGGAGUCUUUCCAGAAGCUUUUGCCUGAAACAUAAAUAAAUUUAUUGCCUAAUGCCACAUAUUGUAAGACACACCAUUGUAUUGGUCAUUCUAGCUUGAUUGUAGCUAAUAUUUUUUAAAUCGAAUGAUUAGAGUUCUUAAUCCACAAUAAUCUGAACAUUAAAUUUCGUAUUCAAGACUAACCUGUGUCACAAACUUCAGCCAUUUCUUUGAUGCAUCCUUAAAAUGAUGUGGAGAUGUUACGCCGUUAGACUCUUCCCCAUCUAUAGCAACAUUAAGAUUCGUUUUACUCUUUUCAUCUUCUGAUAACCGCACAGCUUCAAUGAUUGCUCUUCUCUGUUGCCCAUGUCCAUAUAUCAAAAAUUCUGGUCUGCGCUCGAGUCUAAAACACAAGCCAACAUAACAGACUCAGCUGUACCACCAUAUGUAUGGUGUUCAAAAUCAAGGGAGGUGAAUCAAUAGCUUACUUCUCAGCAUGUGAUCGGCAAAGUUGCAAUGAAAAUGAAUGCAAUGUACUGAUUGUUAGUAGUUUUGCCGUUGCUUUCCCAGUCACAGAUCCAAUUCGAUCUCUCAUCUCGGAAGCUGCUGCUGUAGUGAAAGUCAUUGCUAGAAUGUUCGACGUGCUGAUGCCCUAAGAACACAAAAAAAAAAAAAACGAAUAAGAUUUCGAUCAUAAACAAGAAAUGUAGAGAAACACACAAUUAUGAAAGAAAAAGUUAGGGGGAAGUAGCAACACCUCAUUGAGCAGCAUUAGAACGCGCCCAACAAUCAUCAAAGGUACUGAAAUAUCGCUGCAAGCUGCCUCGCGCUGCCUUUCGUUGAGAGAAAGCUAAUACUUCAAAUACUCAUCCGGCAUGUUAGGCAAUCCAUGGUUAACGGAAUCCGUUUGGUUUUCACUACUCAAAGGCGGCGCUGAUGCGGCACGAACGUCACUACCACAACUCCCAAUAUCAUCACGCUGAAUGUCCACACUUGGUUUCUGCUCAAUUAAAGCGUCAAUUUCCUGCAAAAUACUCUCAUCGAAAUCAUCAUCGUUAAGAAUUCCAGAUGCAGAGAAAGAAUCAAAUGAAGUCAGAAACUGAUGUCUGAUUGGAGUUGUGAAAGAAUCCGAUUUUGACACGCUUGAUUCUGUCCGGCUAACGCUUAAGCUCCCGGAACACGAAGCACUGCCAUAUUCACCACGCGCUGAAUUGUACCGGCUUGCGGAAAUCGGAGGCGGUGUUCUUUGAACUCUAUUGAGCUGAGUUGGCGUUUGGAUUCCAUUUCCGCCACAGAUUCUGGAAUUUGAAAAACACAAUUGAAUUGAUUUAAAUUGAAGCAAGAAAACAGCCGAGUAGCCAAAAAAUAGUAAGAAGAUGAAACCUUUGAUUCCUGAACGACUUACUUGGUAUGAGGGAGGUGAUGAUCAGGUGAAACGGCGUCGUUGCGGGGGCGUUUGCGAUCAAUGAGGGCCUUGGCGGCUCUGAAAUUCCGAGAGAUGCGGUUUCUUUGUUCCGCCGUGAGCCCUCCGCCGUACGCCUGAACGUUUUCCUUGGACAUUGCUUCGAAGAUUCCAACGGAGGAUUUGGCCUGACGGCCUGACCAGGCUGAUAACAGUGUAAAACCUUAGGAGCUAAGGAAAAACUAAGAGAGAGAUCGUAGAGAGGGAAAGUUUUUUCUUUUUGGAAACCAGUAGAGAGGAAAAGUUUGUUAAACCUGAAUAAUAUUCUUUUGGCCUAAUCGGAUAAAUGGUCCCGUGGUCAUAAGGUAUUCGGAUGAUAGGCCUGUGGUAAAAAAAUUCAGAUUUAAACCCCUGUGGUCUAAAUCUGUUAGGAUUUAUGCCCUUUUGUUAAAUAAUGCUGACGUGGCUGCCACAUAUAUGCCACGUGGCUGCCAAAUGUCUGCCAUGUGGCAAAAAUAAUAAUUUUUAAUUUUUUUUUUUAAAACCUGAAUUUUUACAAAAAAAUAAAAAAUAAAAAACCCAGUCCGGCGAGGGGGGGAGCUGGUCUCUGGCGGGAGGAAGAAGAAGAAGAAGAAGAAGAAGAAGAAGAAGAAGAAGAAGAAGAAGAAGAAGAAGAAGAAGAAGAAGAAGAAGAAGAAGAAGAAGAAGAAGAAGAAGAAGAAGAAAGAAGAAGAAGAAGAAAAGAAGAAGAAGAAGAAGAAGAAGAAGAAGAAGAAGAAGAAGAAGAAGAAGUCGCGCGGGGAGACCGGCGGGAAGAAGAAGAAGGAAGAAGGAGAGGGAGGAGGGUCGCGCGGGGAGAGGGCUCCGGCGGGGGGGGGGGGGGAGCUGGUCUCCGGCAAGAAGAAGAAGAAGAAGAAGUCCAGCGGGGGGGGAAGGGCGAAGGGCGGGGGGAGCUUCUGGGUUUUUUUUUUUUUUUAAAUUCAGGUUUUUUAAAAAAAAAAUUAAAAAUUAUUAUUUUUGCCACGUGGCAUAUAUGUGGCAGGCACGUCAACAUUAUUUAACAGAAGGGCAUAAAUCCUAACAGACUUAGACCACAGGGGUUUAAAUCCGAAAUUUUUUACCACAGGGGCUAUCAUCCGAAUACCUUAUGACCACGAAAACCAUUUAUCCGAUUAGGCCUAUUCUUUUCAUUCAACUUGUCUACAAUAAUUACUAUUGGAUAAGUAUAUAGGCUGUGUCAUUACUACUACACGUGCAAAACAUGUGCACAUAUGGCUUACUAGAUAGAAUAGUAUAAAUACCUUUUCCUUUCCUUUAUUUUGUAAGAGGUUGUAAUACCUAAAACAGUUAGAGAAAUAUAUUGUAAUUCUUUCUGACUUCUCCUCUAAGCUUCCUUCUUCAGUGUAUUUCUUAAUUUCUAUGGAAUUCAUCUCUACUGUUAAGAUGGUAUCCAGAGUCGUUCUUGCUUGCGCAAUGGUACUGGUUCAUCGUUUCCAUUGCUUCGACUGGUAAGAAGGUGAUAUUGCUUAUGGGCUUUGUCUCUGGAUAUUUGUUCUUUGCGUUGGAAACCCUAAAAGAGUUUAGUGUUCUUCUUCUGAAAUUUCGUUUGAAUUGAAGUGUAAUUGAAGGCCGAUGCCAUAGUUUUUUGGUUAAUUGAAGAGUUAUAUGUUGAUUUGAUGAAAGGCCGAUGCCAAAAUUUGUUGAGAAUUUUCAAUUUCUUGAAGUGAUUUGAGUUGAUUGAAGGCCGAUGCCAUAGUUUUUUGGUUAAUUGAAGAGUUAUAUGUUGAUUUGAUGAAAGGCCGAUGCCAAAAUUUGUUGAGAAUUUAGUUUCUUGAAGUAAUUGAAUAGAUUCAAGGACGAUUGCCAUUGUUGGAGUAUAUAUGUGAUUCUUGCUUCUCUGCGAUCGUAGAGUGAUUGUCUUCGUAGUUGGAAAUCAGAUUUGCAAUUCUUGUUCAUCUGGAGUUAUCCACCGAUAUCAUUAACAUAUAAUAAGAGAACAAUAAUUGAUGAACCAUCACACUUGACAAAUAAAGAAGGAUCUGCAUAUGAUGACUUGAACCCAAGCUUAGGCAAAUAACCUGAAAACAUGUCAUGCUAGGCUCUGGGAGCUUGCUUGAGACCAUAUAAAGACCUCUCCAGUUUGCACACAUAAUCUGGAUAGGUAGAAUCCACAAACCCUUAGGGCUGAGACAUAAAAACUUAUUCCUCAAGAAAGCCAUGCAAAAAAGCGUUAUUGACAUCUAACUGUAUGAGUUUCCAAUUAUGAGAUGCAGCCAACGAUAGAACCAAUCGAACUAUGGUUGGUUUGAUCACAUGGCUAAAGGUUUCAUAAUAGUUAAUACCAACUUCUUGAGAAUACCCCUUAGCUACAAGUCUAGCCUUGUACCUAGCCACUGAACCAUCUGGAUUUCUUUUAAUCUUGUAGAUCCAUUUACAACCAACAAGAUUUUUGUCAGAUGGUAAGGGCACAAGCUUCCAAGUACGUUGUUGAAUCAAAGCAUCCAUCUCUUAUUUCAUGGCAUUUUGCCAUUGAACACACUUGAUUGCACUAGAAAAAGACUUAGGUUCCUUGAUUUCAGAAGCCUGAUCCACCUUAGCAGAAAACACCUUCUUUUUCAUAAUCCUAGACUUAGACUGGGUUUGCAUGGGAUGACAAUUUUGAGCAUUGAUACACACUAGUUGGAGAUCAUCCACUUGAGACAUUGUAGUAUUUGGAUGAUCUUUUGAAUACACAGUAGGCAAAACCUCUGAAGAAGGCACACCACUUGUGGAAUAAGAGACAAGAUCACCAGAACUAGUGGGUUGAGAGGAUGAUGACUGAGUAACAUGCCGUGAUUUAGAGGUAAGAGAAGUGGGACCAAUAAAUGGAAAUGUGGAAGAAACACUAGGUGGAUGAAUGAAUGUGUUUGAAUGCACAACAGACACUGGUGAGGAAGAAUGACCAGAAGUAACUUGAGGAUUGAAACCCAAAGCAUUAGAGUCUGUAGGAAACUUGGAUUCAUAAAAAAUAACAUGUCUAGAUACUAACAGUUUCUGAUCUUUGAGAGAGAAGCAAAUAUACCCUUUGUAUUGUGUAGCAUACCCCAGAAAAAUACACUUAGUAGUUUUAGGUUCAAGUUUAGUGCUUCUAUAGGGUUUCAAUGAAGCAUAACAUAAACACCCAAAAAUUCUCAAAUGAUCAAGCUUAGGUGGAGAUUUAUAUAGCAUUUCAAAAGGAGACUGCAUAUGUAGGGUAGGUGUGGGCAUUCUGUUUAUAAGAAAAGUAGCAGUGGCACAGGCAUGGAACUAGAAUUUUGAAGGUAAUGAAACUUGUUGUAAAAAGGUAAUAGCUGUUUCAACAAUAUGUUGAUUUUUUCUCUCAGCUAACCCAUUAUGGUAUAGGGUAUAAAGACAAUAUUUUUGAUGAACAAUGCCUUUGGUAAGAAGAAAUUGCUUAAACUGAGUACUAACAUAUUCCCCACCCCUAUCACUUUGCAAAAUUUUUACAUGAGCAUCAAAAUAAAUCGAGACAAAAGUAAGAAAGUUGACAAAAACAGUGAACACUGCAAUUUUAUUAUUUAAUGGAAAAAUCCAAGUAUAUCUUGUACAUUCAUCAAUGAAGGAAACAUAAUACUUGUAACCUUCUAUAGACAGACUAGGUGAGGGACCCAAACAUCUAUGUGAAUUACUUUAAAUGGAGUAAGUAACUUCGAAGCAAUUACAGGAAAAGGGAACUUGGUAAACUUGCCUUGCAAACAAGCUUUACAAGUAUGAGAUUGAGAGUUACAAGGAAAAGAUAUACAAGACUUAUCAAGUGUUGCAGUGACAAUGGAAUGUGCAGGAUGACCUAAUCGACAAUGUCACAAUGUAGAAGAAAUCUUUUAUCCCACAAAUGCAACUGGAUUAAAAACAGGAGAAAUAGACCUCUGUGGUUUGAUUAUGGGAAGUGGAUAGACAACAUUAUUACUCAGCCCUUGGAAUAGCACUCUCCCGGUGACCUUGUCCUGUAGAUAGAGAGAAACAUCAUUAAUGAUACAACGACACUGAUUAUCUUUGCACAACUGAUUCAUAGAUAAUAAGUGUUGUGACAGUUUUGGAACAUGUAACAUAGAGUUUAACUUGAAAUUAUGUGACUUAGUGAGAAGAGAAGAGGAACCAAUAUGUUUGAUAGCUAAACCUUCACCACUAGCACUGGUCACAAUAUCAUUUGAUGGAUAAAUUUGUUGCCAUGUGCAAGUUUGACAAAUCUGAGGUCAUAUGGUCCAAGUCAAGAAACCAGAAAUCUUGUUGAAGAGUUGAGGAUGAUGCACCAGCUCGUGCUUGCAUAGCAAGAUGAAGAUUUUGUGAGGAUGUAGUUGAGAGAUAUGGUAUGACAAGAUACUAAAACUGGGAGCUAUUAGACUGUGGAAUCAUGCCUUGUGAAGGACCACAUGGAUUCUAGCUAGGUGCUUCACCAUAUAACCCAGUAGGCAUUGGAGUUGGCAUAGAUGAGGAUAAACCCUGAGAGAAAUGCUCUGAUGUGCCUGUAAAAUUCUUAUUCCAAUCAAAGCAAGUAGCAGCAACAUGGUGACAAAUUUGACAUCCAUGUUGAAAACAAUUCAAUGCAGAAUGACCUUUGCGAUCACAUAUUUGCAGAAUGACCUUUGCAACCCUAGAAAGAAGAAGGAGUGAAGAAGACCAAAUGUGUACGUUUCUCUUUGAUUGUUUUUCCCUCCUAAUCGCGCAGUUCGAAAUCACGGACCUCGGGCCUCGGCCUAGUGGGCCCAAUUAUGAGGCCCAUUAUCUCCGGUCUUCUCGUUCUACUUCUAGUUACCCAAAUUAAGAACGUACUGGUUCGCUUUUAGCGCGAGAGAGAAAUGGAGGCCCUGAUUGCCUCGUACGGAGACUCGUCGUCGGGCUCAGACUCCGAGUCGCCGGCUCCACCUUCACCACCACCUCCGGAGCUCAACAACCCUCAAGAACCGACCCCUGCGCUGCCUCCACCUCCUCUUUCACUUCUCGACAGCCCCAAUUCCUUCGGUAACCUCUGAUUCCCAUCAAUUUCAUCUUUUAGCUUUCUGCUGUGAUGGCUUUUUCCGAGUUGCCCACCAAGUGUUUGAUGUUUUGCCUCUGAAGGAUUUCUGGACUUAUCGGCAAGCGCCCAGCCGAGCAGAGUUCGGAACUUUCCUCACGUCGAAGGGAACUACGCAGUACAUGUAUACAUCCCAGGUUAUCAAAAUUCUCGAAAUUUUCAGCUCCAUUAGCAAAUGCGAUCGCUUUGCACUUAGUUUUUGCUUGUUUAAUUGUGUGGUUCCAGUUUAUAUACCACCAGCACCAAGGAAAGAGAUGGCCUUGUUUUUGAACAAGCUAGCUUCUCUGGUGCCUGGUCUCCAUGCGGUUGACGUUGACUUCCCGCUUGACAUUCUGCGUAAGGACGAGCACAAGCUUGAACAAGUUGCUUUAGGCAGAGAGUUCCAUAUAAGUCUCGGAAGAACUGUUCCGAUUCGGGUGCACCAGAUUGAUUCCUUGGUGACAAUGCUGCGGCAGAAGCUUCAGAUUCAGAGGCGGUAUGGUUACAUUUACAUUCUCUUGUCCGCAUUGCGUGAAGUUAGUUCUGUUAUUUAACAUAAUUCUGUAAGCCUGCAAAUUUUUUGUCCAUUUUCGGUUUAACACAUUUUGUUAUUGUGAAACAGGUAUUGGAUUGAUUUUAGCAAGUGGGAGGUUUUUGUUAAUGAUGAUCAGACCCGGACCUUUGUGUCUAUCGAAAUCAUUGCUGCUGGGUUAGCUGAGGUAUGAUUGCUAGCUUUCUCUCUUGGUGCAAUUCUAAAUGUUUUCAGUUGUUAUAUGGGCUUAAGAUUUAGUAAGUACUUGCCGAAGGUCAUGGGAUUUUGAAAUAUUGAUAUCUUGCUUGCUUAUUAGCUUAGAUUUGGUCUUCGAUGCACUUGUAACAUGAAAAACACAAACGAAAACUAAUGCAUGAUAUGCUCAUGGUUUUAACAUGUGUUGUCCUGGCGUAAAUCAUGUUCCUAAUCCUGUCAUGUGAGUAUAAGCCUAUGAUACUUAGGGCAUGUUUGGCGGGCCGGACAAGAUUGGAAUUGGUAUUUCAGACUAGUUAGGUUAGGAUUGAACUGGAUAGGAUAGGUUUUUGGUCUAAAGAUUGGUGUAGACUGUCUUAACGAUGGGAUUUAAAACGUGAAACAGAUCUGCGACAUCCCAACGAUGACCCGCCCACCCAACAACUCUGCUCGUGACUUGCAACACCUCUCGUACCCUCCACGCCCCUUGAGGCCCGUCAGACCACUCUGAUAUCCUGGAGAGGUGAAACGUGGUUACUAGAAGCAUACCUGUUUUCGUAUUAAUGCACGGUUGAAGCAGCUUUCAUUGUCUACAAGUCUGAAAUAUUUCAACUUCCAUUGAUUUCAGAUAACAAAGCAGAUUCAAGCUGUGAAUGAGGUGUAUAAGCUUUUUCGUGUUUUUCAAACUCGAAAAACAAGAUUGUGCCUGAAUACUACUCAUUGCUCAAAAAACUAAAUCACUUCAUGGGGUGUUGGUGAUCACAGGAUCCGCGCCCUCACAUCUCGGUAGCUUGGGCAUUGGGUGACAUCAGCAAUUCCCUGAAGAAAGUGGUUGAAGAAGAAAGACGAAGAUCUACCAUCGGAGGAUCGUUACAGAAAUGUAUUUUUACCAGUAAAUUCAAUGGUAUCGAAUGUAGGAUUGGUAAUAAGACACAAAAUAUGUAAAUUUUCUGAACAAUAAUGUAGCCAUUUAACUGUAUCGUGAAAUUCCGAGAAUAUAUCGCUGAGCAUUGGAUGAGAAGACAUUUCUUUGUUGGUGUCGAACUUCUUGUCGAAGGUAUUGGCACCAGUGUAAACGUCAUCAUCCAUGUUGAUGGUAAUUACUUCCCAGCUACCAAGGGUGUCGGAACAACCUUGCACGCAGCCUCCUGUGCAUUACUUAAUAUUGUCUCAGUUUCUCCAAACUUGAAUGCUCCUGUAAACCCACUCUUGACCUUUCCGUCAUCUGCAAUUACAGGAAAGCUGGCUAGGAUGUUGCCGUUAACCUACCUAACUGGCUAGGAUGUAGCCGUCAUCUCCAAACUUAAAAGACCGGAAAGCCGGCUCCAAACCUCAAUGUGCUACUAGUUUUUGUAUGCGAGAGCUCCACCUCCAUUGUUGUAACAGCAUCUGAUGCGGACUAGUCCUUCAUUCCCGUUACUCUUUGCUAUCUCCACUUCAAACUUGGCGUAAUGGCUCCCGGCCGCCUCUCCGGUGAAAUUGAGAAACCCUGGGAAACCCUGGAGCUAGGCGUUUUCAUUCUGUUGUCCGUAUAUCUUGAUAUUACAAGUAUUUGUUGUGCAAAAUGCAAGCUAAGUUCAAGUUAUGUUUAUGUAUGUGUGUGUGUGUGUUGUCACUUCGCCACUUUUCCAACGUUUUCUCCAAAAUUGUGAUUUUGGUGUUGUUCUAACUUUGGUGAAUGCUAAUAACAAUUCCCUCGUUAACCAUUGGGACGAGCAACAAGGCAGUUUUGAUUCCGUGCACAACGGCGAUACCUCGAAAGAAAUUGAUUCUUCACCAGAAAGAUGUUUUAAAACAAAGUUGAACAGUUGAUGUAUACAGACGUUCCUUGCUUAUGACACGACUUAUGAGAGGAUGUAUGUAUUGCAUUUGCAUCAAAAGAAAGAAAGAAGGUUGUAAGUGGUAAGGGAACGACUACCGAUGCCGCUCCACUUCUAAUCAAAGGGAUCGAUCCGAGGGUCGUGUUCACUUGCCAUCGCUAUUCCAGUGCAAAGGCAUGUCGGGCACAUUACCUGCCACAUUUACGGACGCAAUGUUAGAUAUAGCUGCCAUUUGGAAGUCAUCUCUCAAAAUUUUGCUACUAAAUUAAUCUUAAACGUCAUUUCCAGUGCAAUUUUUUUCUUCUGAAUUGUCUUUCACAUGCCCGACAAAUAAAAGUAUCACCAAACAUGUGAAUAUAGUGCAUCUAAGCGGCAGGCACUAAAAGGAAUUUAGUAUGCAAUAAACAUUCAACGGACAUAAUUAUAUGUCUAACCUUUCCCGCUCCUGAGCAAUUUGAACAUCGUUCAGUUUUUGGCAGAGAUAGGGGUUGGUUUCCGCCAUCAGCUGUCGAUAAUGGUUCAGUAAGAACAAGGGUUCCAGUGCUGGAGCAACGAGCACAAGCAAGAUAUCCUGCGUAAGUAUCAAAUACACAGGUAAGUUGACAUAUGAAACCAAUCCGAACAUCUCCAUCGUAUAUAUUUAAAGCUACAGUACAUAAAACUAAAAGUCAGAAAUAGAGGACAUUAUCACACCAGUUCCAAGACAAUAUUUGCAUCGUUUAUGCUCCUGCUGUUUCGCAUUGUUUAUUUCAACUACCAUCAAUGCUGAGAUCACUCCAACUGCUCCUCCAGAAAACGACGCCACUAUGGGAUCAACUUGACUGCAGUUUGAAAGUAUAGGAGAUCAAUAAACGAAACUGGUAACAACAUGGUAUCAACAUUAUUUAGCUUCGUUUCAAGAUAGCUGACAUCCUGGGUUUUUCUAAUGUGUAAAAAUUGAGGAUCCUUGUAAAAUUUGACUAUAUCAGUUCCCAAAGUAUUUGAUUCCUAUGUUACAGACCGAAAACAGUAACAAUUGAAUUUUUAGAUUCAUAACACGAUAGAUGGUACAAAAUUUCAAAACGAUAAUUACUAGAGAACAGGAGGGCUAAUAGCCUGAGAUAUGAGCCAUACCUCAACUGCAACGGCAGAUGCAUAUUUACUAUAAAAUCUUUAUACGAUGUGCCUCCUAUUCCAAGCUUCAACUCCAACUGAAAGAUGUAAACGUAAUUGUCGGCAGAGAGUUAGAAACAUAACCGAAUCCAUGUUUUAUAAGCAGAAACUACACUUAUUUGACAUGUUUCCUCGUUUUUUUACUUGCAAAUUCAAAACCGUAUUGUCGGACCAGUAAAAUAAAAUAAUGUUUACUAAUAACUGUUAAAACUAAUCACAACAAGUUAAUGCAUAAAGAACUUACGGAGGGUGCUAUGAGGCCACCGAAAAGGAUAAACCCCGCAAUAAUUGAAUAACAUACAGCAUAAUACUGCUUAAGGUUGUCUGAACUCUGCAACCAAUGCAUUCACCUUGUGAUUAAUACUUUGCACAAACACUAGUUUUCGCAGUUUUUUAUGAACCGACAAAAGGCUACAACAAAAUAUGGCUAAAACAAGUCCGGGAUAUGAAAAUACAUGUCUUCACAGGGUCAGCAGCUUACCAGGGGAGGCAAAAAUGGAAUGAAUGAUGGAAAACUAGGAAGUUCGUUUUCUUGAUCUUCAUUUACCGCUCCAAGCUCUGCGCGUUUAAUCCGCUGUUGUAUCCUCAGCCUGCGAACCUUCGCAUAUCGAAGCUCAUUCUUAAAGAACACAUUUCUAAUGGCAAUUGGAGAGUAAUUUAAAACAUGCUAAACUGAGAAAGUGGCAGCAACUAGCAAUUGCUCUCACCUCCUCCAUAUGCAAGAAAAUUUUGUUGCGCCGACUCCGAAUAUUAUCUUGAAUUUCUUGCAGCUCCAUUGUGGCAAAGUCCUGCACUGUUUCAGGCCCCUCUAUGAUACAAAAUCUGCACAAUUAAGCAUGUAAAAACUAAAAAUUACAGGCUAAAAAAGCAAUUUCCGUAUCAUUGCUCGGUUAAUUAACAUCAACAGCAGAUAAAUCACAUGGGUUUUUCAAAUGAAGUUACAAACUUUCAAAGACCAGUAAGCUGUCUGCAAUCUCAUAAAUUUCACAGUGCAAAGUAAAAAUCCAAAGCUUGGAACUUUAAAUUUCCAUUUUCUGUUAAUUUCCUAGAGAGAGGGGGGGUGGUACCCGGCGGGGUUUGUAUCGGCGGCGGGAUUGGGAUCAGAAUCGACAGACGGAGCGAAAGAGGAGGAGUCGGGCUCCGAAGCCAUGGCCAGGGAUCGCCAUCUGGAGCUGCUUGUUGAUAUGGGGCUUCUUGGGUAGCUGAAUUUGGAGCAGCCGGCGCUAUGCAGUUUGUACGGACUGCACCGAUUUACGGGGAAAGACACGGCCAAAAGUCUGCCGCAGCAGAGCAUCUCUCUCUCUCUCUCAAACCAGAAGGCAGAGCUUUCUGUUUCUCUUGAGGUUUCUUUCACUGGUAAAUUCCAGAGAAGCAGAGAAGAAGGCUCUCUGAGAAAUGGAGGCAAAACAAAUGUAAAUCUUGAAGCACCGACCAUGUGCAGAACACUUAUCAACUACCGAACUCUAGGAUUUUUAUUUUUUGGUAAACUACCGAACUCUACGAUUAGGAGAGAAACAAGGGGAGAGAGAGUGAGUGACCGGAAAAAAAUAAAAAAUAAAAAAAAUAUGGAGGGAAGUGGCUGAUUCUUCUCUCAUUUUUUCCUAUUGUUUUUCAGAAAAAAAAAAAUAAUAAUAGUAAUUAGUCGUUAGAUUCGAGUAGUCGUUCGGUAUGUCACAUUUAAAAUUUUAUUAUAGGAAGCAUAAGGUUAGGCCAUCUCCAAUCGAAUUAGGUCUGAAAGAUCAUGUUUAUCCUUAUAGUUUUGCAAGAAAUUAUAUUUUAAUAAACAAUGCAUGUCAUAUUUUAUACCAUCUCUAACCGGGGGGCCAAAGAAUCAUGGGCCAAACAUAGCCCUUUGACAAUAAACGCAUCUCCAACCGAGAGGGCCAAAAUGUCAUAGACCAAAAAUAAUCCCCUAAAGAAUUUAUUAUUUUAAUUGAAUUAAUAUAGUUAAUUAAAUUAAACUACCGUAUUAAAAUAAGGUUUUCUGACAUAUUUUGAGUGCCACUUGCCACAAUAACGAAGAAAGCGUGGUAUUGUUGCACUUGCUAUAAAGUCAAGCUUGACAUUCUGCCGCUGGAGAACUGGUUGGCUGACUGGAAAUGGCCAACCCGUUGGCUUGAUUUGGGGGUUUUGGCCAGAUGGGGCCCAACAAGCCAUUUGGCCUAGCCUUGCUUGAAGACGGUUUUCUUGUCAUUCCAAGCUAUUUUUAGCCCUAUGACCAUUUGAUUUGAUCGGUUGGAGAUGACUUUAGGUGCGGUGAUUGUCCUUGAGAUAUCGAAGGUUCUGUGUGAUCGAAUACUUCGUCCUCCUCCAAAGCCGCCACUGUUGAGAAGGUUACUUGCCUUAUGCAAACAUUAUGAAUUGCAAGUGAUGAAUUGUUCUGAUGAUAAGGUUUAUUUUUUAACUCAUUAUGUUUCGAGUUUAAACAUUUUUCCCUCUCUUUAAUGUAUAUAUUAAUGAAAUAUUGUUCGUAAUAAAAAAAUAAAAAAAUGAUACAUUCUCAUUCAUAUAUAAGAUGAUCAAGUCUGAAAUUAUUACUUUUAAUGAGUGACUUAGUUAACCAUUUUCAUUUCUUAUGCGUUCAAAAUUAGACAAAUUCUUUGCAAACAUUAAAAAAAAAAAAAGAUAUUAAGGAGACUUUGAAACUAUUACAUUAUGGGAGGGGGAAUUUCGAACUCGGGACUUCUGAGUAGAACCCAAAUGCUUCUCCACUAGGAUAUUAGACUAGUGCCGGUCCUGAAUUUUUUGGUGCCUGGAGCGAAUAAUGUGCCCUUUUCCAGUACAACAACAUAAAUUAAAAAGAAAUAUUUAAAGAGGGCUGGAACCCAGUCGAAGCUGGGGGGCUAGGCCCUCACGCCCAUAUUAUAUUACUUUUAAGAAUAAACAUACAACUGGGGGAACAUAGUAUCGAAAUCCCGACGAUCAAAAGCAAAAUAUAUACAACCACUCCAAGCAGUCAACAUGGCCAUCACAUAUUGAAUCCAAAAUGUCAACGCCCCAUUGGCUGCAUAUAAAGUACAAACGAGCGGCAACUUCAGCCAGUUCUGCGAUAUCCGGCUGGAUGAGAGCAGCUAAAGACAUGAUUGUUCCCUAAUAACAUGAAUAAAUUGAGUAAACACCAAAAGUAGCAGCAAGGGAAGGAGAUGUGAAGUAGAUGAAGAGAUGUAAGAACUGUGAAUGUCCAGCAACAAAGACUUCGGAGCUUGUUGUCGAAUACCUGCAGCGCAUCAUUUCUGGUAGAUCAAAUACAACCAAGUCCUGCCAACUCCAAUUCCAAAAAUCCUACAGUAUAGCAUAAAUCUUAUUCUCUUCUGAUAAAGAUGUGUGUCCCUACCCAUAAAUCGAAACCUUCAUCUGCAAGGACGAAUCCCAUUUAUUCUUCUGAAGAAUUUAAGAACCAUGAACCACCUGGUCAAGAUCAAGAAAAGCCAGUAACCAAUUACAAUUGAGUUUGAAGCAAAUUAGAGCCAAAUUUAAAAUGUAUCCGAUGGAUGUUCAUCAAUUUACACAAUAGUUAGUUUCAAGAAAGGAAAUUUCAACAGAACCUGAAAACUUCAGAUCAGGGGGCACCAAAUAGUGAGCUACACAUUCAGAAUUUGAAAUAUUUCAAAUCAACUUGGUGGGGCCAAUAUGUUGAAAAAAUUGGAAGGAGCUAUGAAAGUAAGGCUUUUCGCUAAUCAGGCGUCUAGAGAAUCAAUAUUUUACUCACGUAUCAGUUACGGGGAACACUCCCCACCAGAGCAAUCUCAUUAGUCCUUCACAUCUCAAACGGCACAGAAAUUGCACUAACAAACACGACUCCUAUUAGUCCUUCACAUCUAAAAUCCAGGAAGUACCCAUCUUUCGUCUGAAUCUGGAAAAUAAGCAGAGCACUCAAUUUAACAAUCUGGGUAUCUCAAAGUUACUCACUUUAAUCACAAAUUUAACAAUUAAACAUAUAAAUGGGCAUUUUUUUAGUGAAAUAUUAGUAUCUUACUCACUGUGUGCUCGGAGCAAGAGUACCCGGAAAGCUCAAUGAGCUGUGCACAGAGGACUGCAGCGGUGAACGACAGCGACCGAUUCUGUAAAAUUCAGUCAAGUUUUCGGCAAUUUCUGCAGCGAUUUCGGAGUUCAAGAGGCUGAUAAGGAAAGCUGCGACUGAAGGACACUGGUCUGGAAGAAAGGCUCUGGUCACCGCUGUCGCAAUUUGUGAAGGAAGAAGUGCCCCAAAACAAUUUCGGCCCUGAACAGAUGCACUGUUUGCACUGGACCAGGGCCGGCACUGGCGAUAACGUCCCCCAAACAGUACAUAUACAGAUGCUAGAAAUAAUAAAUGUCACCUGAAACUACUAGAACCAUUCAAUUCUAGCGUCUACAGCUUUAGCAUUAGUUGGUACAAGGGACAUUCUUCUAAAGAGGGAGAUGAACUCGUUGAGGCUCUUAUUUAUUCCUCCUCUUGAGGUGUCCUUUUAGGCUGCUAAUUCCAGACGAUCCAAUCUCAUACAUCUUCCCUGCAAAAGCAUGUGUGCCAGACUUCAAGAUCAAAAUUUUCCAACAAAAGAAACUUAAAGAUCAAACUCGCCUGCGGAAUAAAUGGUGCACAAGGGUGUUAAAAAUGGUGCACAAGGGUGUUAAAAUCUUGACAUAUGUAUAUUUUUGGCAGAUUUUAUGUGAGCAUGCAACUAAAACUGGCAUAACAGUUUGAGUUGUAACUUCUCCAUUGUAUUUGUUAAGGCAAGACGGAUGUCAUCUAUGCAUUUUUCUGUAAAACUUAGAAGGCUGCAUAGCAGCUCUUGUUCGUUGUAUUGAAUACCGUGGUUUAACCGAUGAAUGCAGAGUUUGCUGAUGAUUCAUACGACAAGCAAUUGAAAAUCCCCAUCAUUUACACAAAUUCAGAGCAUUCAUCCACUGUAAUUUGCAGAUAUAGAAACGUCAAGAUAAAAGGAAAUGCAAAGUACCUUUCACCCAAAUUGGAAGAGCACCGGUGGCAUUAGCAAGUUAGCAACGGGAAUUGACAUACCAAUAUCUUCACAGUUUCUGCACAAGCACAAAUCAAAAGAAUUGUGGAUUUCAAAAUAUGCGGCCGUGGCUAGCCGUCUGACCACGCCAAUUCCACCAAAGCCGCCGCAACGCGGCGUAGUGUCCGAUUGAUUGCUUCAAAACAGAGCUUCGUAUCCAUGUGUUUAUCAGCAGAGAGUACCCAAAACCCCUGAAAAUUAUUUCUUUAUUCAGAUAAUAAAAUUUCCCAAAUUUCAAAUUUUAAUUCCGAACCAAAAAUAGGAUUUGAAUUUUGAUUACCUAGAAAUGGGGGGGGGGGGGGUUGGGGUGGAGAGGGACUCAGGCCAAGACAGAGCUAUGUGUCUGUGAUAAGGUGUGCCAAAUUACAGAGUGUGUCGGGAAGAUGUACAAGGCUUUUGCAGUUUCUCAGAUUUAAAUACCGAAGCCCCGUAAGCUGUUCAAUCCAGGGGGAAAGCUCUUUGAUAGAUGUUCCAUCCAAGAAAAGAUAUCUUAAUCCUUCCAUAUUUUCUUCAAUGCUUGGAAACACCUCAAAUUUUGUAGAACCGGAAAGAGAGAGAGAGACAAGGGACUUGAGCUGAGAAAUGCUGCUCGGAAGACUCUUAAGUUCCACGCAAUAUUUCAGGCUUAAAUAACUCAACCCCGUGAGAUUAUUAAUUGACAGCGGUAGUUCUUUAAUUUUUGACCCGGAUAAAUCAAGCUCUUCUAACUCCUCAAUACCUUCUAAAAUCUCUGGAAACAUCUCAAGAUUGGAGCAGUCAUAAAGAUUAAGGGUUUUGAGAGAUUUCAUACGAAUGCUGCUUGGAAGACUCUUAAGUUCCACGCAAUGUUUUAGGUUCAAAUGACUCAACCCCGUGAGAUUAUUAAUUGACAGGGGCAGUUCUUUAAUUUUGGACCCGGAUAAAUUAAGCUCUUUUAAUCCCUCAAUAACUUCUGAAAUCUCUGGAAACAUCUCAAGAUUGGUGCAGCCAUAAAGCUUAAAGGUUUUGAGAGAUUUCAUACGAAUGCUGCUUGGAAGACUCUUAAGUUCCACGCAAUGUUCUAGGUUCAAAUGACUCAAUCCCGUGAGAUUAUUAAUUGACAGGGGCAAUUCUUUAAUUUUGGACCCAGAUAAAUUAAGCUCUUCUAACUCCUCCAUACCUUUUGAAAUCUCUGGAAACAUCUCAAGACUGGAGCAACCAAAAAGAUUAAAGGUUUUGAGAGAUCUCAUACGAAUCUUGCUGGGUAGACUCUUAAGUUGCUUGCAAUGUUUUAGGUUGAAAUGACUCAACCCCGUGAGAUUAUUAAUUGACGGGGGUAGUUCUUCAAUUUUUGCCCCGGAUAAAUCAAGCUUUUCUAACCCCUCAAUACCUUCUGAAAUCGAUGGAAACAUCUCAAGACUAGAGCAGCCAUAAAGAUUAAAGGUUUUUAGACAUUUCACAUGAAUGCAGCUUGGAAGACUCUUAAGUUCCUCGCAAUGUUUUAGUUUGAAAUGACUCAACCCCGUGAGAUUAUUAAUUGACAGGGGCAGUUCUUUAAUUUUGGACCCGGAUAAAUUAAGCUCCUCUAACUCCUCCAUACCUUCUGAAAUCUCUGGAAACAUCUCAAGACUCGUGCAACCAUAAAGGUUAAAGGUUUUGAGAGAUUUCAUACGAAUGCUGCUUGGAAGACUCUUAAGUUCCUUGCAAAGUAUUAGGUUCAAACGAAUCAACCCCGUGAGAUUAUUAAUUGACGAAGGGAGUUCUUUAAUUUUUGACCCGGAUAAAUCAAGCUCUUCUAACUUCUCCAUACCUUCUAAAAUCUCUGGAAACAUCUCAAGAUUGGAGCAGCCAUAAAGAUUAAAGGUUUUAAGAGAUUUCAUACGAAUGCUGCUUGGAAGACUCUUAAGUUCCUCGCAAUGUUCUAGGUUCAAAUGACUCAAUCCCGUGAGAUUAUUAAUUGACGAGGGCAGUUCUUUAAUUUUUGACCAGGUUAAAUUAAGCUCUUCCAACUUCUCCAUACCUUCUAAAAUCUCUGGAAACAUCUCAAGACUAGAGCAGCCAGAAAGAUUAAAGAUUUUGAGAGAUCUCAUACGAAUUUUGCUGGGUAGACUCUUAAGUUCCUUGCAAUCUUUUAGGUUGAAAUGACUCAACCCCGUGAGAUUAUUAAUUGACGGGGGCAAUUCUUUAAUUCUUGACCUGGAUAAAUCAAGCUCUUCUAACCCCUUAAUCACUUCUGAAAUCUCUGGAAAC
Molecule: long non-coding RNA, 174434 nt
Filed under: Malus domestica (apple)
Lineage: Eukaryota; Viridiplantae; Streptophyta; Magnoliopsida; Rosales; Rosaceae
Description: long non-coding RNA (MDOM_LNC007116)
Source: RNAcentral